UCUUGACCAGAUUAUGAUAAUAUUUAUUCCAUUGAUAUCAUUGCUUAUGAAACACUGCUGUCAAGUAGUACAAGAGGUAUAAAAAGAAAAUUAGCCAAUGAAAAUUAUGUUUCAUUAUAGCACAAGAGCUUGGGUCACAUCUCUAAACGGAGAAUAGAGAGACUUGUGUCAAUUGAAAUUAUAGACAUGUUAAAUUUUUCAUAUUUGUAUCAACAACAUUGCUAUUUAUCGCGAGGCUUUUUUUCGCCAUCUCGUCCUGAACUGCUGUGCAACCAAUCACAUCACAUGCUGGCCGGAAAAAAUGGGAUGGUGGGGUAAUGGAAUUUCAAUUGCAUAGCAGUAAUACGCCUUCGUGAUGUUCUCGUUAUGAUAUUUUUCGCUGGCUUAAGCAUAUUUCUUUGUAUCAAUUGUGUAUUGAUAUUCGUAGGACAUUCUCUACGUUACAAAAACAUAAAUCCUAGAAAUUUGGUUUGACCAAGUUUAGGUUAUGGCAACAAGUAAUUCAACCAUCUAAUGUUAAGGAUCGUAUAACGUCAAUAUGAUCUGGUCAAAAGGGAAAUUUAACUAAUAUAAUUUACUUUAAAAUAAAUUACAAGAUAAAAAAAUACAACAUGUCUAUCAUCAUCGUACACUUGAUCGUUAUUUGCCAUUCCCCUGCACAGUAUUUUGCAGUGGAAGAAAUCUAUAGCAACUAGUAGCCAAUAAAAUUCGUAGGACCAAACAAAAACAAUUACAGUACAAAAGUAAGGCCUUGAUGUAUGAAUUAGGGGGAAAUUGAAUACAUGCCCUAGUGUUUGGGCUGUAAAUUAUUGUAUUUUAGGCUAUAGUUAAAAUAGGAACUAAAAGAAAUGAGGGAUAAGUUUUUCAUAAAACAUUUUUACAUAAAUCUCAUCCCAAAAAUCUUUCGACCAUUUCAAAGGUAAAUUACAAGUGUUGUACCAUACAACGAUUUUAGAGGAUCUAAAUCCACAUAAAAUGGAUACAGAUCUUCUACAAAUGUUAUAUGUGCAACACAAGAAGGCCCUACAUAGAUAAUAAGUUUGAAAAGGCUCAAUUAAGUACCCCUCAUUGAUGACAUGAGUUUAGCUAACGCCGUCCUCCUAUGCUCAUGUUGAAUAAAAGCAUCAGCUUCUUCAUCAACACUUUCAUAAGUAGUACUAACAUUUUGAUCUCCAUACCUUAAGCCUCGUCGAUCGGUCUCAAUCUCAGUCUCACGACGAACCUCUAAAUAGUAGGAUUGAUCUGCUUCAACCAUUGGUUCCUCGUAUACUGUAACACGACGCUUUUGAUGGUGAUGCCCCGGAUAGUAUGCGGGUUCAUAAAUUUCGUGCAUGUGACUCCACCCGUAAUUGUUGUGGUUUCGGUUUUGGUAUGCCAUUUCUCAACUCUAAGGUGCACUGUUUUAAAGUUGGUUGUGAUUGUGUUGUAGUUUAUUGGUCUCAGUUUUAGAUAUUAUAUUUAUAGUUUUAGUAUUACACAUGUGAUUAACAACUAGUAAGGAAGUUAUAGACUUAUGGUUUAUUCGAAAAUGAUAUGAAUGAAUCAAAUGCCUCUUGCAAGAUAUUUUCUACAGGAAGGUGGAGCAUCUAGAGCAUUCAAUUUUUUCAAAGAUUCGAAAGCCACUACAUUCAAUCAAUGAAACUUUUAUUCGUUCAAAUAUUGUAAAGUGCAUAUCAAUUUCGAUUCUCUUUUGUAUUGACACGAUCAAGAAAGUGUUCUUUUAGAGGGUUGGAAUAUAUUUAGUUGGAAGUUUUUUGUAACAUGACUUUUAGUUGGAAGUUAAGACUUGAAAAGAUAAUGUUAAUCUUUGGUGGCUUAAAUGAUUGGAUUUUGAGAACUCGUGAUAAGUCACUCACAGAGUAUAACUUUGUUUAAGUAGAUUUUUUUUAUUUUAUUGAGUGUCAAGUUAAUUAUGUAUGUUAGCAAAAGUUUUUUUUUAGCAUUAUAAAAGAUAAAUUAUAUAUUUGAUUCACCGAAAAACAUCCAAAGUUUUUUUUUUCCUUAAAAAAACGGUUACAAUAUAUAAUUUAUCAAAAUUUGCAUGAUUUUUAUUUAUCAAAAAUAAUAAAUUAUAUCACUAUUCAUUGUUGUCAUGGAGGGUCUAAUUGUUGUGUUGAAUGGUGAAGUAUCAUUUGUAGUAUAUCAUUUGAUGAUUAUAUAGACAAAUUUGUCAAUAGAAGUAGACUAAAAUAAAUGAAAUUGGAUCAACGGUAUAAUUUUUUCAUAGAUAAAUGAUUAAUUUUAUACAUAGAAUGAUAUGCAGCGUGUUUAAAACUUAAUAUUAAGUUAAAGGACAUCUGAUGCAGUUCUGUCCAAAAAAAAAUUCUUCGUAAAUUUAGUAUAUAUUAUAUAAUUAAACCAAUUAAUAUUUUGUUACAGGAUAUCGUUUUUAAAAUAACUUAAUAAUAAUAAUAAUAAUAUGAUAGAAUGUAAACCAUAUAAAAUUAUUUAUAAAUAUUAUGAAUUACGAUGACGUGGCUUAUUAUUCUUAUGGUAUGUUUGGUUGGAGGAGAAUGAAAGAAGGUGAAAAAGUUAUUCUAAACUUGAGUUGUUUGAUUCAAUUAUUAAGAGAUGAGGGAAGCAAACUCACUCCAAAAGUCAAUUUUAAAUUUCCUCCAAUAUGAGAAAAUUUUAAAUGUAUUUUUAUUUAAUCAUUUUUAUUGUAAUUUUACACGUUUCCUUUAUUAAAAUUGUCUUUUCUCCUCAUCGAACCAAAUACAAUUUUUUAUUUUUUAUUUUCCUUCCUCCCUUUCUUUCCCCUCUCCUCGACUAAAAUUCCUCUCUCCCCCUUCAUUGAAUCAAACAAACCUUGGAGCUCUUUGUACUAUAAACCAUAUAACUCAUCGUCUUCAUCAUUGAUAGAAUAGUAUUGGAACUUUCGGAUGAACCUACAUUAAGAUGGAUCGACAUAUUAGACUAAGAGUAACCACACAAGUUUCACCCAAAAUUUUAAUACAUUAGUUAUAUGAGUUCCCUUACUUAUAUGUUUCUUAACAUCUAUUUUUUUUUAUCUAAUUCGAUAUUUUAAUACACAUGUGACACUUGAUACAUAACAACAAAUAGAACAUUACUCACUUUGCUCUAAAAAGAAAUAAAAAAUUACUCACUUUGAUUGACAUGACAUGCUUCUCAUGUAAUGUUUGAGUUAUCACGAUGGUAAUUUGAACUUCCUUCUUAGACAACUACUCCUGUCCAUUUUGGUGUGUUGAGCUAUCAUCUUUGUCUAUGAUGUUGCAUAAAAUCUUAAUGGAUGCCAACAUUUGGCAAGCACAAAAUUAUGGAUGAUAAUGCGAACGAUGACAAGAGAAGGAACCAUGACCCUCUCGAAAAAAAUAAAAAAAAGGUACCAUGAUAUUUUUAUAUUAUUGAAGACAACAUCGCUAGAUUCCUAAAAUGCAUUUUUUUUUUAUUAUGAAAAAUAACAGGACAUGGAAUGUGGUUAUCAGUAUUGAGGGGUUUUUGAUAUUUUGUCCUUAAAAAAAAGUAAUAAAUUUAAAAUUGCCUCCAUACGAAGCAUAUGAUAAAAUUUGUAAUUAGUUUUGCAUGUAAACAAAAAUAUCUGCAAUAUUUGUAAUUAGUUUUGGAGAAAUGAUAUUUGUACAAUCAUUUUUGUACAACUUUCUCUCUCGUACUCACAUUAUCUUCUUAUUCUCUCUCUUCUUUUUUCUCUCUCCAUUGUUUUUGACCAAUGAAAAGAGAGCACAACAAGAUUGUCCCAAAAGUUGUAGCAAAAAAGUUGUUCAAAUAUCAUUACUCUUAGUUUUGCAUAAGCAGUGAUACCCGUCAGAGUGGUACUAGCCGUACCGUGAGUGGAAUCAAAAUCUAAGCAUUUUUUUUUUGUACAAAAAUCUAAGCAUUGUUAUUCAUUUAUUUUGCUAAUUUGAAUGGUAUGUUUUUUAUAGGCAAUGUUACACAUGCGGUUCUUUAAGUUUAACUAUUAUCUUGGAUUGGUCUUUUAAGUUUUAUUAUUUCCAAAUUGGUCGUCAAUGAUACGCUUUGUUUCACGGUUAGUAUUUAAGUUAUCUUUUUGUUGCAUUGUAGUCCUUUUAGUUAUAUUAGAUGAUUAUGCUAACCACAAGUUUUGUUGUACAAUUAGAGGUGAACAACAUUCAAAUGUCAGCCUCAAAUCCAGGAAAGAAAAAAAAAAGAUCUUGGGUGUAAUUUUUGCAUAUUCAAUAAGAAAUGUAGUUUUACUGAAAACAAUUGGAAUGUUCAUUGAUGUUAAUAACAUAUUGGUGCAAUCAUAUGUUUGAUGGUCUAAUAUUAUAAUUGUUGCACUGAUACAAUAUUGGAACUGAUAGUAAUAUGGAACUCAUUAAAUUGUAAAGGCUUAAUACAUCAUUUCGUCCUUUAACUUAUUUUUGGUUUUUAAUUUGGUCCUCUAACUAUAAAGUGUCUCAAUUUGGUCCCAUAAGUCUUUUGUCGUUUACCAUUUUGGUCCUUUCCAUUUAUUUUUAACCUUAAAUGUCUGUUGUGAAACAACUUUAUAUGUGGUCCACAUAGACCUUAUUAAAUCACAUAUUUUUAACCAUUUGAUUUUUUUUUUAAAUGAAAAUCGUUGAAUCAUGGAGGGGAACACCUAGUUUUUUCUCUCCAUCUUCUUCCCUAUCAUUCUUCUUCAUCCCCAAAUAAAACUCUCUUUCAUCUUUAUUCAUCAUCUUGAAAAAAAACCAGAAAAUCAAAAAUAUAAAACUCUCAAACCAAAAAAACUUAUCAAUCUUCAUCUUCUUCAUUUAACCUUCAUCAUCUUCCCAUGACACCCAUAUAAACAAACUCAUUUUUCCAGAUCUAAUUUUCAGGGUUAUAGACUUUUCACCAUCAACAACAAUUCCUAUUUUAAUCACAAAAAGUUUAUAGAUUUUUCACCAUCUCAUCACUACCCCCUUCACCACCAUCACCAAGAUAUAAAUUAAAGCUUUAAUAAAGAGUACCCAACAAGUUGUAUAAACUCAACAAUUGAAGAAGCAAUAGAAUCAAAUUCCGAUUAAUUUAAGUGUGUUUUAAUUCAAUUAUUAAAAAUGGAACAGUAACAACAAGAAGAAGAGUAAGAAGAACAUCAGGCCGUAACAACAAUGAACGCACUGUUGAUGAUCUUUUGUUGAAAGCAUUUCAAUUCCAAAAAUUAACUAUUCUAAUUCUACACACUCAGACAAAAACAAUCCCACAAAUUAACACCCAUGUUGAUUAACCUAAACUGACAAUGAUAGCAAGAUCAGUGAUAUAAAAAAUUUGAGAUCUGGCACAAUAGAAAUCUUAGAACUGAAAAAAAAAAAAAGUGAGAGAAAGAAAGAGAAUUUGAAGACCACGAUGGUGAAUUGUUGUUUCAUCUAAGAUGAUUCUUGUGUGAAUUAUUCCUUCUAUUUUCACUUUUUUGUUUAUAAAAUCGGAAUCGUAAACAUAUUUAAUUUAUGUUGGAAUCAAAGUGAAGAAUUAAGCUAGGUUAUUACAAUUGAAUCUAUGUUUUAUUUUUUGUGUUGAAUCCGUGGAAGCCAUGAAUUCAUGAUGUUGAAGGGAUGAAUUGAUGUUGAAUUUGGGUUUUAUUUGUGGUUAAAUGUUGAAUUUUUUCUGGAAUUUUUUUCUUGUAUAUUGUAUAAAUGUUGAUGAAGUUCAUAUGAAUAUGAGGUUGUGGUGGAAGGAAGAAGAUGAAGAAAGGGAAAAAAAAUUAGGUGUUGGUGGUUCAAUGUGGUAUACAUAUUGUAUAAAUGUUGAUGAAGUUCAUAUGAAUAUGAGGUUGUGGUGGAAGGAAGAAGAUGAAGAAAGGGAAAAAAAAUUAGGUGUUGGUGGUUCAAUGUGGUAUACAUAUUGUAUAAAUGUUGAUGAAGUUCAUAUGAAUAUGAGGUUGUGGUGGAAGGAAGAAGAUGAAGAAAGGGAAAAAAAAUUAGGUGUUGGUGGUUCAAUGUGGUAUACAAUGGAUCUGCAAUCGAAUGGUCAAAACAAUAUCAAAAAUAUUAGACAUUAAAAAAUAAACGGACAGGACCAAGAUGAUAAACGGAAGAAGAUUUCCAGGACCAAAUUGAGACACUUUAUAGUUAAGGGACCAAAUUGAAAACCAUAAAUAAGUUAAGGGAUGAAAUGAUGUAUUAAGCCAAUUGUAAAUUAUUACAUUGAACUGAUAAAUUAUAUUUUAUGUUUAAUGAAAUAUAGAACGGUUGUUUUUACUCAUGCCUCAGAGACAAAGGGAGUCUCAGUUCCUUGACCACAGUACUGGCACACAACAAAAAGAACUCAGUUUUAUGAAAUCUUCUACGUAUCAUUGUGUUUUUGACAUGAUAUUGAUAGGAUUCACGGUUCAUAUCACUCUUGUACAUACACAGUUGUACCACAUUGGUGGUCCAAUCUGAACUAGUGUUUUGUUCUACUUAAAUAGAAGUUUAUAAUUUGUUUUUUAAAUUAAUUGGGUUACCCCCCUCAAAAUGAGCUACACGCCUCAAUCCCCUAUAUACACACCAAGAGGUAGGUGAAUGAGUAUUGAGAUUUUUAGAGGUUAUUUUAUAUAUAGACUAAACAUAUUUAACCCUAUGGAUGCUUUUGGUUUGCAAAACAGCAAGUACAGCAUAUAGCAGUACAAGAAAGAACAGCACAAUACAAGGGAUAACAGCACAUGACAAAUUUUUAUGACAUUGAAUAAUUUUUUAUUUUAUACGAUUUUUGGGGAAAAAAACGCUAGUUUGGUAUUUUAGACAACUUGUACUGUGGUUUGCUGAGGGACAAAAAUAUAAGUUUUUGUCCUGUCUCUUGCCUCCAGUUUGUCCUGUACCUGAAACAGUUUUACAAAUCAAACACUGGACAACUGGAGUUGUUCUGUCAUAUCCUUCAUUUUUUAGCAAAUCAAACGCACCCUAUUAUUAGCAAUUACAAUUCACAUGCACAAAUGAACAUCUAACUAUUGCAAAUAGACUCAAUGCCAGCUGCAAGAAACAUUGUCUGUAUUAGCACAGCUCAUGUCCUAUGUACCACAUGAUUUCUCAGUAGAAUGUCUCAAUCCAGUGGCGAUUAUUUACACAUUUUAAAACAAUGUUAGGAGUCCCUAACAAUAGAAAAAACCAACAAAAAAAAAAAAAAACUACUAAUUUUACAGUAGUGGUGGUAUGCUAACCUUGCUCUCUAUAUAACACAAAAUAUUACUAACGUUGAUUCAAUUUGGCAGACAUUUAGAUAGGCAUUUCAGAUUUAUAUUAUAUCCAAUUGAUGGCGGCAACCAGGCUAUUGUGAUAUAAAUGCAUCAUGAAAAUUUUACUUAAAAAAUAGAAAAUUAGAUCAGCGAUGUGCAAAUUUAUAACUACUAAGUUGCACGGGCCCUUCUGAUUGAACGUGUAUCCUGGUAUCCGACACGACACUUGUGAUUGCAUUAAAUUUAUGUAACUUCUCAAUUUUAUCCAUGUCAGUGUCGUGUCAUGUCUGUGCUUCAUAGACUACAAUGCUAUAAAUAUGAAUGCAUGAUGUUCUGAUUAUCGCAAAAACAGAGUCUGAAGUAUCCUAUUGAUGGCAACAGAGCUGUUUUCAUAUAAUGCACAAUAAAACUAAGUCAGCAGUGUUGUGAAUGUGGACCAAGCAACCAAAUUAGACAUAUUUAACAUAGACAAAGAAUAAUAAGAAUGAAAAUGGGUCUGCAAAACAAAACUUCCCAAACAGGAAAAGAUCCAAUUUUAAACUACUCUACUGUAUAUCUGGGCAUCAGCCACACUGAUACCAAAUAAACACAGAAGUUCACAAAGGCAAGCGGCACUUUCUAUCGCUGGUUAGAAUAGAUACUGCUCCCCUUGAAUGAAGUUCACCUCUAAAUUAUAUACAGAAUUCCCUCUCGAUCAAAGAAUUUGUCUGAAUAACUCAAUGAAUUCCCAAAGAAUAUCUCACUGGACAAUAAUACAGCCCCGCAUGAGUGACACGCAAUCAUCACAACCUCGGCUAAACCCUCAUAAGAAGACCCACUUGAGCUGCACAAGCUACAAGCUUAGCAAUAAGCGCAUGAACCUUUUAAUGAUUUUGUCAUAUCAUCUCUCUCUCAUGCAAUUCCCAGGCAAGAGAAAUUUAUAUUUCUCUGCAUUUUCCAGAAGGAAAGCAGGAAGGUGCACUGCAGAAUAUGAAUGGGGUAUUGGACCCAUUUUACCAAUGAUCUCCUUGAAAGUGUACUCUUCAGGAAGCAUAUCAAAUAGAUCAGCCCCUUCACAUAUUACUUUCUGAAUUCUGUCGGGAUUUAAGUAGUGAGAGAACCUAACUCUAUCAUAAUGACUGUAAGCUUUCAUCUUAAAAAUGAAAUCACUGAUUCGACGGAAGCAAAAGCUACAAUGCCACCCAGCAUCUGCCAACAUGUUGUCAGACUGACGAUAAUGUGCAUAUCUCGUCUUGCCAGACCGAUACCUGUGAAUCGAAGCCCUCCAGCUCUUAUCAUCCAGAAGAAACUCAAAUGAAUAAAGAUAAUUCUUCAGCUGUAGAUGCAAGACUGAAGGUAUUUCAUCGCACCAUCUCAAGAGGUUAAUAGUGUGAGCACUUGGUAUCUCAUCCACAUCAGACAUAAUCAACAAGUCAUCAUCUGUAAUACCAGCAAUCUUAAGGAGUUGAUCCAAUGCUACACGCUGAUAUGCCUCCUCAACAAACGGGUUUUCUCCUUUCCUAAAUCUUCCACCAAUUGUCCCAUAAGUUAACCGUGGCUCGACGAAUUUGAACUGCUCCCUAUUACCAUUGAAAACCAGAGGCUUAGGCAAUCCAGUAAAUGUAGAGUUUGACUCAAGGAGCACAAAUUCAGCUAUGUAGGGGUACAAUUCUUUCCAACGCAAGGUAAGUAUUUCAAUCUCAUUACUAAACAACACAGCAUCAUAAACACGCCUUGGAUACUCACGAACUCCCCAACCAUGAAGUCUGCAAAGAUUCUCCAUAGUAACAUUGUCGUUAUAGUAAUGAGGGAUAACAUUGAAAGGCUUGGGUGGUUUUUCCCAUAGUGGCCGCAGAAAGUAAGAGAUCUUCUGUCCAUGUAUAUAUAUUCCAAAAAUACACAUUGGGACAAAUGCAAACAGGAAUAUAUAGGUUUUCACAUCCAAACCACGCAAAAUGCAGCGAACUCUUGACAUGUUCGAUACUUGACUUGAUUCCUGCACGAUAAAGGAAAAAACAAUCUUAGCAAACCACCUUCCAGAAUGAAAAAUCAUGUCAAGAUUAAUAAACAAUGCAGCAUCUCAAAUCAUACAAAGUUAAAAUUUUCAAGAAUCAUACAACAAGUACCAGAAAUUCUAAUCAUAAAGCCAGAGCAGCAUCUCAGAGUGAAUAGAGACAUGCCAAAAAAUAAAACCAGAACUCAGAACUUGUUAAAAUUCAAUUAUAGCCGCAGCCCCUUGUCCUAAAAAAUGAAUCUCCCAAAAUAGUAACAUAAAAAGAAACAAGAAAAAAGGCGUACAAAAUUGUUCAUCAGAUUUACUCGAAUUUUAAAACCUCAAAAAGCAACCUUUUUCCCCAACAAAAAUUCAGAUCAAGCAUAUAUCUCGUACAAACACAAACCCAAAAUAAAUAAAAAAAUCCACAACAAUAACACAAUAAACAAAUCUAAGAGGAAAUUUACAUAACCAUCAAUAAUCUUCAUAAAAGAUACAAUUUUUUAAAAACAAAAACCAUUAAAUUUGACUAUUCUCUUUCAUUUUCCAUAAUCAUCACCAAAGACACUAAAUUAAACUUAAAAAUUCAUUGAUAUUAUACUAAAAAAAAAAACAUCAAUAAAUCAUAAAAAUAAUAACAAUUAAAGAAAGAAUGAAUAAUUGAUGAUACCUGGCCACAAACAUUGCUACACAAAUCAUCAGUUUUUUUAGAACAAUAAUUCCCUCCAGUUUCACCCAUCAUCCACCACAUUUUCGCGUUUAGGUUUCAAUGAAAUCAAAAAACCAGAUCGAUCGAUUGAUUGAACCACCGAUCCUCAAAAAGAAAUGUCGUAGAUCGUGGUUUAGAAGAACAAGUUUUGAAUCGAAGAAAUCUUAGUAAAGAAGCAAAGAAACGACGCAAACGUGCGUUGUUUCCAAACGCAAAAACGGGGUUUUGAGAUUAAUUAAAGAAAAGAAAGAGAAAGUGGGGUUUAUAAGAUAAUCAGUGACGGAGAUUGAAAAGAGAGGCGGAAGAACCAACGACGUUAAGGUUGUAACCUGUCUGUAUCUUUGGAAAAUGAGUGGUGGCAGUUUUCGUCUCUACACAGCACACAGCUAUGAACAAAAAAACUAAAAUGUUCCGUUACAGAACAGAAAAAUAUCAAUUGAUGCUUAUAAUUUUCUCUCUCUUCUUCUCUGUUCUUUUCUGCUAUGUCGUGUCGUUCCGUUGGUAUAUUAAAAAUAAAAACCCUAAAUUGCUGUUUUUUUUUUAUUUGAUGAAAUUCUCGGUGCCGCUUUUGAUGAUAAUAAAGAAAUUAAUAAAUGGCUAUAUUAUUUAUAUAAUCUAUAGUCAUGGACACUGUUAUAAAAACUACUUUAAAGGGUAUUAUCGUCUGUUUCUUUUAUAAGAUACCAUGUCGUCGAGUACGCUUUCCCCACGCGUUGCAGUUACUCACUAGCUUGCGACACUUGUCGUCAAUGAGUGCAAUGUUAAUAUUUUCAAUCUUUAAGUUACUUUUUAGGCCAAAUAGUUUUGUUUUUAUUACAUUUUUUCUUUUUGUGUCACAUACUCUAUGACUAUAAAUAUUUAUGAAUUUGAAUUUCGAACCUGGGGUGCACGAAUAAUACAAUAUUUUUAUUAACUAAACAAGUUUAUGGAAACAAAUGUUCUUUUUUGGUACAAAGAAACAAAUGUUUUUAUUUCGACUUUAUUAUUAUUAUUAUUAUGAUCUUGUCUAGCAUUGUUUGCGGUGAUUAAUCCAUAAAAACCAUUUUAUUUUUUCAUAUACAAAGAUCAAUGAUCAAACUAUGAUCAUGUGUAUAUGGUCAGUCCGAAUUCAGUGCCACUAAGAGUAUAAAUAUCGAUCAUUUUUGAGAGUGUCAUAGCAUAAAUUUUUGGCAUUGUGUCAGAAUUUUGCUUUCUCCAACAACUACCGUAGUAAUGCAUUGCUACGGUUGUUUUUCAACUUUUUUAUGUAAAAAAUAAUAUAAAAUUAGAAUGUGAAUAAAUUUGAAGUGUAUUAUAUGAUUAAGUGGGAUUCAAUUUAGAGUUUUAGAUGAGUAGUAUGGAUAUUUAAAAAAAUGUAGUUGAGUGGUUUAAAUAAUUGAAAAGUUUAAAGUAAUAUAAUAUAUUAUGUGGAUUCAUUUAUACCAUCCAUAUAAGUGGCAUGGAUGUGGUUGCUCUAAAUUUGCUAUUUUCAAUUCAAAUACUAUUUGGAUUGAUAAAACUCCUAAUUGCAUCUCUUUCAUCUCUCCUGAUGAAAUUCUUUUUCAGGUCAACUAAAUUAUGCAUCACAACAACUAAGCCAAUCCAUUGUUGGUUAUCGCGGAGUUCGUGUUGUUUAACUAGUUUAAACAACUUAAGGAUGAAAAGAAGAAAAAAAAUAGUUCAAAUUCUAAAAAUUCCAUUAAAAGAAAUCAUUGUUGGUUAUUAUUUUAUGGGAAAUGUUAACAGCCGGGACACUGAUUAAGGAUAAUAAAAAAGGAAAUUAUAUGUUAAUUAUUGCCUUGAAAAUUGUUUAAUUAAUCUAUAAAUAAAUCAACAAAACUUCCUUUUUUGUAUGUUUAACCAGUGCCCCAGAGACAGAGCACUGAUUAGCAUGACCCUUUUAUUUAUUUAUUUAUGCAAUAAAUUUUAAUUUCUUGAUGAAUGGAUGAGUCGAGCAUCAACAAGUAAACAACUAAAUAUUUCAGACAAUUUUUAAAUAUGACCAGAGGUCUUAACAUUCGGUCUUACAAUUUUGCCUUAUUCAAAAAAAAAAUAUAUAUUCGGUCUUACAAUUUUACCUUAUUCAAAAAAAAAUAUACAUUUGAUCUUACAAUUUUGAUAUUUUAGUCAAUUGAGUUAAUAUUUAUGGCUUAAAAAUAUAUAUUCGGCUGUUAUUAUGAAAAAUUGUAUUUUUUUUUAUAAAAACAGCCGUAUUUAUUCCCUUUGGUAUUUUUGGGUAUUUUCCAAGCCAAUACACGUGGCAGACAGCACAUUUGUGGCUGAUUUUUGCUUGAUAAUAUUCACAUUCUUGUUUAUCAUUUAGGCCAAAAAAAUUUUAGAUUAUUAUGGCUGGGUCCAAGAGAAGGAAAGUGUAUUAAGAUAAGGUACAUUAAACGUAGUUGACGUCGUCGUUUCAUCAGGAACUUCGUAGUGUAAGUCAAGGACGACUCGUCCAUAUGUAUGUAUGCACUGGAACAAUCCAAGCCAAUACUGGCACGACGGUUUCAAUUAACUUUUUAAAUAUCAACAUCAUAAGAAUAUUCGUCACUGAUAUUUUUCGUUAUAUACAAGUAUCAAUAAAUAAAUAAAUAAAUAAAUUAGCUCAACAUUUUUAGAACUUAUACGGAAUUAGCUUAACUUUAUACCCAAAAAAAAUGGCUUAAGAAGGAAGGAAGUAUAAGAGCAACACGUUGUGAGUGGGACCCAUAAAGAAAGCAAUGAGAUGGAAGGUGGCGGUGUAAUGGGCCCCCACCACGAGGUUGUCGAUGGAUGUGGGCCUGCCCUCGAACUUCCAACCAAGCUUAGUACUUAACUAACGUCUCGCAAACGGCUCCGAUUCUCUCUUAUAACAAUUGACGCGGAAUAUAUUUCUAACUAAGUCAAAAAUAUUAAAAUAUCAACUUACUCAAAGAUUGAAUAAUCCACAUGUUGAUAAAUCUAUUAUGGAAUUAAUAGCAUUUAUUACCUAUGGAAUCUGGUAUUCUAAAAAUAAACAUGUUCUUGAGGGAAAAGACUUGCUUGAACAAGUUAUUAUAGUGAAACUUUGGAUUGCGUCAAAGAAGUUCAAAAUUCCAACAAAGCUAGCAUAGACAAGGUAAAUCACAAAAUAGCAAAAAGCAAGAUGGAAAAGCCUCCUACGGUCCUACCAGGUACUACAAGGAAAAUUGCGACUCAAACGUAGCUAAAGAAAGCAAUUGGAGGUUUAGGGCCAAAAUUAUUAGAGACAAUGAGGAAAGAGUUUGGUGGGUACUUGGGUUGUGUAGGACUUCAAUGACACUACUACGAUCGAAUCCAGGCUUAUGUUAUGUUCCUCACAGUGGAAUUAACUUAUGAUUGUUGCUUUCAAUCGAUCAUCUUCGAGGUAGAUUGCAAAGUUCUAGCUAGGGUUCUUGGCAACAAAAUGUAUCCUCAUACAUACUAUGGUGGAAUUGUUGUUGAGGCUAUUGAGAAAAUGGCUGGGUUGUUUGAAAAUACCAUUUGGUCAAUAAACAUAAAUUGUAUGAGUUAGUCUAUAUUUUGGCCCAAAUAUGACUUGAAUGGUGGAUCGACGGAAGUAGGUGCACUGAUCGUUGAUGAUAGUUGCGACCCUAUUGAAAAGAAGGGGGUGUUGUACCUGCAAGUGCUUUGACGCUCAAGUCAGUAUAUAAGCAAGAGCGAGACGAAACAUAGAGAGAUACAUAUCUUGUAAGUUUGUCAAGAGCUCAUUACAUAGGGUCAAGGAGGACGUUAUGUCGUAAUGACGUGAUAAUGCGGCAACCAUUAUGGAAGGAUGCCCAUAAAAGUGAUAAAUGAUAGUCAUUAUGAGCCACCCAGCCAUGACAAUAUGAGGCUUCAUUGAGGCGGAGAGAAUCCGAGGUGAGAAGGAUAUUCUACUCACUUAGGUCUGUGUAGAUUUGGGCCUCAAUUUGUCGCGGGUUAGACUUUUGUCUAGUCCAGACCACAUAGACAUUAAAUAUAAUUUUACUAUUUAGAUAUUUACCCUUCAAAAAAAAAUUAUGUAGAUAUUUUGGCAAAUAAUAUUAUUAUAUUUCUAAAUAGUAAAUUAUUUUGGGUAUUUUAAAUAGUAAAAUUUGAUUAAACAUGUGAGUAAUUUUAUACUAUUGUCGUAUUAAAAUAAAUUCAAAAUAUAAUAAAAUGAAAGGAUGCAAAGUAUCUUCACUUACAUGUCUCACUUAAAUAUUAAUAAAGAUUAGUACAAUUCCAAAAUAAAAUAAACUAAGAAUUAUGACAAACUAACUUAAAAUUGAACAAAGUGAAUUCUAUUUAUUAUUAUUUUUAUGUGUGUGUAUAUAGUAUAAUAAAACGAAAUGAUGUUAUUUAUGAAUUUUUAUAUGAGAACCUAAAAGGUGCUAAUAUGGAUGAAAAUAAGAAUAUGGAUAAAUUUUCUGAUGUUAUAUAUAUGUCUGUAUUUAGUAUAAUAAAAUGAAUGGUUAAUAUGUCUUUAUCCCUUGUAAUUUAGGCGAGUUCUGGUUUAUCCCUUGUAAAAAAAGAGUUUAGAUUCCAACCUUAUAAUAUGAAGAUUCUCCACAAAACACCGCUGUAAUAUGAAGAUUUUCCACAAAACACCUCUGACCCCAUCCAGACGUUGACGUGGCACGCCACUGUGUAGUUAUUUAUUUAUUUAUUUUUAAAACCUGACACGUAUGUAAUGGACACUGACGUGACACACCACUGUGUAAUUAUUUUAAAACAUGACAUUGUAUAAUGGUUUAAAAAAUUAUUUUUAAAAAGAUAAAAAAAAAACUAAAUUAAUUUUCAAAAAUUUUAAAAUAAGAAAAAAAAUGAAUUUUUUUCAAAAAAUAUUAACUUUUUUUACCAAAAAUUAGCUUAUAUAAUUUUUUUCAAAUAUUUUUAAUAUUUUAAUUUAAUUUGGAUUUUUUUUAAAAAAAUUUCAAAAUAUAGUAAGUUUAGGAUUUUUUUCAGAAAUAUAAAAUUUAAAGUAAACAACUGUUUUCAGCUCUUUUGGACUGGCUCUUUCUUUUCAAAAAUGCCCCCAAUUUUCAAUGCAAAUAAAUAUUCUCAAAUCUGUAACACAUCGUAAAAAAAAUUCUGGAAUAAAAUGUUUGAAAAAAAUCUAAAUUUUCCUAAAUUUGUAUCCAGAUUUUUAAAAAUAAAAAUAUUUUCCAGAUUUUUUUUUUUGUUGAGAAAAUUUAAAAACUUCUUUUUCGAAAAAAAAAAUCUGUUUUAAAUUUGAAAAAAUAUAUAUUCCAAAUUUCCGAAAAUAAUUUGAAAUUUUUUUUUGAAAUAUAUAUUUUUCGUAAAUUAUAAAUUUUGGAAUUUUCGAAAAAUAUAUAUUUCAAAAUUUAAAAAAAACUUGGAAAAUAUUUUUCGUAAUUAAAAAAAAUCCUGAUUUUUUUUUACAAAUUUUUUUUAAAAAAUAAGCACAAAUGCCAUGUGUACUUUCAAAAAAAUGAAAAACAAAAUUAAUUAUACAAUCAGCAUGCCACUCAGCUCGCCACGUCAGCAAUUCUGCACAGUCACAUGGGUCAGGGGCUAAAAUCAAAUAAUCUUAUUUUACAGGGUUGGAAUCUAAACUUUUUUUUUUUUACAGGGGGUAAACCAGAACUCGUCCAAAUUACAGGGGGUAAAGACAUAUUAACCCUAAAAUGAAAUGAUGUUAUUUAUAAGUUUUCUGCGAAGAAAUGAUGUUAUACAGCCUCCUAUUAACGAAGAAAAAAUUAUUUUAAGAGAAGGAUAUAUUUGUCAUGCAAUAAUUUAGUAAUUGAAAAAUAACUGUUCCAUCUCAUUCCAUCCAAAUUGGAAAGGCGCAUCAAAAUGUGAAUAAAUGAAAUGUGAUGAAAUGCAUUUCAUUGAGUUUCACUAUGAACAUCCUAUUAAUAAGAAUUCAAAUGAUAUAACCAUUAACUUAUUCAAUUUCAUUUCAUUCUAUACCAUUUCAUCCAUCCAAACAUAUACAGAAAGAGGGAACGGUGAAGACCUGAAGAGCAUGAAAAGAAUUCUUAGUUUAUUAAAUAGGAUGAACUUUGUUUAAUCUUAAUUGGGUUUGUAAUAAUUCUUAGUCCACUUUAAUGAGAUUGUAAUACUUUAUAUUUAGAUUAAAUCGAUGUCAUGUGUUAGAGAAGAUAGUUUGCUUCCUUCCGUUUAGUGUAAUUUAGGAAAGUAAUGUAAGUUCAAUAUGGUUCAUGUUAAGAAGUCUUGCUUAAAAAAAAAAAAAAGUCUUGCUUAAAGUAGGGACUUGGAACCUCCUCAUUUGAAAGAGAGAAAAUUGAAAAUUGAAAUAGAAUUUUCUUUCAUUGAGAUUGUGAGUGAAAAAAAUGAAAAAAGUUAAUUGAUAUCGGUUUGUUUAAAACUACCGAAAGAUAAAUAUGUAGUUCGUAUUAAAUAUAAACCAAUCACGUCAUCAUUUUAAUCGUGAAUAUAAAAAAGAUCGUAAAUUUUUAUACAUGAAUUGUAUCGUUGACUUUUGUUAGAAUUUUUAAUCAUAGAGUUGUGGUUCACUCAGAGUCCACUUUUAGACGGCUGCAGCCUUUCAUGAAUCCUGCAUAAAAAUAAUCGAGAGAGCGAAAGAGAUGUAAAUUUAGGAGAGUGAAGUAGAGAAUUAGAUUUCUCUACGUAGCUCAAUUUUGCAGUUCUAUGCAUUGGCCAGUAUAUUAUAUUUUCACAACAAAUUUGAUACUUACCAGUUACCAGCUCAUGUAUUAUAGUUUUUUUUUUUUUUAAACAGUAUAUAUAUAUAUGUAUAUAUAUAUGAACAGCCUUGCACAAGAAGUGCAAAAAGGCAGAAGUUACAACACGUAGCAAGAAAAAAUCCAUUGGAGUUGAUAAAACAAACAACAACACCCAGGGGAAAAAACAAAACAUAAAUGCUACAGACAAUCAGCUGAAAACAGAGAAUAAAAGGCAUCCAAAAAACAGGAAAAAAAAAACAGCAGCUGAAAGCUCCUAUACAGCUGCUCCGCUGCUUGGGAAACUGCAAACAGCACCCAUCAGCGCCUUAUAAUACACUCCUUUGGAUUCCAUGUCCACUCGUAAAAUAAACACCAAUACCAAGAUAAUGCCUUGAUCUCAUCCACAACCACCUCAAAAUGCUUAAUUUGAUUAUUAAAAAUCCUAGCAUUCCUUUCCUUCCAAAUUGACCAAAUCGCCACAUGCCAAAUCAACUGAAACGCUUUCAAGAGGCGCCUAGAAUUACAAGCCGCAUUCCAACAAUCAAAAUGCAUUAACAAAUGUUGCGGGGUAAUGAAGCUUACUUCCAACCAAUCCAUAAGCUUCCUCCAAAUCAACACCGCUACCUCGCAAUGAACAAAAAGGUGAGUCGACGUCUCCUCCCCAUGAGCGCAAAAGACACAUUCACGGGACUCGCUGGGAGCUAAAACAUGUCGCCAAACUAGAUUUGACCGCGUUGGGAUACGAUCAAUAAUCGCCAACCAAAAAAACGUCACCACCUUGGACGGUGCCGGACUCUUCCACAGCUUAACAAAAGACUCUUCCACUUCCUCACUCAACCCAUCUUCCAAAAGCACCAUAUCCACAAGAACUCUAUAGGACGAGUUUACCGAGAAAAUCCCACUAUCUUCCGACAACCACCACCACCUAUCCACUUCCUCCCCCAAGGUUACGCCCUCUAACUUAGCCAAGCAUUCCACAAUUAAAUUGUUCUCCCAAAGGAAAGUACGUCUCCGCCACAAAAAGUUCCAAGACACUUCACCGUUAUGCAAGACCCACAAGUCCCGGACCUUUGCCUCCUUUUGAAGCGAAAUUGAAAAUAGCCUAGGGAAGACAUUCACUAGCGGUAUAUCACCAAUCCACCUAUCCUUUCAAAAGCGCGUCUCCCUCCCACUUGAAACUUUUCUCACCACCCUAUUAGAAAACCAAUGCUCUCCAAGACCCCCUUCCAAAUUCAUCAAAUCUUUCCACCAUCCGGAUGCAAAACGCGGCCAUCUCGUCCCUUCCUCCGGGUGGGAUCCGGACAAUGAAUCACCAUACUUAUCUCUCAACACCACUUUCCAAAGAGGUAAAUCCUCUUGAAGGAUACGCCAUUUCCACUUCGCCAUAAGACUCAAAUUAACCAACUUCACAUCUCUCGCUCCCAAGCCACCCUUACUUUUUGGUUGACAAAUUUUUCUCCACUUCACCCAACAAACCUUUCUACCUCCACCCACGCCUCCCCAAAGGAAUUCUCUUUGGAUUCGGGUUACCAUACUCAACACCUUGGCCGGAAUCCUCAUGAAGGACAAGAAAAAGAUUGGAAUUGCAUUAAGAACGGAAUUGAGAAGAACAAUCCGGCCUCCAAGACUCACAUAUCUACUCCCCAAUGAAUUGAGUCUACUCCUUAAUUUUUCCAACAUCGGCUCCCAAGUAGAGACCUUCUUAGGAUUAGCACCCACCGGUAGUCCCAAAUAAAUAAAAGGAAUACUCCCCUCUCUACAAUUCAAAAACCUACACGCCGCCUCCAUGAAGUCUCUAGGAACAUUUACACCAAUUAAAGAACUCUUAUGAUAAUUAACCUUCAGAAAAAAAAUCUCAUGCAUGUGUUAAUAGUCAGCGUGAGUUAACCCACGCACUGUUUUACACUGUGUAACUUAUGUCACACGUGUGUUAACUAAAGCAGGAUUAACACUUACGUUAGUUAACUCACGCAGUGAUAUUUUGAUCAUUUUGUUUGAAUGGGAGCAAAACUUGUUGGGAGAAGAGCAGAAUUUAGGAUACACUAGAGGGGCUUAAUGCAAGGCCCAAAAGAGGGAUAGGCAAUAUACAUCUAAUUGGAAAACCAAUAUAUUAUUAUUUAAUAAUUUCUCAAUUAAAAUCACCCUAACCCCCUCCCAUCAUUGAAUCUCAUUCAUUGAUUUCAAACGAGAAGACUCAAAUUGCACAAUUUUAAUUUUUUUUCACAGGUAAAUUUUAAGAUCAAAUUACACAGUUAAUAAAUCAAUUUUACUUGAUUUAUAAUGGUGGCAUGAAUUAUAUGAAUGAUUCAUUUCCCUUGAAAUAUUUGGUCCAAAAUAAUAGAAAAUUAGAUCAUCUCAUUCACUUUUUAGUCAUGAGAUGCUAUUGCUAAUAUCUAGUAGUAGUAGUAGUACCAUUGUGGGGUAGUGCUAAAGCUGCAUAAUUUGACUUCCCACAUAUUAUCCAUUCCUUAACAUAGACACUUCAGUAACCAAUAACAAAUUUAUCAGACGGGUUGGUACUGUACUACCAGUAACCAGUGUUUGCUUUUUUCUACGGUACACAUGAAAAGAAUACUCAUAGUCCACUUUUAGAUGGCUGCAACCUUUCAUAAAUCCUGCAUAAAAAUAAGAGAGACAGUGAAGAGAGAUGUAAGGAAAAGUGAAGUAGAAAAUUCGAUUUCUCUACAUAUCUCAAUUUUGCAGUUCUAUGCAUUUGCUGGUAUAUUUUCACAACACAUUUGAUACUUACCACCUCUUGUGUAUUAUAGCUUCAUCCACAAACCUUUAAUAUUGCAGCUAUCAGUAUCACUGUCACUGUACAUAAUUGCAAUGAGUCUAAUACUUGUAUUUUUACAAGUAAAUUUUAGAUCAAAUUACACGGUUAAUAAAACAAUUUUACAUAAUGUCGAUAUUUAAUUUAGAUUGGACCCGAGAUCUAUAAUAGUGUCGUGCAGUACAUAAAAAAUCAUCAUUUCCAUUGAAAAAUUAGGUCCAAAGUAAUAGAAAAUUAGAUAUCUCAUACACUUUUCUAGUCAUAAGAAUAAGAUGGUAAUAUCUGGUAGUAGUGCUAAUUGCUAAAGCUGAAUAAUUUGACUUCCCAUAUAUUAUCCGUACCUUAACUUAGACACUUGAGUAACCACUCAUCUCAUUCUCACCUAUCAUCUUGCCAGCUUCCAAUAACGAAUUUAUCAGAAGAGUUGGUACUACAUUUCUAAAGUGGAAGAUUCCUCCUCUCAGUUUCAACUUUCAUUUCUUGUACAAUCUUUACAUAAUAAUCAUCACAACAAUUUUGUUUUUCUUCUUCCUAAUUACACUUUUAACAAUUUAAAUUACGUGCAAUCCUAAUCAGGAAAAGAUAAAGUGUCCUUCAUCCCUAUGUCCUAUAACAUAACAAUGAUUUAUAACAUAACAUUUAGCUUUUGUAUAUUCACAAAUUGAACAUAAAACUUUACAAUAACCUUCCAGAGGGAAACCAAAGGGAAUCACGAGAACUGAUAACUCUAGCAGAAAACCGAUCAGACUCACUAAACCUUGACUUUCUUCCCUCCUUAUGCACCUUACCCUUUUCCUUAUACACCUCCAUACCAACCUUAUCCUUCACCUCUCUCACCGAAUCCCAUAACCCCUGUUGUGACUCCAAAAUCAUCACCACCCUCUCCUUACACUCUUCCAACCUCUUCAAACAACAAACCAAUUCAACAGCUUCUCCAAAUUCCAAACACCCUAAUCUCUCCUUAAACUCAUUCACUUCAACAAUCACCACAGUUUCUAUCACCACCCAAUCUUCACAAACCAAAUUCACUAUCUCACCCACCAACUUGUUCAUGUUCACUUGAUCUGGUCUCUUACAAAUCCCCUCAACCAGUGUCACCAAAGAGUCAAACUCCUUCAACAAACCACAGUUUGUAAGACAAGAAACUCUCUCUUCACCAUCACACAAAGACUUUCCAAGAAAGAAGAAACCCAAGAUUCGUGAAGUACAUAAAAGAUUCUCAAUAUGUUGAGCAAACCAACGUACCCAACAAGAAAGUUCCCAGGAAGUUGGAUUUGUAUUAUGUCGAAAAUUCGAGAGGUUAAGAUAGUUUCUACCACCGGUUGAAGGGUAAACAGAUAACUGAUCUUGAAGUAUGAAGCUACCAUGGCUGAUGAUAUGAUGAACGAUGAUGAGAGACUUGAGUGCAACGGCGGCGUUGUUGGUGUUCUGAAGACGGUCCAUAAGGAGUUCUAGAAAGGAGGAAGCGGUGGCGCGUGAACCGUCGGUGGAAGAGAGGAGCGUGGAGAUAUGUUUGUGGGUGGGAGGAGUGAAGGAGUCAUGGGUGGUGGCGCGUAAGAGAGAGAGGGUGGUGGGUUUAGAAAGUAACGCUGCUUUGCUUUGUGAAGCUUUGUCUUUGAUUAUGUUUAUUAGGUUUGUGACUGUGAGUUUUGUCAUGUUUUUGUUGUUUGUUUCUUCUCAUAUCUUUAUGAUGUAAAGUCAAAGAGAUCACAAGAAACACACUACACUAACAUGAGGGAGAAGAGAAUGGUGAGAUCCAAAUUUCAUUAAAGAUUUAUUUAUUUCUCUACAUUUUACAGCUACAGCUCAUUUUCAUUUUCAUUAGUCGGCAUAAGAACAUGUCACAUUUAUGUAUGGGUCUUUCUAACGAACGAGUAGUUUUGCAAUUUAGACACACAUAUUUCACGCGACACUUACACCGUUGAACUUUUAAACCAAAUUAUUAACCAGAAUGGACGUUGUUACUUGUUAAUCACUUUUUUAACAUGGGUUAUGAAUCACUUAACCUACCUCAUUAAUCACAAAAAUGUACAUAAACCAAUUAUUUUACAUAGUUUCAAAAUAUUGAUCAAAGUACUUUAAGUAAGAUUAGUGCUAGCGAUACUCUCUUUUAAAUAUAUUUGAUCUAACCACUCACUCUCUCAUUAAUAUAAAUUAUAGCGGGUCUACAUUUUAAAAAUAGAACAUAAAAUUGUAGGACAUACAAUGAUUUCAUCCAAUAAAAAAAUAAAUGUUAGAAAGAAUAUUCAAAAGUGAGUGUUGUUAAUAUUCAUUGUUUAUGUAAAAUAAGUGGUUAUACUUUGCAUUUUUGUAGUUGAUAAAGUAGCUAAGGUGUUUAAUGAAAUUCGUGUAAAAAAUAUGAUUAAAAACAUACAUUUUAAAGGGUGUACACAUUAAAGGUGUCUAUAUAUCUUUAUUUAUUCAAUUAUAAGUCAAAAUCUUCUAUGCAAAAAUUACUUUUUUAAUAUCUUUAUCAACGUACUUGUUAACAUUUUUCUACGUUUAUUCAUCCAUCUAUAUUUUUUCAAUACAUCUUAAAAUAUCAAUCACCUCACAAGUAUUAAUAUUAUUUAAUUUACUAGCUGCAGUGUGAUGAUGCAUUGUUGCAGCUGAUUUCUUUUCAAUGAAAUUUGCUAGGGAGGUCUGUUUUCAUUAAUGGCAUUGAUCCAUUGGUCAAGUUCAGUUCAAUCCGAUGAUACUAGGAAUGUUUUCAUUAAGUUAUUUGUACAUUUAGAAUGAGUGUGAUGCAACCACCAAAGAAUUGUUCUUAUUUGUACUUUUUUUUUUCCUGUUCAAACAAAAAAAAUCGUAAGUUAGAAAUGAGUUUUAUUCUCAAGUCCCUAAAUUGACAGCUCUAGGUAUAGGCAGUUCUAUCUAGGAAAUACUCCACUCGCUUCUCCAAUUUUAGGUUCAUCCCCAACAUUUUAGUAUAUUCACAUCUAAUCUAACAACUAACAAGAGCAACGAGUUCUAUAUGGUAUGAUCCUCUCAUAUCAUUGCAAAGUUCUAAUAAAAAAAAAGUUUGUUUCCAGUCCUGCAGUCUAUGUGUUUGGAUUUCAAGUAAAGUUGACCCAAUGAAUAGACUAGUAAACUCAUUCCUUUAAAACCCCUAAUCUCUAUUUUUAUUCUUGGGUCAUGCUAAUAAGUGAGACACUUAUUAAUAUUUCUCUUUAUUUUUCUAUUGAUCCCUACCAAAAGCUCCUAAAAUGUGUUGAGUUACCCUUUAAGGCAUCAAACAACCGGCCCUUAAUUACCAACCGACCUAACAAAUUACUUAUUCAUAUAUUACAAACCACAGAUCGAGUUGUCGCCUCAGUUGUACCAUAUGCAUCAGAACAUUAUUUUUUUCAAACUUUGUUUUAGUAGUUUCAAUUGAAUUAUCUGUAGAACAAAACCCAUCUAAUCGGUCACAUUGGUAUUUGACUAAGUAGUAUGAUCACAACAAUCCUAAUUAAAAUCCUAAUGUUUGGAAUAGAAAAGCAUUAAACUGAAAUGGUUUUGACACCAAUUAUAGUUUUCAUUUGACACAGAACAUAAGCAAAGAUUAGCAAACAUACAAGUUGCAAGCGAUAAAUCUGUUAAAGAGGGGUUUCUUGAAUCCAAAAGAAUUGCGAAAUUUUUUCGAUAUUUUAUUGAAUGAAAAAAUGCAUCUUAGGUUACGAAAGUUUAGUUUGAAUACUAGGGAAAUAACAGAUUCUAAUGUGCCGAAAAUAAUAAACCGAAACAAAACAGAAAAUAAUAAAAUUGUUGGAAUAAUAAAAAUGUGGUUUUGAGCCUUCAGAUGACUUUGAAUAGCUAAAUUCACCCCUACAUCACGGCAAAGUGAUGAAUUACGCUCGUGAGCAAAUUCUGUUUCCGAAAAGGUAUAAUUCGAGUUAAUCCGAUAUCGGAUGCGAAAUAUACACUAUUCCCAUCGAGCCUUUCUUGUGUGUCACUUCAUCUUCGUACAACCAAUUUGCCUACAUCACCAUUUGUAAUCACAAAUCACAAUGGACAGGAUCAGAAACAUACCAAGCUAAACUCAUUGAUCCCCUCGAUUCUUCAACACCACAAACCAAUUCUACGACACAUUAUGGCCAAACCAUUAGAUCCCAUACAAGUGAAUACUGAAUAUUGUAGUCAUGAUUAAAAGUUACUAUUUAAGUAUCACAUGAGUUUUUGCUCUAAUCUUAAACAUACUGAGGUCCAAUAUCGUACGCAUCUCCCGGCUUUCGGUUUGGAUUAGCAUUGACAGGCGACCUAAUAGAUCUUGGAUACACUCUGAUAACAUAAUCCAUAUGUUCAAGACGUCGAUAUGUAAUGUAAGUAUGAGACAUUUUGUUCCUUACAAACCAAUUGAAAUGAUUUAGCUAUAAGUUACAGCUCAAAUUCUAAAAAAGGUCUCUGUACCCCAAAAAAGAAAGGAGAUAUAUAAAAUGAAACUGAUUUUCCAUGUGUCAGCCUCCAGAAUCAGACAAUAUUGUAUGCGAAAGGAAAGCGGAGCAACAAGCCAGACUAGAAAGCUUUCCACAUUAUUAUUUUUAGCCUCCAGAAAAAACGCUAUAUAUGUCCCCUAAGUUCCUCCCACAUGGUUUUAUGCAGAAAAACAUUAAAUUAUGGCUUAGUGCUACUUUGUGAAUUGUGGACCCGCUGCAACAAAACAUGCAUAUACUUUUUUUUUUUUGGCUAAGCAUGACUUAUCAUUGAAAAAAAGCAUGCAAAAAUGAUCGUCCGUGUGUAUACUACAUUUUUAUAAUAGUUAAACAGUUGUAUAUUUCUAAAAAUAAAACAAAAACAGUCGUAUACGAAUUUGGAGUUUUAUGGUCCAAAAUCUAGUGGCCUAGCGUUUGAAUGGUGGUGAAUUGAUGUGUAAAAUUUUCAAGACUUGUGCAGUCAUAAAACUUCACGAAUCAAGAUAAGGCGAUUCAGAUUUUAACGUUGAAUUUUUCUAUCAAAUAAAAAUAAAAAACUUGAUUUCGCUAAUUGUAUGCAUUAUUGACUACAUGUUUUUUUUUUUUUUUUUUUUUGUGAUCAAAGAGGGCAAUGCCCAAGAAUAAAAAAACAAAUUACAAAGUUACGGUAACAUUUCUUGCCAAGCAAGCUUCAGAUAUGUCAUCAUAAGGAAUAUUUUGGAGCUCACUAACAGAUUUUAAAAUUCUUACAUUAUAGAAACUUUAAUUAAAACUAAAAUUAGUCAACCAAUCAACACAUUUAUUUUCCUCGCACGUGCUUAAAAGCAAUAUUGUCAUGUAAGACAACGAGAUCCUCAAUACACAAACCAAGAUAUGAGUGUGUAAGUUAAGCUUACAACUCUCAAUUACCAUAUCGAUUGACUACAUCUAAUCCAACCAUAUUAUGACAUCGGGAUAUAUAAGUGCUUGGGUGUCCAUAAAUUAUUUUUCUUCUCCUUAUUGGUGGGUUAUAUGUGGGUGGAGGUACGGAAAUCUUUAUAUAUCCCGAAUCUUUAGCUUCUUAAUUAAGCCGAAAUAUAAUCCCUUAAAAAUGAUCAAAAGAAGAAGACAUCCUAAUCAUUUGAAUAUUAAUUAUUUUCAGUUAUAAGUAAUCCAGCGUGCUCCAGGUACCACAAACGAGAAGAAAUCUCUUAAUUAAAGAUGUAAAAUGAGAAAAGCAGGGACAAGAAAUAAAACUAUAUCAAAAAAGCAUAUGCAUGAGUUGUUUCAGAAUCUGGAAACUUGGUUGCAUUAGAUUAAAGCUUUUGGUUGGCACCCCAAAAAUGCUGAAUUUGAUUGGCUAACUUCAAACAAUUCGACACUUGCCUUUCUGAUCCCUAAAUUUGUGGAUUUCUUUUGAACAAGUAUACAUGAGGUCAACCGUACAAUAUUAAAAAACAAAAAAGAAAGGAACAUAAUAGAAGGGACAAGAAUUGUUAUUAUCAAUAUCAAUACAUAGAUAAAGAGAAAAUAAUUGUUACCAAUCAUCAACUUACUCCAACCAAAAAAACCAUCAACUUAUUUAUUUCUUUUGGGAAAAUUAACACUAACUUUUAGGCGGGUCCUCAAAAAUAUUUAUCUCUACAAUUUUAGCAUUUUUGUACCCUUUAUGUAACUAAUGUCUAAUCUCUAUUCUUAUAGGUAAAAUAUGAUUGGUUAAAUUGAUCGAUGAAGGAGGAAUGUUAGUAGUAGGAUUAAGGAGUAAGGAUCAAAAUAUUGACCUCUUGCUUAAAACUCUUUUACCGUUUCAACUUAUAUUUUUGGCCUACUUUGGAGAUUAAUACUCUCUCCAUCUCAAAUUUAAGUGAGGUUUUUUUUACCAUGGUGAUUGUACAUAACUAAGAUACUUCAUCAAGAUCCCUUUUUAUAAGAGUGUAUUAUGCAAUGAUUAUUACUAUUCUUGAAACAGGAAAGGAAAAUUGUACCCAACUAAAAUCUUGAUUUGAAACAUGAAGAGUCCAAUAAAAAAUUUAGAAGUAAAAAGUAAUCAAGUGCUAGGGAGGUACAACUGUAAUAUUGAUGUGUCUUUCUUGGCACAAAGAAAUCAUACUCGAAUUGAUAUGUGCAUUGAUGAUGAUGAUGAAGGCAUGUUUGUUCUUGCUAUGCAAUGUGGAUGUGAGGGAAGCUCUGAGCCUACUUCAUGCACUCUCAUGGAUUCAUGACUUACGAUGACAGCGUUGUUAAUUUUGUUUUUGAUUUGAAAAAGAUGAUUGACUAUUUUAACAAAUGGAAGCAAUGACAUUACUGAUUUUGAUUUUGUACUGUGUGAAUUUAAGCGUUGUUGUAAUUUAUAUUUUGAAAACUCUUGUAUUGAAUUUAGUCCAUGGCAAAUCAAUAAAAUUGUUCAUACUUUAGUAACAGUAUAACCACAUCCUUAACUUGUUAUAAUACUUUUAGUGAUGUACCAACACCAUUGACAAUAUAAUGAACACUAUAACUAAACAUCCUUUCCUAAAAAAAAUAUUUAUUUCUAAUAAUAAUAAUAAUCAAAUGGAACGAACUCAGCAUGCAUGUGCAACUAACUAACUAAAGUUUACACCCAUUAAUAUUUUUUUUAGGGGACACUCAUUUUAUAUUUUAUUCAUGAUUUAUGUUGAGCACACAUAUGCACACGUCAUCUAUAUUUAAACUAUUUAACUAUAAACGGAGAAUUAGUCCCUGAAUAGGAAAUAAGUAGUCACUUUAGUCCCUGAAUGCAGAGAAAUUGUAAAACAAUCUCUUGACUCUGUUGGUCAAUUUUAGGGAGUGAAUUGACUAAUGAAGUCUGCAUUCAGGGACUAAAUUGACUAACAGAAUCAGCAAUGUGCAUUGCAUUCAGAGACUAUAUAACAACUAGACGUGCAACUCCAAAGCUAGUUAUCAAGUAUAGCAACUAGCAACAUGGCUACCGGCGUUACAACAGUGGACUGCCACAAACAAGUAAGAUCAUGGAGAUUGCUACGUUCUCUCAUGCAACUACUAAUCCCAACCUGCAAUUGUACAACCGUAGUUGAAGACCAAGAUACAAUAUCCAAAUACUCCUCUUCUUCACUCACACCAUCCACCACCAUUACAGGCACAAUAUUUGGAUACCGCAAAGGAAAAAUAAGUUUUUGCAUUCAAUCAAAUGCAAACUCCACUACCCCAAUUCUCCUUCUAGAAUUAGCAGUACCAGCAAACAUUUUAGCGAGGGAAAUGCGAGGAGGAACAUUGAGAAUCGCAUUAGAGAGUAGCAGUGACAAUGGAAGAAGAUUUUCUUCGCUUUUGUCGACGCCAUUUUGGACUAUGUACUGUAAUGGAAAGAAGGUUGGUUAUGCUGUUAUGAGAAAGGCUUCGAAUACUGAUAUUGAAGUGUUGAGUUUGAUGCGUUCUGUUGCUGUUGGAACUGGAGUAAUGAAGUGUAAGGAAAUUGUGAAUAAAGAAGAAGAUAAUGAAGUUAUGUAUUUGAGAGGUAGUUUUAAGAGGGUUGGUGGUGGAUCUUCUGAAUGUGAAUCUUUUCAUUUGAUUGAUCCUGAGGGAGAUCAUAAUAUUCACCAGGAGCUUAGUAUUUUCUUUUUGAGGUCAAUGUAACGAUUAAUUAAUUAAUUACCUUAAUCUUUCUUUCUUUUUUUUCCUUUCUUUUAUGUAACUAUAUCACUCUUAUAUUUUUGAGCUGUGCUUAAUUAACCUGCAUACCAGAAAUGUUGUAUAGCAAGUAACUCCAUGGCUUUAUCCUUAAAGAAGUAGCGGUUGAUAAAAGAUCAAGAUUACGGUUGAAAUUUUAAGUUUUUGAUCAACCAAGAUCACUAUUUAAGUUUUAUCUAAUUAGAUUAGAUUAGAUAUUAGAUUUUUGGAAUGAUGCUUGUAGCGAAUAAUAUAUACAACAACAACCAAACAUUUUUCCACCAAAUGGAGCGACCACAUGGAUCAACUUAAAUCAUGAUGUUUUAUUUUAUUUUAUUAUUUUUUUAGAGAAAGUCAUGAUGUUUUAUUAUAUAAAUUAUAUUUUAAUCCAACUCAUUAAUCACUUAAAGUAUUUUUUUUUCUAGAUAUUCAUAUGUGAAUCUAACUACACUUAAUUUGAUCUAACUCUCACUAUAAAAUUUAUAGGUCUCUACUCUACACUAGAUAUUCACUAUAUUUAGUUUAAAUUUUAACCGAUCCUUCAUGGAGAAAACACUUAAUACUAUGUGAAUUCAUGAUGCAUGUGCAUUGCCAUAUAUAGUAGUCAUCUCAUCCGUUAGAUCCAAAUAUCUACUCCUCAACUAUAUUAGUGGGUGGGGCAUUAUUAUUGCAGAAAUACUCCAUAUAAAUGCAUUAUGCGUGGAUCCAAAAGCAUUUUUACGCGUAAACUGACAACUCAUAAUGUUCUUAUUGUUCAUACUAUUAUUGAGCUUAAAAGUUAAAGGCAAUUUUUAGAGAAUUGCAGCCACCUUUACUUAGCUUCAAAAAUGUUUUGGUUACAUGCAAUUCUCUUCUGUUUAACUCGAGACCAACAUUUUUUUAUCGUUAGAAAAGAAAAAGGUACGGAGCGUCACCCUUCCUUGUUUCUACAAUUAAUUUAAAUUAAAAUAAUUAUAAAGGGUAAAAAUGGAUAUUAGGUGAAUUAAUAAGGGUAAAAAUGAAAUGAAAAACGAUAAGCUAUAAGCUAUAACUUCAAUAGAACCUUAAGCAGUAGAAUAAGGUAUAAACUCGUUAUGAAAAGAAAGUUACCAAACAAGUAUAUUUUAACAAACGAACUUAUAAGCUUGUUUUUUAGUCUUGCCAAACAAACCCUUAAGCAGGAAGGACCUACAUAAUUUUUGGUGUUGUGUGACUAUAGUCGGUCACACCAGAAUUUAAAAAAAGUAACAAUAGAAAUGUAUGUCGCUAACUGAUAUAGUGAUUGAAAUGUUUGUCGCCAAUAUAUAAACUAUUAAAAAUUGAUCACAAAGUUAAUUAACGACAAAAAUAAUGAUCGAAAUUUUGGUAGUUAAAGUAUAAACUAAAAAAUGAGACUUGCAAGACAUACACUAAGUGUGAAGAUGGAGGAAACCAAACGUUGAUGGAGUUAUAAUGCGACGUUUGCCCAUUACAAACUCAAGUUUGAACCCUCCCUCCAAUUAGGAAACCAACAUGACCUAAGUUUGAACCCUCCAAGUUUUAACUACAUAUUACUCUUUAACCAUCUAAAUUAUUGCAGUAUUUUGAUAUAACUACUAUAGUAAAUGAACACUGAUUAAAAAUGAAUUAUUUGAAGAAAUUGAAUUUGAAUCCUAACAAAAAAGUCAUUAACUAACUUUACUCAAUGAAGUGUGGAUUAUGGUUCAAGUAAGAAGCAGUCCACCUUAACGGUCAGUCAGUGGUAUGGUAGUUAGAGCAAUGCAAGAGAAGUUACUAACUAAAGAUCAACAAACUAAAAAAAAUGCAAUAAUCUCUUCUUUUUUUGUUCUUUACCUUCCAUUCAAAUUUCCAUUUUCAACUACUAGCUUCUCUCUUUUUCCUAAAUUAUGUAUCAUAUCAUGCAUGCAACAUUUCUUCCUAUCCCAUUAUUUUUUCAAUCCUUCUAUGGGAAGAAUCAAAGUUUCCACCCUUUUCUCUGCUAAUAAUGGCCAUCACUACACUCUUCCUCUUGUAAACAAACCCAAUACACACAAAGAUCAUUUCCCUUCUUCAGUCUUAAAAUGUUUUCGACGAUUUAUCUGUGGAAGUAUGCUUCUAUUCUUCUAUGAUUUUCCAUAACUUGUUAAUUUAGUAGUUAAUGUUAUGCUAAAGUUUCUUUUUUUUGGUGUUUUACUUAUCUGGGUUGUGUUCAUUUGCAGGGAAAGUUGAUGGAGGAUCAAGAACAAAGGAAGAAGAGAAAGUGUACUCUUGGUUAUAUACACUGGCUCAGUCUGAAAAAAACUUGGUCUUUGAGUAUGUUAGAUCCACUGAAAGAGGCAAUUAUCUGCAUUCUACAAUACUACUUUAUCAAUGAACUUUGAUUUUAUAAUUAUCAUUCUUUAAUUUUUACACCCAAUAAAGAUAACUUCUUUUUUUCAAUUGUAUACUGAAAUUAAAUUAUGGACAAAAAAUGUGUCUUGAAUGCAUGUUUUUUGUGCCGCUUGCGCUAUGCAAACUGUAACUACUGUGCAAAUUUUUCAUAAAAGAAAUUUGGAGGGAGAAAAUUGAUACUAGGGCUCAACUAAGAUUUUCAUUGUGGUUUCUGUUGCGAUCAUUGAUAUUGUAGAGAAUUGCUGUCAAAUGUGGCUGAUAAGGUCUAAUUCGCAGCCAGAGAUAUUAAAACCUUGAUGUUGUAACCCAAAUUGCAGUCGUGAGUGGGCUAGUGGAUAGGCAUUGGUCAUUCAAAUAACAUUUUCAUUGUUUAUUUCCAACUACAAUCAUAUCUAUGCUACUCUUAUGUACAUGUAAACUAGACAGUAGAAUAUAGUUUUUUCAUUGUUCUGAUCAGUAAGUAAACACUACCCUCGAGUAUUCGUUUGUGUUAUUUUCCCCCUUUUGUGUUAACUGUGUUCUUGAAUUUUUUGCAGGCUUAAGUUUUACUGAAGCUGAGAGGAGGCUGCGGGAAAAUGGUCCAAAUGUUCCACUUGAGUAUUCAUUUCCAAGCUUGUGGAAUCUUCUAUGGAAUGCUCUUUUCCAUCCUUUCAAUAUGAUUCUGAUUAUUUUAUCUUCUCUGUCCUUCAUCGCCCGUGAUUAUCCCAACGGAUUCAUCAUGCUCAUAUUGGUUUUUAUCAGUGUCAUCCUUCGAUUCUGUCUGGUACUUUUACAUUAAUUAGUUGAUUACGUUCAAUGAGUGAAUACUGAAUGGAUAAUUCUCUUCACUUAUAUCUAUGUUUUUAAUCUUGAAUCUUCGUUGCGGACUUUAGGAACACAGAAGCUCAAAAGCCGCGAUGAAACUUUCAGAAUUUUUAAGGUGUCCUAUAAAAGUUCAAAGAUGUGCUGGUAGAAUUGAACAGAAAGAAUUGAUAGUUCAAGUUGAUCACAUGGAUGUAGUUCCAGGUGAUAUUGUGAUUUUUGAACCUGGCGACCUCUUUCCUGGAGAUAUCAGGCUGUUAUCUUCAAAACACCUUGUUGUAAGGUACUUGAAUAAGAAAAUUUACUCGAAUAGGAAAACAGCUUGCCUUGUCAGCUAACUAAAUGUCAUUUUGUGAUUUCAUUAACUUCUUAACAGCCAGGCCUCACUAACUGGGGAAUCUUGGACAACCGACAAAGCUGGCGAUGUUAGAGAAGAUCACAACACUCCUUUACUAGAUUUAAAGAACAUUUGCUUUAUGGUGAGUAACACAACUCCUUGUCCCUAUUUUGUUUCAAUGGUAGUUACAGAUUACAGCAUCUGUCGUGACAAAGGUUGAUUUUGUAAGAAUGGAUUCUGUAAAAUUUAUUUUAGCUAAAAGUGCAUUGAAUGUAAUUCUUGUAAAAGUGAGUUGAACAUUGGAGACAAAAGCUCCAAAUUCUAGCUUCAAGUUACUUGACAACAUCCAAACAUGUAAAACUCGACUCUACACCCCUGGAAUCCAUUUUGUGUCCUAUAAAAUUGGAAUCAAACAUACACUUGCAUCUGAUAGAGCCCUAACCAAAGGAUUUUAUAGAUAGAACAUCUUGCUAGGAAUGGAUUAAUUAUAGAUGACUAGUAUUAUUAUGCCUUAUUUAUUUCCAUAAUGGAUUGGCAUUGACGAGUGAUCUUUAACUCUUUGAGUUUUCCUAAUUUCAAAUAAUUUUUCUUUAUUUGUGUGACCAUUUUAGAGACAUGACUAACAAUAAACAGUAGAAGUUAAUCUAUUUUUGUAAUACACUAAUAUUGCUAUACUUAAUUCACGAAGAUGCAAAUCCAUAUCUCAAAUCAUUUGUUUUUUAUUUCAGAGUUUUGUAACUUGCUAUAUAUUUCAGAUAUUUGGCCUUCAAAAUUAUUGAAUUUCCAAACAGAAUUUCCAGCUUAAUAACAGAAUUUAUCUUAAGAGACUAAUUACGAACGUUACAGGGCACAAAUGUGGUAUCAGGUACGGGAACAGGUUUAGUUAUUUCAACUGGAUCAAAUACUUACAUGAGCACCAUGUUUUCAAAAAUUGGGAAGAAAAAACCGCCAGACGACUUUGAAAAGUGUCUCAGAUGGAUAUUUUACAUGCUUAUUUCCGUUAUGCUAGUAGUUGUUACAAUUAUGUUCGUGACAGAUUUCACUACAUCUCAUAAUUUGAGCAAGAGUGUUCUCUUUGCCAUCUCAGUUUCAUCUGCACUCAAUCCUCAAAUGCUUCCCCUCAUCAUUAACACAUGCCUCGCGAAAGGAGCAGUUGCUAUGGCUAAAGACAGAUGUAUUGUAAAAAGUCUAACAUCUAUACGUGAGAUGGGAUCAAUGUAAGCAUAAAUUCACUUUAAAAAUCAACUGAUUGAUGAUUUGGACACUAAAUUCUCAUUAAUUAUAUACUAUUUUCACUGUUGCAGGGAUAUUCUUUGUAUUGACAAGACAGGCACCCUUACAAUGAAUCAUGCAAUCUUGGUUAAUCAUCUUGACUGCAGGGGUUUACCCCGAGAAAAAGUUCUACGCUAUGCGUUCCUCAAUUCUUACUUCAAGGCUGAGCAAAAGUAUCCUCUGGAUGAUGCAAUUCUAGCACAUGUAUAUUCAAAUGGAUUCAAGUUUCAGCCAUCCAAGUGGAAGAAGAUAGAUGAGAUUCCUUUUGACUUCAUAAGAAGAAGAGUAUCUGUCAUGUUAGAAACAGACGAUAGACACUCGAGGUUCUUUGGCAGGUUCAUGGUAACAAAAGGAGCAUUGUUGGAAGUCAUAAAAGUUUGUUCUUUUAUUGAGAAUUUUGAUAAAGAUGAAAUUUCUACCUUCUCAUCAAAUGACUAUCAGAGGAUUUUAAAUCUAACAGAAGAAUUGAGCAAUGAAGGGUUAAGGGUUAUCGCAGUAGCUAUAAAGAAGGUCGAAAUGGUGCGUCUUGCUUGGCUUCCUGGUUUAAAAUGUCUACAACUUUGCCUUUCUUUUUUAAUUUAAUGCCAAUAUCAUAGAUUUUUAAUAUACAUAGCUUUACAAGAUUAGGAUAUAUUACAAUUUCAAUUUAUGUGUGAAAGUGCAGCAGCAGACUUGCGAAACAAGUAACGGAAGCAAGAGACACGACUAUGAUUUCGAAAGAGACAUGAUAUUUCUUGGUUUCAUAACAUUUUUUGAUCCACCUAAGGACUCAGCAAAGGAAGCACUGUGGUGUUUGGCUGAGAAAGGAGUGAAAGCCAAAGUUUUAACAGGCGACUCACUUUCCUUAACCACAAGAAUAUGCAGAGAAGUCGGCAUAAGUACCACUCAUGUUAUAACAGGACCUGAGCUAGAAGAACUUGAUCAAGAAACAUUCCAUGAAACCGUUAAAAGAGCAACGGUGCUAGCCCGUCUCACCCCUAGUCAAAAACUUCGAGUCGUGCAAUCAUUGCAGACAAAAGGAAACCAUGUUGUUGGUUUCUUAGGAGACGGUGUGAAUGAUUCACUAGCUUUGGAUGCUGCUCAUGUAAGCAUUUCAGUGGACUCCGGCGUAGCCAUUGCCAAAGACAUGGCAGACAUAAUCUUACUAGAGAAAGAUCUAAACGUGCUCGUUGCGGGCGUGGAGCACGGUCGUCUCACCUUUGGCAACACAAUGAAGUACUUAAAGAUGUCGGUUAUUGCUAACUUGGGAAGUAUCAUUUCACUCCUCAUAGCAACAUUGUUCCUAAAAUAUGAGCCCUUGACUUCUAGACAGCUACUUACACAGAAUUUCAUCUAUAGCCUUGGACAAAUCGUCAUCCCUUGGGACAAAAUGGAUGAAGAAUAUUUGAACACUCCUCAUAAGUGGUCCGUGCGAGGCUUGCCGAUGUUCAUAUUGUGGAAUGGACCGGUAUGCAUUUUAUGUGACGUGGCAACACUUUUGUUUCUUUGGUUUUAUUGCAAGGCUUAUGAUGAUAUGAAAUUUUUUCAUUCAGCUUGGUUCAUUGAGGGUCUUCUGAUGCAAACUCUGAUUGUUCAUUUGAUGAGGACUGAGAAAAUCCCUUUCAUUCAGGAUAUUGCUUCUUGGCCUGUGAUUUUUUCCACUCUUGUGAUAUCUACAAUUGGAAUUGCAAUUCCAUUCACUCCUAUUGGGAGGGUUAUGGGAUUCACCCUUAUACCUCUUUCAUAUUUUGGAUUUUUGUUUGUUAUUUUUAUGGGAUAUUUUACAAUAGGUCAGGUGGUUAAGAGACUUUACAUACUGGUUUAUAAGAGAUGGCUUUGAAUAUCAAAUUCUCAAUACAGUUUUGUUUUCCAUACGAUGUUUGUCUUGAAAUUGUUAUCAUAGCAAUGGACACAUUCAAUCAAGACGGCUUUGCAAAGCCGUAAGCUAUGGUAAUUGGUGAUAUAAAGAGCUAGAAAAAAACAAAAAUAUAUGGCGCCUUAGAACACCACUCGGCCAAACUGUCUUGUUGUAUUCAAUUAGUAAGACAAAUGAUAAGAUUGUAACAAACAAUAACAUUUUAUGAUAAACAAUACAUAUUUAAUUCCCUCCAGAAAAAAUAUAUUUAAUUAAAAUAUUUUAACAUACGUUCACUGCUUCCAAAAAAUUGUGUAGCUCAGAAAAAUGAUGGAGAUCAUGAGAAAAAAGGUCCUACCGGGAGUCGAACCCAGGUCGCUGGAUUCAAAGUCCAGAGUGCUAACCACUACACCAUAGAACCAUUCGAUGUACAUUUUCUAUGAAAUGGCUAGUUAUCUUCAAUACGGAUUUGCUGACACCAUACUACUAAAAUACUAAUAAUUUCUGCCGUAAAAUAAUAAUCAUGUCUUCGUUUAGGGUACAGAGAGCGUAAAUAAACACAUGAAGCUCACAGCUUUAGCAUUUGCUAGGAUUAUGGAUUUCUCCAUCUCAUUUUACUAAUAGGUUUUAGAGAGAAUAUACUCAUGGUAAAUUCAUUUAACCAUAUGUAUCUAUUAAUGUCUGUGUUUAAAUAUCUGUUGAACUCCUGUAAAAACAAAUGGUAGAAAUAUUUUGAGAACUAAUUAAUAUAACUUAUUAUCAUAGUGGUUAAAUAAAAAUUGACGUGCCAAAAAAAAAGUGAUUGGCCAAACACAGGUCUGAAUUCUGAAUAGUUUUGAAACACAAAUAUUAGUUCAGAAGUUUCUCAAUCUUUUGUGUUGUUCCAUAAAAAAAAAAAGUCGUUGAAUGGUUGGUGGCAGUAGCAUUCUUGAGACUGCGAUGUAGGUGGCAGUGCAAGCAAGAUACUUGCUUAAUGGUUGGUGUGCCACACAGCGCAGACUAUGAGGCAGAAGCAGAAACGAGCUGUUACUCCAAUUAUAGAGAUAGAUGGUUGAAACCUGAUCCAAAUAUGCUGUAAUGCAAUAUCAAUGCCUCAUUUUCCAAUGCUAGUAAUGGAGAAGGCAUUGGUGCCUGCAUCAGAAAUGAUUCGAGUGGUUUCGUGCGUGUUAAAACAGAAUUGUUUUUUCCAAAUUUGUUUGGUGGACGAAGGAGAACCAUGUGGAUCAUUGUGAGCAAUCAAGUGGAGCCAUGACCAUCAAAUGGAAAAUGUGGAUUUUGAGUCAAGAAGGUAGUUGAUAUUUUACGAGAGAUGCCUUAGAUUUUGGUGCCAUAAUUACAGAUUGUAGACAUUCCUUUUGGUUAUAUUCAAUUUUAGUAACUCUAGAGUUGAGAACAAACCAUUGAGGUAGCUCAUACACUAACUAGGACGGAUACAUCUUUAACUAGUUUGAGUUUAUUUAUCACAUUGUUGCUAACAAAAUGAGUUAUGUUUGCCCUAGUCAAAAAAUAUGUAUUACAUGUUAUGUUUUAGAAUUUUGCUCCACUGUAAUUUAACAAUGGGACUAAAACAAGUCACUAAUAAAGAAAGCAGAUAUAUACAUCGUGGUAAGCUCAUCUUGUAAUGUAAAACAGAGGAAACAGGGUAGAAAUACCAAAUUUACUCAAACUUUUAUAUGUAAACUGUGUUGCCAUAUUUCUGCGCUGCUGAAUAUUAUAUAUGCACAAAGCAAGCAUAUGGAAAGUCUUAAACUGAAAGAUGGACUAGUAUUUGUAAAUAGAAGACAUGCAAAAAAAGUAGAACAAUACCCAUUCCUUAAUAAUCCUUGAAUCAGCACCAUUCAUUGAUCUUUAAACUUGACAGAUCAUGAAAUGUAUAUUAUUGAAGUAGAAGAUGAUUCCAUGGAAAAUUUCCUCUUCACAGGUUGUAUUUCCUCUUCCAUUUAUUUUGCUAACAAAUUAAGCAAUAUUAUUUUUAUUUGGUCUUUCACUAGAUGAUACACCAGAAUCACCAUCAUCAUUAUCUACUCUAAUAAUAAUAUCAAACUCUCCUACAUUAUGUGACCCUAAUCCUCUCCCAACAGCAUUAUCAGAGCUUUCUGUAUGUCCUUGAUUCUGAGUGUCACCAGAAAUAUUUGAAAUUGAAUCAAGUUGAUCAGUGACUGUGAUACUCACCUCUGCAGCAUCAUUGAUAACAGGUGCACGACACAGCGGACAAUUCUUGUGUGAACUAAGCCAAGUAUCAAUACAAGGGAUAUGAAAAGCGUGGCUACACUUAGGCAAAAUUCUGAGACUCUCUUCCUCUUGAAAUUCACCUAGACAAACAGAACACUCUGUCCCAUCAACGAGUCCUUCGUCUUUUCUGUAUUUGAAGACUGUAAUGGAAUCUAUCACCGAUCGUUGAAGCCCUACCGUACGGAUGAACCAUAUGGGAUGAUCAACAAUAACCCUCUCAUCACCAUCAUUAUCAUCAUCAUCAUCAUUUGAAAUUGUAGAAUCUCUAUAACCAUGGACAUCAAACAAUACCGGCGUGUUUCUUCUAUCGCGAGUAUGGUUAUGUCUUCUUGAUUGAUAGUUCCUUAUGGAUAUGAAAAAGAAGAAGAAAAGCAUAAUCGUAGUAACAAAGCAAGCCAUGGCCAUCAUAGCUAUACGAAGUGUGUGGAUAUCAUGGAUAUGGAAAUGAUGAAGUAUGUUAUAGGGAGUGUAUGUAACAGGUGAUUGUUGAGGAGAAGGGUUUGGGCUAUCAUGGUAAUAGAAAUGAAGGAGAUUUCUAAGAUGAAAAACCAUUGAUGAAAGAAAGAGGGUAGUGAGAUUUGAUUGAGAGAGAAUGUUAGAGAUAAGAGUGUACAUGGAAGAUUGUGGAGAUUUUUGUUUGUUUUUCCACCACAAAUCAUGGUCUGAUUAGAUGGUAAUUAAUUAGAAUUUUGGGUAAUUUAGCCUUUCAUAGGAAACUUCCGAGUUUACUUAGCAGCCAAGUUUUUUCCAUGUUUAGACUUCAGUCAAUGCUGCUUUGAUUUUGGAAUUUACGCGUUACUUUAAUAGUGGUGGGGGCCUACUUAUGACUUCCAUGUGUGACUCUAAGACCAUCUACAAUGAUACAACAAUAUUUAUGUUCUUGAGGCAUUUGUAUGGGGUGAUGCGAUAUACUCCCUCCGUCCCAAAUUGUAUGUCACUUUAUAAUAUCAAUGAAACAUUAAUGUUACUUUUCCUAUUAUAUCCUUAACUAUUUAUUACUCUUUCUUUUUUCAAUUCUUUCAUUUAUCUUUCUCAUAUCAUUUAUUAAGGAUAAUUUUGUAAAACAACUCAUAAUAUCUCUUUCCCACACAAUAUUAAUUACAUUUUUUAAUAUGUGUGAAAUGCCCAAAACGUCAUAUAAUUUGGGACGGAGGAGGAAGUAUAUAUUAAGAACAUUCUUUCAUUUAUACUUCAAUACAAAGAACAAUAUUUAUGUUCUAAACUUACAUUUGUAGGGUCCUACAAUUGACCCCAUAAAUUUGUAUUUAUUUCAAUAUUUUUAAAAUAAAAUACUUAUUUGUAUAUUAUUUUUUCUAAAAAUAUUAAAUAAUGAAAAAAAAUACUUAUAUUAUCUAAUUAUGAAAAGAAAUACAUAAUUUAUUGAGAACAAGUUAAAACAAAUAAAAAUACAUUUAUUGUUUUUUUAUUUGAACACUUACUGGUCCUCUUUAAAAAAAAUUAUGUUACUAGUCCAUCUUUUCUCAAAGAAGGGAUUUAUUAUUUUUCAAAAACUUAAACCCAAUUCUCAUGUUUUCUCUCUCCCAAGCGUCACUCACACUCCCCACCCUCCUUUUCCUUUUCUUUUCCUCUUUUCUCUCUCCUUGCUUUGUUUUGUCUGACAUAGAACCUGCAAGAACGUGUUCCCCGAGAGGAACGGUUCUCCAACUUAUCCCCAUGUCACUCUUCUCAAAUGCAUAGAACAAAAUUAUGUGUUCUUGUAUUGUAAGAACAGUGUGUAGAACAAGCGCUAAAGUUGCUCUAAAUUGGUAAAAUGCUCAUAGAAGUAUUUUAAAAAGAGCAAUGCUAGGGACAGAUGUUGUGACAAUCGCUUUUGACCACUUUCCUUCCUAUUGGUCCACAUCAUUGUUAUUAAAACAUCUCUUAACCGGCAACCGGCUAUGUUUUUUAUAUUAAAAAUUCUAUAUUUUCUAAUUAACUUUGUCUCCCCUACGCACGCCUCAAAUCACAAUUUACUGUUAUAACGACAAGCAUCUUCAUUGCCAAAGCUUGAUGUAGUCAUGGGAAAGACAAUUGGAUCUUUGAACUUGUGAGAUUAGAUGAAUCUUUGAAAAAUGUUUCAAUAAUAUUCCAUUAGAUUUGGUGUGAGACUGAUGACAAAAAGCUCAAUUUUGCAGGCAAUUUCUCUUUGACAAAACACCACAACUCAGUCCUUAAGUCACUCUGCAAAGAAAAUUCAGAUUCAUUCAAACCCAGAUCUGCCAAUUAUUUGCAUGAGAAAAAUAAUUUAUUGUAGAUUUAAAGUUUAUUGGAAUAAUUAGACUUGACCCUUUAUGAAAUUUGGGAAAAGAUUUGGUUUUUGGUUGAUGUUUAUUUGAUUAAGGGGCUGAAACUUGAAGGUUGGUUAUGGGGUUGUUGUGAUAUCAGUCCAAAUCCUUAAUUCUGCCAAUUAUUUGCUAUGAGCAUAUGGGUUGUUGUGAUAGCCAUGAGUGAUGUGGGCAUGUCUUUCUAGAUCUUCUUCCUUCUUGCAAAUAAAAAAAUAAUAAUAAUAAAAUAAAAUUAAACUUGAGGAGCCUGUAAACAAGUAAAUGAGUUUAAAGAGAAGUGUGAUGUGGCCCAAUCCGUGAGAGAGUGUCCGGCCGAGAGUGUACAAGCGACUGAUGCUAGCAUGACUCUUUUAAAAAAGGUGAUAAAAACUAUAUUAUUAUUUUCCUUAAAAAAACUAUUAUUAAUUUUUGUACCAGACAAAAACUCUACUAAAUUGUUAGGUUGAUCUUUAUAUUUAACCAUUUAACAUUAAUUAAUGUGCUAUCAAUUGUUUAUCGUUUUAGUAUCAAUCUAGUCUCCAAUAUAUUUUUUUUGAAUGAGAAAUAUGAGUGAAAUUUGACAUAAUCGAUGACGUUUUUGAAAUAUGCAUGAAGUCAGAGACCUAUUUGAAAGCGUCUUCUAAAGUCAAUGAUUAAUUUUGUACGUUACUCGUAUAUGUUUGGUAAGUUAGAGCACUUGUCAGAUUCACUUACGGGCUUAUGGCCCAAUCACAUCAAUUUGAGGCACAAUUUCACCCGGUCUUAUGAUCAAGUUUGCCACUUCUCAGAUUAUGUGGGUCGCGGGUCAUACGAUGGGUUGAAUCAGUUUUGGUCUACUAUUUAAGUGGCCCAACUUCUUUUUUAGACUUCUUGUUCGUAAUUUUUUAUUUUUGUUAAAUUUUUAAAUGAUUGCACUUUAGGCACCUAAGAAUUGCUCACAAACACCUAUUGAACGAAAAUUGAUUAUUGUUUGCUUCAACUCGGUAGUUGACUACUGUUCAGCAUUUUUUAAAUCGAUUUAACAGAUUUAAAAAUCUCGUUGAACGGUAGUUAAUUAUUGUUGAAGGUAUUUUGAAUAAUUUGAGGUACUCAUAAUUGCUUGAUGUCUAAAUAGCAACUUCUAAAUUUUAAUGCAAAAAAACACAUUGGGUUGGGCUUGUGCUGGGCUCUAGAUAAAAAAAAACUGACCGUUACUUUUCCCACCCUAUGAGUUUCUUGCGCGCCCUAUUCGAAUUCUAAAAUCCGAAAUGUUUCAACGUGUUUUGGAGGUUUUUAUGGGGUAUUUAUGUCGUUCAGAUUCUAUAAACCAAAUUGCAUAGGAAGCACGAGAAACUCAUAGGAUUGGAAAAGCCUAUUACAGAAGUUUGUAUGAUUUAUAAUUAACAUUGCCUUCUGUCAGGUUAGUAUGACCAAACCAAGUAGUUUUAAUUCAUUCUUCACUCAUUGGAACCUAAAGGGCUUCAAGCUCCUGAUGUUAUUCAAAGGAGAAAAAGUUUUCAAUUAUUCAGUUACACCACAAUAUAUUAUGUACACCCUAAAAAUGAAAAGAAAGUGCUCUGGGAAAGUGUUUUACACAAGCACUUGAAAAAUGCAAAAGUAACUUGUUAAUUUGAUAAAUCACUUGAAACACCAAAUUAGAGAAACAAGAGAGAAAGGUGAAUCAAGAUAGAAAGGCAACCAAGACACUUACAAUACGACGAACACUGAUAAGAGUUUUCAUUUUCAUUUUUCAAAGCCUACUUAAUCGGUUGGUCCAAUGUAGUACUUAUCUACUUUCAUACGUAGUGUUAGUUGAGAAGACCACUGAAAGCUAUAUAUCAGAAGUUGUGAUUAAUAUUUAGGCAUGUGAAUUAUGAACCACGCCUACAUGUGGCUGCAAAAUACUCCUGUCCCAGUGACUAAGUAUAAUUCAUGUUGCUUAAUUAGAUACAGAGUAGAAAUCUGUUAUGAGAAAAUGCACAAUCUCAUGGUGGUGAUGUUGUUUUAUUAAUUAUCAAAUAUAUAUGUGGACUGGUUCAGUAGAAAGAUUUAUAAUUAAUUUAAGCAACAAAUACAAUGAUGGUUUUUCUCUGUUCUUAUGUCAUUAUUCUUGUGUUCUUAUGUCUUUGUGACAAUGAUACUAAACAAGAAGUUGUUUGAGAUAAUCAUUUGGUUAUCCAUGUAAACAAGCUUGAUCCAAAUGGAAAAAAGAGAAAUGAUGAUGAUAAUAAUAACAUAAAUCGAAAAAAAAAGUCUCAGUCAAGAUUCUGUUUGUUUCCCCUUAUGUUGGUGUUAUUCUUUGGAAAGCAUUAACAAAGUUAGAAAAGAGAACAAAAAAAGUAUGCUGCCUACCACUAGGUGUUAUGCACUGUCAGACAAACACUCUCAACUAAUCAAUUCCUUUUUCUUUUAUUUUUUGGUUCUUUAGUUUGUUUUACUCUCUUCGUUGUGUUAUUCUAUUGCAGAGCUACUAAAAUAAAACAACAAAAAGGCUUCUCUCUUUCCCACUUUUAAAAGCAUUGGAUUGGAGCCUACUAAUUAAAACCACUUUAAUGAAAAGCAUAUGAUUGCCGGAUUGGUUUGGUGGAUUUUUUUUUUUUUUUUUUUAUUUCCUCUGAUCAUUAUUAUAAACAAAAAAUUCAUUUUUUAAAUUCAUUCAAUAAAUAAUAUAUGUAGUAUAUAUAUAUAUCACAUACAUCAUUUAUUAAAUGAAGUUAAAAAAUCAACUUUUACUUAUAAUAGUAACCGGAGCGAGUAACUUUUAAGGUGAGAAUUAAAAGAACCAAAACAAAAAGAAAGCAAAAAAAGCAAACUAGUGAAGUGAACGACGGGAAGCACCCACCUUGAAACCUUUGGUCGCUUCCGGUUGUUUCUUCUUGUUCCUCUUCUUCCUUGAGACCAACAACUGAAAUGGCUGACUUGUAUUUUCAUCCAAAUCAACAACCUCAUCGUUAUGAGCCAUGUUUGCCCAUGAUUCACUUAGAAAAUUCAUUGCUUGUUGGACCUUUGUGGAACAAGCCCUAAAACUUGUAUGUCAUGAAUAACAGAUGCGCUGAAACUUGACAAGUCAGAGUUUGUCACCACAAUGGAUCUACCUCUUAAAGAAAUUGCAUUUGCUAUUACUUCCUUGUGAUGAGCCUCUUAAUACAAAAUAUCAGUUGAAUUUGAAUGAUCUUCACAUUCUAAGGUGAGAAAGUUAAUAUAAUAUAAUCUACGGUGAAUCGUUACUUAAAAUUUAUUUAAAACUCUUAACAAUAAUUGAUAUUUCUGGUAGUAAUUAAGUCCACCAUAAUAUUAGUGCUCAUGAUUAAGAUGUUGAUCAACCAAUGUCAAAUCAAUAAAUAUACAAGAAAAAUCAGUAUUGACAUCUUGAAACUCAAUUUUUAUUGGUGUUCUCUUGUUUUUGUCGAGUUAAUAUGGAUUAGAUCAAUGUAUUACUCCCAAUUUCUAUUAAAAGGCAUCGAUGCGACGACGUUGAUGGUCAUUAACAUUUUGAGUGAUUCGUAAACUCCAUGGAACACUUUUAGCACUGAACAAUUAAUUGUCUUCUGCGUAUGUGAUGUUACCUUUGGUUCCUAAAUUUUCCGAUUGUUCACUUUGCAAACUCAAUGUGGCUCUCACCUUCCUUUCAUGCAAUGCCAAAUCCUUUGUAUGUUUUGUGGACACACAAUGUAACAUCCGACACCAUACAGCUUCGUACGGUUGAAUUUUUUACCAUUAUUUUUUUUCACUUCGGGUGAAAACAAACUAAAUCGUAAUUGUAUUUUGUAGUAUAAUGUUACUUUUUUUUUUUGUCCAAAUAACCCAACUCGUAUAUGAUAUGUUGCUCAAAUACGAUGCUUUUAUGGUUGCCAUUGGAUUUUGUGUAAAAAAAAUAACGGCAUUUCUCUUUAUAAAAAUCACAUUUAAGUGAAUGCAUGCAUCCAAUCAUAAAUUAUAUUAUCUUACUCUUUAUGUUCACAAUACUCGUCGCCUUUGAGAAAUUUACAUACCAAGAAACUAAAUAAAUUUUGUUAUUUUUAAUAAAAUUCUUUCUAUUUUUUCAAUAAUACCCUUAAUCAUUUAAUAUUUCAUUUUAUUUUAUCAUUUCUCCUUUUACAAUAAAUAGAUAAGAAUAUAAUUGACAAAUUAAGAAUUAAUUUUACAUUGAAACUUAAAAGUGAUAAGUAAAAUGAAACAAAAUUAUUCUUUAAAAUUAUGAAUCAGAUGAAGUUUGUUUAGUUCAAUUUUUAACUACAAUAAAUUUUGUAAAAUCAAUUUACUCAAAAUUAUGUUUAGCGAUGGCUGAACUAAAGUGGAAAGAUUACAAUGUUCAUUAGGUUGAUGAAUUAUACCCUUCUCAUGAGGUUAUGAAUAUUUUGGUCCACCACACACACGUGUUGUUAAAGGCUAGAAACAUUUGGAGUUUUUUAAUUAUAAAUUGAUGGCGGUAGGGCCUGAUGAUUGACAAUAACCAUACUGAUUUUAUGGUGAAAACUCCAAAUCCCAUCCCACCCAUUCCAUUUGAUGCUUGGUUGUCACUGCUUUGAAAUUGCAUGGGAAAGAAAGUGGAGACAAUGGAAUGGAACUGAUUAGUAAAAUUUGUCUACAAGUUGAAGCUGGAAACGACAGCAUUUAUUUAUGAGUUCAUAUAUCAUAUAUACCACAUGUUUAGGGAAAGUGGGUGUGUGUCUCAUGCAUUCAGGAGUAUUUGCCGAUGCAAUACAUACCCAUCAAUCCUAUCCUAUUUUCAAUGUGAAGUUCGGUGAGAAAAUAUAAUAAUAAGGCAAAUUCGAUGGUACACCCAACAAUUUGAGUGUAUUGGUACACCAAAUCUUUAAAUUAAUAGUUAAAUGAGUUAUUUUUUGUAGGAAAAAAAUAUUUUCCAUCACCUAUAAUUAUAAUAACUAAAUCUUAUUUACCAAAAACGUAAAUACAAUAAAAUUUGAUUUUUCUGAAUUCAUAUUACUCAUAAUAGAGAAUUUUGAUUAUUUUUUACAAUAAAAUUUAGAAAAAUUUAGUAUGAUUUUUCUAAAAAAUGAAGUGAUGUUCUUUUUUAUAAAAUGAUAUUUUCUAAAAUAUAUAUGUCAACAAACACCAAUUUUCUUUAAUAAAAAAUGAUAGUUAAUUUAUAAAAAUUGUAAGCGAGAGUACCGGUACACCUUAAUUUACGGAUGUACCGUAGAAGUUCCCUAAUAAUAAACUUGUAAAUUAACUGCUAGAUACUUAGAUUAAUCAAACUUUGAGAAAUUUGCUCACAAGGAAGAAGCAACAAGAAAGCAGGGGUUUAUACAUGCUGGAUUGGGAUGGGUUUGAUGAAAUGCUAUUAUCAAACUAAUCAACUCUUAUCAUUAAUUCGGUUGAAUAUCAACUCAUAUAUAGUAGCAUAUCUUAAGAGAAAAUGAAAACUAAAUCAAACCAAUAUAAUGGGGUGGAUAGGGCUCAUGAAACCUCAAGAAAUAUUCUAAAAAAUAUAACUAAAUGAAAACAUUUCUGGUGCUUAACAUUUCAAAAACCAUAAAAUUCAAAGCACAAAUUUAAGGAAGAACCCCUGCAUUAUUUCCAAAAAAAAAAAAAAAUUAUGAACCACACUUCUUAUAACGUUUCCGCAUUUCUUUUCUAUUGACAAAUCUUUUUCUAAACGGAAUAUAAAUACAUUUUCCGUUACAUUUUUUAAGGUGGUCUGUGUAUCAUUUCCCUUUUCAAAAAUAAUAUAUUCAAAUCCCUUAUAUAAAAAAAAAAAUUAAUAAAUAAAUCAGAUUUAGCAACUUUUUUUUAUGUUGGUGUUACGUGUUAACCCUCUGGUAUUUUUGAGUUCAGUCAUGAAGUAAGCAUCAUAUAGUCAAGAAUUGUUCACCCAAGAAAAAACUUGUUUUAUUUCGUCAAUAUUUAUUUUGAAUUAGACGUAGAAAAAUCAUGUAUAAAUACAUAUUUAUACAUGACCCAGCAGUGGUAUAUAUCAAAUUCAUUGGUUCAACUUACUCCUUGUAUCUAAAGUCUUCUUGACAAUGAUGGUCAGACGGCAUGUCUUGCUGAUGUAGUGUCAACGGCGGUGUAAGUGUAUAUGGAGAAAAACUUUCAUUUGAGGAAGAACAUACUCGUAGGAAUGGAUGAACUCGCACUUGAGGGGAGAAUUGUUGAUUUGGUUAGAAGUCUCGUUGAACAAAAUAAUGGAUUUUUUUUUUGUGCAUAAAAAAAAAUGGAUGUUGAGCAACAUAUAAUUAACAUGACAUGUAUAUCCAAUAUCCUAAGAUUUUGAGUGAAGAUGUGUUAUCAACUCGGUUGCGUGGUUGCACAGAGUGUGCCAAAAUCCAAUGUGGUAACUCCUCGGAUCCUAUCGUAACCCAACAACUAUGAAGAAAAAAAUUAUAUAAACCCACUUCAUUAAAAUUAAAUGGUUUUCUAUAUAAAAAAAUUGUUUAAAUUGCUGAUGUAUUUUUCUUCUUACAUAGGUUUCUUCUAUUGAGAGUAGUUUUACUCGAGGCACAUAUCAUCACUACCUUUGUUUGGUAGAAGAGAAAUGUUGAAGAGAGAUAUCAAAGAGAGAAAUAGAAGAGAAACAAACAUUUUCUCUUGUUUGGUACACACAUGAAAGAGAGAAGAGAGACAAAUCAGAGGCGGGACCCACAUGUUUUUUUAUCUCUCUCCAGAGCAGCGAAGAAAGGCAUGAGAAAGUGCUGGUUUUCUUAUUUUUACCAUUCUGCCCUUUAAUUUGUGAUUUAACUUGUACCUAUGCUUUGUUAUUAUAUUACGUGUCUUUUCUUCUUUCUUUCUUUCUUGGAUUCAUUAAUUAAUAUUAAUAAACUAUUAAUUAUUUUAUUGAUUAAAUAAAAUUAAGUAAAAAUAAAAUAAAUUCAGUUUAAUAAUUGAGGUAUUUCAAUUAAUUAAUUGAUUUAAAACAAAAAUAAAAUAACUUGGGGAGAGGAUUUUUCUCAAGGACAUUUUUGUACUUUCAAAAAUAAUCAACACUUCUCUCUUCUCUAUUUCUCUUCCCUCUCACUUAUACCAAACAAUACCUCAAAUCUACUCUAUUUCUCACCUCUUUCUCUCUUCCCUUACUCCCUCUCACCUCUUUCUCUCUUCUUAUUUUUUCUCACAACCAAACAUACCCUUAAUGUUUGUGUAUCGUUCGAUUAAGAUUCAAAUAUUUAUUUUACGUUGUUACCAGAGCCUAACCGUUUCUACUUUCUACCGAACCCAAUCACAAUUGAUAGUAAUGUGGCAAGUCUAUUUUAGAAGAAACUGACGAAGGCCUAACUAUCUAUUCUAGUUUAACACUCGCAUAUCUUAAACUUUAAAAAGAAUCAGGGAAUAAGUGUUGAAAAAAACAUAGGCAAUCAACGGUCAAUUGGAUAGUUUUUAUUUUGCAGUGCAAAUUUGGGUAGUAACUGGGCAUGCAUCUCUAACCUGGGCCAUAUCAACUCACAAAAUACUCCGAAUUGGGUCAUUGGCCAUCCGUAAAACACUUCAGUGAUCCACGUGAUAUACGUUGCAGCAUCAGCGCGCGCACACACAUGACACUAUUGUUCUACAAUCAAUUAGUGCAUGGUGAAGAUCAAAUGAUAAUCCAUCGAUCAUGGCAUGAUUCUCCCAACGAUCUCAACAAUGUUUUUCACUCAUUUCUCUUAAAACCUCCAAGUAUAAAAUGACUUAGGCAUAAUAAGAAUUGUAUACACUAUUAACAUCACAUCUCACUCACUUUAGUCAAUGUUUUUUUUUUUUAAUAUCUUGAUUCUAUAAAAUUAUAUAUAUAUAUAUAUAUAUAUAUAUAUAUAUAUAUAUAUAUAUAUAUAUAUAUAAGGCAAGCGGGCAACAAGCUGCGCCGUUAGACCUUUUUGGGUGGCAAGAUCAAUCCUCGUGAAUACAACAUUCAUGGACCUAAGAGACGUAACAUUGAUAUGCAUGACCUUUUGAACUCUAUGUAGAAGGUCAACAGCCUCUGGCGCUAGGAAAUUGAAAGUGUCAAAAGCAAAUAGUAUAAACGCAUGUUGAUUGUAACACCCCGUUUUCCCAACAUAAAAAUUUCAUUUAAAUAAUCAGAGUAAUCCACAUAAACGCAAUGUCACACUUAUUUUCUUAAAACCAUAAACGGAAUAAUUAACUAAUUAUACUUCAAAAUUCAAUAACAUAAUAUUUAAUAAUUCGCAGUAGAAUUUAUUCAACAUCUAAAAAAGUCUUUGGCACUAAGGUCUCAUCUUAAACAUCUCAUAAAAGUCCAAUCUAAAAACAUAGUCAUAAUCUUAUAAAGUAAUACGUAAGGAAUAGAAAAGCAAUAACAAAGUUCUCAAUCCCGUUACGUAUCAGAGCACCUAAAGACACACGUGAGAGAUAGACCACUCACGACAGUAACCUAACAGCAACUUACUCUCUAUCACCUGCAAGUUACCCAUACGAAGAGCAACAUUUCCAAGCAGAAGGGGUGAGAUUUCACAAACAAUAAUAUUCAACAUAUAAUUCAUCAAAUGCAUUUAACAACUUAAACUUCAUCUAUUAGUAAUAAUAAUUCUUCAUGUAAUACUUCUUAAUAACUCAACCAACUUCUAAUCAUCAUUAACUUCAUAUUCAUCACAUUAUUAACAUCAUCAUAUAGCACAUAAUAACCAAAUCAUAACCAACAUAGAUCAUCACAUCAUAAAUAUCAUCUUUUAACACACAACAUAAUCAUCAUCUCAUAAUAACAUAAACAACACAAUAUAAUCAUCAUCUCAUAAUAACAUAAACAACACAACAUAAUCAUCAUCUCAUGAUAACAUAGAUAACACAACAUAAUCAUCAUCUCAUGAUAACAUAGAUAACACAACAUAAUCAUCAUCUCAUAAUAACUUAAACAACACAAUAUAAUCAUCGUAUAAUCUUCAUAAGCAAUACAUUAACAACACAUGGAUAGAAGACAACUCAACAACUUAACAACUCAUGAAUGACAAUUCAUCAACAACUUAACGACUCGACUUGACAAUGCAACUUCGACUUGACUAUGCAACUUAAUCUUCUAAAUCAUGCAUGUGGUACCAGUCCAGGGCAUCAAGCCCCCAACGUAUUUGAGCAUUAAUAUACUCCUAGGGCAUCAAGCCCUCAACUUAAUUGAGCAAAGGCUCCAGAGCAUCAAGCCCCCAACGUGUUGAGCAAAGGCUCCAGGGCAUCAAGCCCCCAACUUUAAUGAGUAUGCAUGGACUCAAUCAACUCGAACAACUUAGACAACAUCAACAACUUAAGACUCCAAUACUUUGGAAUAACAUCAACAACUUAGACAACAUCGACAACUUAAGACUCCAAUACUUUGGAACGACAACUUGCAACUCUACAACUUAGACCAACACCUGCAACUUGAUCAAUAUUCAACAGCAACAGAAACAUCACAAGCAAUUCACAACAUAUCAAUAUUAAUGAAAAGCAUCAACAACUUAAACAUCGUACUUUUUCCACAUAAGGCACAUAAAUAUUUCACAUAACCAACAACAGCAACAUAGGCAGCACAUAAACAUAUCAAGAUAUAACAAUAUCAAAUGAUAAUCAACAUCAACUUAAACAUCUUAUAUAAUUCACAUAAUGCAUAUACAAUUAUAUCACAUUACUAACAACAUUAAAUCACAUUAUAUCAGACUCAUAAAACAUUAGUAAUAUUAUAAACAACCUCCAUUCCUACCCCAAGGAUCAACUUAUAACAUCUCGUGCGACAAGGAUCGCAAAACCCUAAACAAGGCUGUCUGGCAAUGUGCAGCUCGCGAGGCGACCCACUUUACUCACUACGGCGAGUUCAGAAAAAGGCUGCUCGCCUUGGCGAGCUAAAACUGGGUGCUCUCGGGAACUUGACAUUUUUCACCUAAAAAUCUCAUUUUUAACUUCUCCAGGUUCAAUUUUCAAUCUAAAAACUUGCCUAAUCAUUCUUAUAAAUAUUAAGGCACUCAAAACCAUCUAAAACUCAACCUCUAACAUUAAUUCACAAAAUCAGGUUUCACUCACUGAACAACUCGCUAUGGCGAGCAAUAAUUAAAAUCACUCGCGAGGCGAAGGGUUUUACUCGCUAGGCGAGCGAUGAACUUCAUCACUCGCGAGGCGAAGGCUUCCACUCGCUAUGGCGAGCGAUGAAUGUCAGCUCGGGCAGAAUGCAGAUUUUCUCCUAGAAUCAUCCAAUCUCAUGUUUCUAACCUUAAAACUGAUUUCAAUUAUCAUCCUAUGGAUUAUCUAAGGUCUGUACACAAUUUCUACAUCAAUUCAACAAUUUUCUAUCAUCUAAUCAUCAAUUCCUCACUUUUAACCCUAAUUCUCAAAUUCUAAAAACUCAACCUACAAUCGUUUUAAAUUCAAUUUCAGAAUCACAUACUCAAGAUUAUUGAAGGUUAGUCCCACCCUUACCUUAAUCAAAAUCGAUCAGCAGCCCUCUCUUGGUUCUUCUCUCCUCUUGUUCUUCCUUUUCUCCAAAAUUGGUUGUACGAAAUCCUCAUUUUCUAAUUCUAACUCUCCCCUUUAUAUAAAUCUUUAACCUACUUAUUUUCUCUUAUUUCCAAAUCUGUCCUCCAAGUCUCAAUAUUCUAUUAUAAUAUAUAUAUAUAUAUAAUAUAAAAUAUUUCUAUAACAAUUAACAUAUAUUUUUACACCAAAUAACAUAUAUUUCGACACCAAAUAAAAUAUAUUUCCACACCAAAUAACAUAUAUUUCUACACCAAAUAACAUAUAUUUUUACACCAAAUAACAUAUAUUUCUACACCAAAUAACAUAUUUUUACACCAAAUAACAUAUAUAUUAUACUAAUAAAUAUCAACAUAUAACAUAACAAAAUAUCACUCAUCAAAAUAAAUCGACUAAAUUAUAAAAAGAUAUCUAAACUCAAUUAAAUAAAUAAAUAAUAAAAUAGGGCGUUACGUUGAUUGUCGGAACACCCUUUCUCAUGUUUGGCCACUUUGCUUGAUGCAGCUUUUAGAGCUGUCUGUCCUACGGUAAAAGGUCCUACGCCUAAUCCAACAAGUGGCGAAACCCCAGUCAAGUCUACACAAACAUAUUUUCCACCUACCCAUCCGUACACCAUCACAUUUGCAGGCAUGAGUGUUGAUCUUCUAUCUAGUGGGUAGGAAGUUCACAGGCGCCUCCUUCUUCGCUGAUAUUUCCGCCUGUCUGAAUAUAUCAAAAAGUACAUCCCUAACAAAGUCAUGUCUGUACUUAAAGUCGGGAAGCUCCUUACAAUGAACGGCAUGCUCCCCAGAAGAAUCCACACACGUCUUACGAUAAACAGGGCACACCUCAUCAAUAGGAAAUAGUGGAAUCAUAAGGCGAUAUCUAAGGAUAUUAUGAUACUCCACUGGUGACAUAUGUUGACCUAACCCAUCAAUCGGGAUACUUAGAAGAAAAUCAUGAGCAUGUGCUGCUUGCAAACAUCCAAAAAUUAUCUUCUAUCUCGUGGUCAUGUCAAACUUAACUUUCAUAUCAUGAAAACUUUUUCUAAAAAGAACACUCGCCAAAACAUGUCGUGCUUUAGGAGGGACGGUGUCAUUGCUAGUAAAACUGCUAACAUCAAAAUUUUAAAUCGUACCACGAAGACCAUCCAAAGCAUUUUCAAAAUCCGAGUCCAUGCCACAUAACCCACUGUCUCUCAAAAUAUGAUCUUGUAGCACCCCAAGAUCGUGCCCUAGAAGCCACAAAAGUAUAUGAUCAAAGUUUGACUUGAAUUUCCGAGUUUUUGCAAAUCUAACAUCAUCGUCGAGCUUCUCCCACUGACAUCCUCAUUGCCAUUUAUUUACCGUAAUAAAAAUCAAUUUUUUUGUUUGGAUACAACUAGGCUCUUAAAAGUCGUAGAUUUUUUUUUUCAGUAGAGAAUUUUACUAAUCUUCUUACAAAUAGAUAGACUAUAGAGUUUGGCUCACAAGUGCCAUCAUAGCACUCAUUAAUGUUUUUAAAUAAAAAAUUAUUUAUUCAAAAAUUAACCUAAUUAAUUUUCUUUUUAACGCAGAUUAAAUUAUUUAUUUAAGCAGAAGUUUGCGUAGCGCGUGGUGGUUAUUGUUACAGUAAAAAAAACGCUGAGGAAACACGUAUCUUUAGUCGGCUCAAAUGGCGUAUCUCAGCUUGCGAAAGCCACGCCGUUUGCAUACAAACGCGUGUGCACAAUGCACUGUACUCUACCGAAACACUACUCCUCAAGGAAACGGUCGAAAAACAAUAAAACCGACCGGUUAAACCGGUACCCAAAAAAGUUGCAUUUGAGUUGAAUUUAGCUUUCAUUACAUUAACAUUUCAUAGCCAACUAUAGUAGCAGUCACCUAACCCAACCCCAGUCAAAUUGUAACCUAGGUUGGGUUUAUUUAUAGUCACAAACUCACAAGAACUAAGCUUGCCUUUGAACUCCUUCACCAUCAACAUAACACAACUCUUUCUUUUUCUUCAUCCCCACUUUCUCUGUUUGUUUCCUUCUUAGCGUAUAAAAAUUUGACAGUGUAAUGAUGUAGAAGAAUAAAAAAAACAGACCAAAACAGUGUUGUAAAAAAAACAUAUUAAUUAGUCACUACUACUUUGAUUUGUUGUGUUGUGUGUGUUGGAAGUGUUUGAUGGGUGAAGAGGAACAAGUGUUGAGAAAAAACAAACGUAGACACAUGGGAGUUAAUGGUGAUAAGUGGUUGUAUAGUAACUGCUUAAACAAUUGUGCUAAUUGGCGCUGUUUAAGAUACCAAAACUCUCCUUUUAAGUGAACAACAAAAACAUAAUCUUUGUCUUCUAACCUUUUUUUCUCUUCAGAUCUUUAUUUUCUCGUACUAAUCAAACUUAACAACCUUAAUCUUAUAAUUAAAGUACUCAUGAAGAGACUUGGAAGCUCUGAUUCUUUAGGUGCUCUCAUGACAAUUUGUCCAACAACAGGUUAAUUCAUAUUUCAGACUUUAUUUUAUUUUUGUGUUACAUAUUAUUUCAGACAUAAUAUUCAUAGUGGGUGUUUGUUCUUUGUUGUCUUGUCUCAACAUUUUUUACAAUCUAGCAUCUCAUGUGUCUAGACCUUUAAAAAGUAAUACUUUUUUUUCUUCAUUAUUUUAUUUAUCUUACUCCAAUUUUUUAUGCUUGAUUCCUUCCUUUUUAUUCACUAUAUUGCAUUACAACUCAUCAUUUUUAGUUAAAUUAUGCUCAUGUUUGUUAUUAUGGUGAAUUUAUAUAAAAAUACGGUGAGCCGGUCUGAUUUUUUAAAGUUAUACUUUGUAGCUUUUGUAAAAUCACUUUGGACAAAUCAACUAUGAUACAAAGCAUUCAAUGCAUCUCAACUGAAUUAGGCUUAAUAAUAACUGUUGCUAUGUACUUAUAUGUGUAAUUUAAUUUGCAUUGAUAUAGAAGAAGAGAGUCCAAGGAACAACCAAGUGUAUGGAAGGGAAUUUCAGUCCAUGAUGGAAGGACUAGAUGAAGAAGGAUGUGUUGAUGAACCAGGGCAGAAGAAACGAAGACUAAGUGUGGAUCAAGUUAAGGCUUUGGAGAAGAAUUUUGAAGUUGAAAACAAGCUUGAACCAGAUAGGAAAGUUAAGCUUGCUCAAGAGCUUGGUUUGCAACCAAGACAAGUUGCUGUUUGGUUUCAAAACCGUCGUGCUAGAUGGAAGACCAAACAAUUGGAAAGAGAUUAUGGUGUUCUCAAAGCCAAUUAUGAUGCACUUAAACUUAAUUGUGAGGAUCUCCAACGUGACAAAGAAACCUUACUCAAAGAGGUAUAUAACUAUACUCCUUUGGCUGUAAAAUUCGAUUAAGUACAAUGAUAUGAUAAAAGGUCGUGUUAUCCGGUGUCCUUUAAGUAUUUGAUUACACAAAUUCUAAGAAAUUUUUACUAUAUUUGUUUCUUUCAACUAGUGUCGUAGAGGUACUAAUGCCCCCUCAAACAUCUAAUAUACCGAGGGCAGGUUCGAAUAUCUUUGCAUAUAAUGUUGGAGAAUUACGAGUUCGAUUUUACACCUUAGCAUAUAAAUGUAUUUUACAAUCUUUUACCAUCUCAAUUGUACCCAAGUAUCUUUAUAAAGUGUAUAGUAAAGAAUAAUAUAAAGAGUACUAAGAAAUUUUAAUUAUGCUUAUUUUGGCAGGUUAAGGAAUUGAAAUCAAGAUUGCAAAUACAAGAAGAAAACACAACUACUGAAAGCGAUGUUUGUGUGAAAGAAGAGUUGAUAACAUUGCAAGAAUCAGAAAACACAGCUUCUGAUGAAACCGCCAUUCUUAGAUCCGAUUCUAAGGACUUAAACAACGAUUGUUUCAAAAAUGGUGAUGGAGUUGCUUCACUAUUUCCUGCGGAUUUCAAAGACGGUUCUUCAGAUAGCGAUUCAAGUGCAAUCUUGAAUGAAGAAAGCAACGCAGCAAUUUCUUCAUCUGGGGUUCUUCAAAAUCACAACUUUUUGAUGUCUCCUGGUUCUUCUUCCUUGAAGUUUAAUUGUUCUGAAUCGUCGUCACCGUCUUCUAUGAGUAAUUGCUUUCAGUUUCAGACGCAGUUUGUGAAGAUGGAAGAGCAUAAUUUUCUUAGUGCUGAUGAGACUUGUGAUUUCUUCUCAGAUGAACAACCACCAACGCUUCAAUGGUAUUGUUCAGAGGAGUGGAAUUAAGAAAGAAAAAGACUUGUGAUGAGUUUAAUUUGAGAGGUGCGAAUAGAAAAAAUAAGACAUUGUGCAACGGUGUAUAGUUAAAAAUCGAUCCCUGUAAAAAUGGAUUAAUGAAUUGGAGAGAGAUUGAGAGAGAAGUUGAAGAACGUGAGAGGGGGAGAAAGAUCGCAUGGUGUAGGGUCGGAGAUGAAAGGUUGAUGAUGAUUAAGACCGUGCGGGGAGGGGUUAAUUUCUGAAUAAUAAUGAUUAGAUCUUAAUGAAAACUCUGUUGUAAAAAUUUUGGAAUUGGGUAGAAGAUAUUUACUAUUCUAAUGGUUCAACUCUAUUUUCAUUCUAUCGGAUUUUAGGAGUAGUAAACUUUUUUAUAUAUUUAAAAUAAAAAUAUCUUAGGAUAAUAAUACUCCCUAGUAAUAUAUUUCUGAAUCAUUUAGAUCACAUUGUUCAAAAACUACUCUCAAUCUAGUAAGAUCACAUACCGUCUCUACAAGAUUUUUCCAAAAAUAAAGUUUCAAUUUGAAUACUUACUAGAUUGAGAGUAGUGCUUGAACAUUUUAGAGUGAAAUUAAUGUGGAUCAUUCAGUCACACAGAAAAAAUGUGGAUCACAAUUCUUAAUCUUAAGACUUAAUUUUUUUUGAAGGAUAAUCUUAAGACUUAAUUAGGAGUGAUUUUGAAGAUGACGAGGGUGUUGGUUGAAUGUAUCGAAGGACGACUUUGCUACUCUACGGAGAGGUGUUGUAUCUACAACAACUCCAACACUGAAGUUAUUGCAUAUUUUAAGAGUACAUAAAGAUUUAAAAAAUUGAGAAUUCACCUUAGGGUUACGAUUAUUUUAUAGGUGACUUGUAAAGAACGUUUUGUCCAAAACGUUAUUCAUACAAAUUGACAUAAAACUUCUUCAUUGAAAAGUCAAAAUUAUAUUCAUUUUAAAACAAAAUUUCUUUACCUGAAGUUAUAUUUAUUUUAGGAUUUUGCUAACGAAUGCUCUAAGAGUAUUGUUUAAUAAUUCUAUUAAAAAAAAAAUUGAGGAUUGACUUGAUUAAAAAAUUUAAUAUUUUAAUCAAUGCUCUAAAUGUACCGGUUAAUAUUCCCCUUGCGGAUUGAGUAAUUUCUUCUUGCCUAAUUUUUUAUUAAGAGGAAUGAUAUUUGUAGAAUUAAUUUUAUACAAUUUUUGUGACAACCAUUUUUUCUUUAUUCUUAUUGGACAAGAAUAAUAAAGAGAAAGAAAAGGAGAGAGAAUAAAAAAAACAUGUGAGUAUGAAAAAGAAGGUUAUUUCAAAAGUAGUCAAAAAGUGGUUGUACAAGAUAUCAUUUCUCUUUUAUUAAAAAGGAAAGAAUGGUGUAUGUUUUAAAUCUCGUGACGGAUUUUAGGAUUUGUUAGGGAAGAGGGAUGAUGAUGAUGCCUAGUGGCUACCUAUAGAUAAAGAUGGUUAUGGAACUUAGUUUGUCCUUUACUACCAAUUUAGUUCAACUGAUCACAAAGAUAGCGGGGAGCAUAGACGUCAUCAAACGUGUUGUGUGUGGGAAGGGAACGGAAUCUUCUUCACAUAUUCGAGCAGGUGAUGAAGAAAUUUUAAUUGGGGAAGCUGAAUUCAGCUGCAUACUUUUCAUGGAGGGUUAUUGGUGUGGUGAUUGGAGCAUGACAAAAGCUGCAUGUUUAAGAUUAUGAACGGACCCAGAAAUUUUAGAUAGUGCAGACAACCAAUAUUUAUAAUUUUAAAUGUAUAAAUAUACAUUUUCUCAAAAUAAAAAAUAUAAAUAUAGAUCUAAUGAUUUUUUUUUCAUUUUUAGUGUAAAUGAAAAUCAAUAAAUUGAGAAGAAAAUCAAAGUUCCCAAUUCUUAGGUGACAAUGUGGUUGUUGCUUCUCUCACUGAUUGAAAAAUUUAAGGUGUCUCAUUUUUGUUUUUUAUUGAAAUUUGGGUUCUCGUUAUACAAUUUGGUAAAACCGUAAAAGUAAAGUAUUAUUAAUAAUAUCGUUAUGAAUUAUCGCAGUGAAACCCAACCAUAAAAAUCUGCAUGGUGCAUUUUCAAGGCAAAAAUACAUAAGAAAAGAUGACUACAACAUUCAUCCCCUCCAAAACAAAAGACGGUACCUAAGAAGGGAGUGAAUCACCCGACGACAACAUACCAAUAAAAUGCACAUAAGAAGUCAGUAAAAUGCACAUAGGAAGUCUGUGAUAAAAAAAUUUCCAUAUACAAAUACUUACCUAAGAAGGAGUCAAGUUUUUCAAAUCAGGGCAAAUGCCUUCUGCAAAAAUAAUUUGAAGUGUGACUAGUAAUUUGAUGUGUAACAUAUAUUUAGUUUAGAGGGACUUCUUUUUUUGUUUAACUGUACUUUUGGAUUCUUUAUUUUACUAAGCUCACUAAAAUAAUUCCUCCUUUUCAAAAACAAACUUCAUUGGUCACUUAAAUAUUUCAUGUGCCCCUUGAUAUAAGACACCCUAUAAAAUAUACGGAUUUUAAUAAAAAUAGUUGUAAGAAUAAUUUUGUAAAUAAUGUUUGUUAUAUUUACAUCAUUGCCCCAAACAUUUAAUGAUAUUGAUUAUGAGAAAGUGAGAGGGAUUAUAUUUUUAAAAGGAAAUGUUAACGAGUGUCUCUAGUUAUUGUUAAAGGACUUUAAAUAGUAAGUUUUGUGAAAUUAUGAGUAUUCAAUACAUUUGAAUUUAAAGUGUUUGCAUUUUUUUUAAAGAAGCAUUUAUAAACCUAGGAUCCUUGUGUAAUGUAUAAUUUGAAAAUGGAUUUUGCUAACGAUUGCACAUGGGACAUUGUUUAAGGAUCCUAAAUUUAGAAAUUACUAUUCUUUAAAAAAAUCAAACACUUUAAAUCCCAAUACAAUGAAUACUUGUAUUUUCAUAAAAACUUACUUUUUAAAGUCCUUAAACAAUGACUCAAAACACUCGUUAGUAUUUUUCUUUAAAUUGUUUGUCUAACAUGUACAAUAUUGCACAUGUUAAAACAGCUAAAAUUAACAAUAAUUUAUUCAAAAGUUAUAUAUUUAUUUAAUAUAAAAUGGGUACUAAUACAAACUUAGUAUUUUAAAUUUCUAAACAUUAAAUUUACACAUAAUAAAAAAAAAACUAUUUAGGUUAAAGUACUAAUUAAGGACCGUUCUCGUGAGCAUAGAUCAAUUAGCAGGGAUAUGCAGGUGCCGGGGUUCGAACCCCAAACACAUCAUUUAUUCACCUUUAAAAAGGUGAAUUCUAGCUCCUAAACUAGUUGGAAAAAAAAUUACUAAUUAAGGACCGAAGAACUUGUGCUUUCGAGUGUUUGUAGGUACCUGAACUAAUAUCUCCACACAAACCAGCAUUUUUUUUUAGUCAAGUAGCUUAGUCGCUAGAGCUCACACAAUUUAAUUAUGGAGAAGUGGAGUGUAUGAGGUUUGAACCUCGGCCUCUGCAUAUAAUAUGCAAUAUCUCUACCAACUGAGCUAAGCUCGUAGAGAUACAUAAACCAACAUUUUAAUCACCUCAGAUAAUAUAGAGUAGUGAUAUUUGAACAUCUAUUUGAAAUAACCUUUGUGACAACCUCUUUUUUCUCUCUUUUCAUUGGUCAAAAACAAUGGAGAGAGAAAAAGGAAUAGAAAGAAUAAAAGUAUAAUGUGAGUAUGUGAGAGAAAGUUGUCACAAAGUGCUUGUACAAAUAUCAUUUCUCGAUAAUAUAUAUAUAUAUAUAUAUAUAUAUAUGUAUGUAUGGGGUACUUAAAACAAAAUUGCAUUUGUAUUGUGAAUGAACAACUUUAUCAUCAAAGCUCGCUUGCAUUGCAAAUGCAACAGAGCAGAUUUGCACAUGGCAGCCCUUUCUCUCUUUCUGAUAUUCUGCAGUCAGCACGCAUUCGAGUCGAGUACGUGUUCUGUUUCUUUAAAACCCAUUCAUUGUACACGUGUACGGCUAUGGAUCUGGUCCACCAGCCUUUCCAUGUGGUCCUUCUUCAUGAGUACAACUGCGUAUUCACUGCACCUUAUUCACAAACACAUUUAAUUACUACCCCCUCAGAUUGUUUUAUUUUAAGUAUUUAUUUUAGAGUGAAUCCUCACCUUCGUCCUUGAAUUUUUACGGGUCGGUCAAAUUCAUCCCUUAAUUAUGUGAAAUAUCAAUCUAAUCUCUGAAUUUGUUAAAUGUCAAUCAAGUUAGUCCUUCUGUUCAAACGGAGCAUUAAUGGGACUGACGUGACCGUUAACCUCUCACAUGUCAGACGUCACGUUGGCAGGGACUAAUUUGGCCGAUAAAAACAAACAUUUCAAAGGACUAAACUGAUUGAUUUGCAGAAAAUGUUUUGGCUUUCUUUCCAAACGGCUCUUUUCUUCCCCAACGGCUCUUUAUUCCCCAAUUGUAUAAAAUUGUAACCCUAAUUGCACAAUCUUCAAUCUACACUCCAAAAUCACCAAAAUUUCCUCCACUAAUAAGUGGUUCAGUUCUUCCCCAAUUCAAAAUCUUCAAACCUUAACUUUUUCGCAUUGAAUUUGAAAGUCAAAAUCCUCAAAAAGUUUUGAAGCAAAAAUGAUGGGGGGUGGGAAUAUGGGAAAAAACAGUUAUGAAAGUCGAGCUUCAUCUUCAAGCUCCAAGUUUAAUGGUGAUGUGAGAAAAGAGGUUGAAGAUGAUUGAGGAAUUGUAACCUUUAUGUAAUAAUAUUUUCAUCAAAUCAGUCCCUGAAUUAUUGCUCUAUUCAUCAAAUAGAUUCAUACGUUAUAUUAAAAACCAUCAAAUAACCCCCUGAAUUGUUUAAUCAGAUAUCAAAUUGAUCCUUAAAGGAUAUGUGUACAAAAUAAACUAAAAAGGUCAGAACACAAAAAUUGAAACUGAAAUAUUACAUAAGCAAAAGUCAUAUGUACACAGAAACUUGAUAAACUAUAGGAAAUGUGUUACCUUUAACCACAACCGAACACAAAAACUUCACAGACGUGAGAAUCGCCAGAGAUGAUGAUGAUUUUGGAGGGGUGAGAAUGAAGAAAGUUUUAGCGGGAAGGAGAAGAGUCAAGGCCAUUUUUUAUGCUUAUGAGUGAAAUGUGAAGGAGGUAUGGGUAAUGCAUGGGCAAAAUGGGAAAGCAUGAAAAAAAUAAUCAGAAAAGUGAAAAUUUGACUUUUUCCAAUUGAAUCAAAUUAGUCCUUGAACACGUGGCUUCCUUCUUGCCACGUGUAUAAGACAACACAACAUACAGGACGACAGAUCAACAUGACUAACAGCGCACUUGGACGGAGGGACCUUUUUGAUGGAUGUCUGAAAAAUUCAGGGACUAAGUUGAUAUUUCGCAUAAUUGAAGAAUGAAUUUGACCGACGCGUGAAAAUUCAAGGACGAAUUUGAUGGUUCACUCAUUUAUUUUAUCAAAUUAUUUCCCUCUCUUUUUUUGGUACAAAAUUAUUUCUCAUUUUACAAAACCAAAAUACUAUCCCCGAUUCCAUUCAUAAGAAAAUAGUUUGUUUUCAAAAUAUUUAUAAUUUAGAUUUAAAUUCAAAAAAAAAAAACUGGCCUUCUAAAAGUAAACUUAUUCAGAAAAAGUUUCAACCAAAAAAUACUUAACUAAUGUUUGAAAUGUGUUCUUUAGGGUGAAGUGUUGUAUAAACUUUUUUGCAAGAUGGCGUGGAAGAUAACGGAGAUUGGAAUCUCGACCCAUGCAAAUGUUAAACAUUAGGUGAUAUGUAUCACAUUUUGUUUAAUGCAAAGCAGGUUAAUUGAUCUGACAUCUCAAAUGUGAUGUUGUUUUGAACAAAGCUCUCCCUUUAAAGGUUUUUUUUUAUUUGUUUGACGGUUGUUGCAUGAUAGGAUAUCAACGAAGGAAUAUUUAAUUCACCGUAGAAUUAUAUUGUCUAGUUCUAACCUGUAUUCAUAUGGUUGUGGGUUGGGAAAAUUGUCAAUCAUCUGUUGUUGGGUUGUACAUUUUAUAGGAAUAUCUAGUCACUUAUUUGACGAUGGUUAUAUAUCCACGCAGUGGGUUUGUCGCAUCUUUCUGAUCACCUCAUUAGAUUUGAAAAUUUAAGAGGUGACUAUAAAAAAAUCUAGGUUUAUGUUAAAACGAUUUGGUUGUCUUGUGUCUAGGUUAUUUUAAAGGGUAUAAAUUUCGUAUUUUUCAACAAAACGAGUCUUCGAUGCACCAUUUAAUUGACAAAGUGAAGUUAUCGCAACUUUUGGGGUUGAAAGUGAAAAAAUGAAAAUUUAUCUUUUGAUCAUCGGUGUUUGGGUUUUGUCACCUAGUGAUGACAUAUCAUCUUACCUUAUUUUUAACAUUUUUUUCAGUCUAUUUUAGUAGGUUUUACCAGCAAACUAGAUGAGUAUUAGAGCAAUUGCCUAUGGUUUCGGGACAUUUGUAAUGUUUUCUAUAUUUGAGUCUAUAAUUCUAUUCUUCCCAAAGCAUAGCAAUUUUAGAGGGUUCCUGAAGUAAAUCACGAAGAAUCAAGCAAAUCAGGCAAAUCAAGACCUCUGAAGAUUAUUAUGCUUUGGGAAGAUGAAGAAUGAAGAUUCAAGAGGCCUAAGAAGACUUUACUCAUGGAGGAAUUUUGUUCCCAAUGUCCAAGACAACUUAACCAUGAAGAAAACACCUCAACAUGCAAAGAUUACAUGAAAACAUAAAGUAACGCACUAAAGCGCCUGGCGCACAAAACGAAGCGCCUAGGCGAAUGAAAGUAAAAGCCUAAAGCGCCUGGCACAUGCAUUGGGGCGCCUAGCACAUGAAAGCUCCAGGCGCAUGACUCUAGGCGCCACGCGCCUGUGACUUGCGAAAAAAGUCGCUUUUUGUGACUUUUUCGCCCCUGAAAGCUCGUGAUUUUAGUCCAAGUUAGGUGGAAAUUUUUCCUAUAAAUACCAGUCUUCCUCAUUCAUAAUUUAUCGUUCAGAACUAGAGCAGUUCAAGAGGAAUUCUAGGAGCCAAGGAGGAGUUAUAUCUUCUUCUAUCUUUUCUAGGGUAUGCUUUUAUCUUUUAGUAUUUUUAUCUUAGUUAUCAUGUGUAACUAGAUAUCUAUAGGUUAAGGUUCCAAGAUGAACCUUUGUUUACUUUUGUUGGAUAAUUAUUUAAUUUAACGUCGUUUAUAUUUUAAUUUAUUUUUUGUUCGCUAUUAAGUUUUAUUUAGAAUUUAUUUAUUUCGUCGAGGUGCAACCGGCGAUUAGAUACUUAGGUUGUGAUAGAGCUUACCAUUGUUAUUACUAUCUGGAAACUUAUAUCUCGAUGUUUAUUUCCUUGUAGUAGUAACUAUCUCUUUAGGAAGUAAGUAAUUAGUAAACUAGAGAAAGAUAUUGAAAGAGAGUUGACCCCAUCAGUAAGUAUUUAGGAGGUGACAUUACUAAUAUUGAGUAAAACUUGUUGAACCUAUGAUGUAACUAGUUUAGUAAUUAGGGAAACAAGCACCGAGGGAAAUAAACAUAAGUAAGACUAUUGUCCUCGACCUCUAGAUAGGAUACACACUGAUAUGGUUGUUCGUUUGUAGAACUACUUAGGGGGAAGGAGAGUGUGCUACAAGUGUCUUAAGAUUCAUGGAUGAGGUUAACCUAAUGGAACAUUGACACUUCAUAGCCUUUGAAAAAACUGGAACACCAAUUUAAGUUUGUGGUCAGUUACCUUUGAAUUAACAAGAUCUCGCACGUAAAGAUCAUCGUGCGAUCAACAGGUGCAGUUAGCAAUCAGAGGGAUAGACGUAAAUCAACUGAAAUAAUAUAGACCUCAUACGUAAGGAUCAUCGUGCGACUACAACUUAACAACCGAUUAGAAUGUCUCAACGAUCUCAUCACUUAUAUUGAAGAGAAAUAGAGACAAAAUCAUUGAACACAACGUUACCCAAGUGUAACUCUAAAAUAUCUCGUAAUUUGUUCUUGAAAAAUCAAAUAUUGAAAUUAAAUUAAAAAAUAUUUAUGUUAUAAAAAUAGAAUUGGACGAUAGUCCUCCGUCAUGGAUGCGGGUCCUACGCGCCCCUAGGUUUGAUUCCUGUAUUCGUAGAGCCAUGUGAUGUGGGUCCCUCCCAUACUGCAAAGAACAUGUCAAUUUCAAAGGUCACCGUCACGUAAAAAUUGCAAGAAAGCUGGGAGAGCUGGACGACGAGAAUGUGAACAGUCCUUCUUCUUUAGAACAAGCUCCAUUGCUGACAGCUCAUCUGCCUAAUAUAAACAUGCCACCUUUCAAGGACAAAGAUUUUUGUUUUAUUUGUCUUUCUUCUUUUCUAAACAAAAGUUGAAGAAAUUAAUUAAUUAAUUAAUUAAAGAUGAUACUCCACCACCAAUAACUAUUUUAUAAGGUCCUUAUUCUUACUAAACAAGUGCUUAUGUGUGGUCCUUCUUCCUUACAACUUUAUAAUCAUGAGAUUGUUGAUAACGGGAAUCUUAAUCCUUUUAAAGCAAACCUCUUAUGCUUGUCAAUUGAACUACACUAACUAAAUUAGGAGAUAGAUGACCAUAAACGUAUAUGCGUGCUUGUUUGGUCAUAGGGUGGAAACGUGAGUUUAACCAAAGCUAGAAGAAAUUCUUGCUUCUUAAAAUCACGGUGGCUUUUGUAAUUGUCUUACCCAUGCCAUUUAUUUUUGGAUUAAAUAUGUUUUUGAUUCCUAUAAAUAUGUCAAUUUUUUAUUUUAGUCUCUCUAAAAUUUUCCUUCAACUUUUAGUCCUAUAAAAUUUUCAAUCUUCAUUUUUGGUCUCUCUUUUAAAGUAAACUCAUAUGUAUAAUUCAUAUUUUUUAAUAAAAAUUUUCAGAAAAAUUCAAAAUAUUAUAAAAAUCACUCCAAAAAACAAAUUAGAAUUUUUUAACAAAAUAUGAAUUUAAUAUGAAUUUUUAUAUUUUUUACGGUUAAAAAUUCAUAUUUAAUUUGUGUUUUGUUAAAAAAUUCUAAUUUUUUUUAGAAUAUUUUACACAUUUCUUCACAAUUUCAUUAAAAAAUACAAAAAAUAAAUUAAAAACAGGGGUUAAAAGUAGUGAUUGAAAAUUUUAUAAGGACUAAAAGUUGAAGGAAAAUUUUAGAGGGACUAAAACGAAAAUUGACAUAUUUAUAAGGACCAAAAACAUAUUUAACAUUUAUUUUUUUAGGAGAUCUUACAAAUGCCUAUUAUUAACAUAUGAAAUGAGAAGUUGAUUAAGACAAUUUUCCAUCCAAAUAUAGCCUUAAAAGUUUCUAUUGUCUUGCUAACUGAUGCUUUGGGAUACUGACUAAGAAAUUCAAAAAUAUAAUUUUUGUCUUAAAAAUAUAAGUUGUAUCUACUUUUGAUUAUGUUAUAAUUAAACAACUUUUUAAUAAAAACUUGUUUCUUUUGAUUGUUUAACCAAUGACUCAUAGAACACUAUGUAACAUUGUUUUAAAAGUUAUUUGUAUCCCUAAUUGCGAAGAGGUAAUUCAUGAUCUUAAAAUUUGAAAAGCAACUGUUUUAGAAAAUUAUUUUAUUUUAAAUUUGGGUAUCACUUAUUGAUUAAUAAUAUAAUUGAUAAUAAUAAAUUGAAAGCUUCAACGGUUGAGGAAAACUAUCCCUAAAAAAAUUGAGGAAAACUAGUUUUUGUAUGUACAUUCGUGAUCACUGUGGUAAUUUUGUUCAAUGAAGAACAACUUGAGUCUCAUGUUGCUUAUCUACUUUUUGAAGUUGAAGCUAUGAUUCUUCUUGAAGCUCUCUAAUGAGUGAGAAAAUUAGGGCUACAAAAUAUCGUUUUUGAGUUAGAUAGUCAAAAUAUCGUUCUUGAUCAUGUCUCUGAAUUUGACGCUAUAUUUAAUUUUGGCAAGCUCCUCCUUAGUUCUUUUUAAAAAUUAUAUAGUCGUAAUUUUGUCAAGAGUUGGCAAAUGGUGUAGCUUACUAUUUAGCAAGGGAUACAGCAUUUAUAGUUAAUCUCAAUAAUUUUUAUCAUCCACCACUUUGUCCCCGUUGAUUUUGAGAGAAACAAUGUUGCUCUAUACUAGAUCGGACGAUUAAGAUGAGUAACUUUGUGAGCAAUUUUAUUUUUUGGUUAAAUAGUUUAGCGAUUAGAGAAAUUCAUGUGAAUAAAUGGGGUGUUUAGGGUUUGAAUCCCGACCUUUAUUUAUAAUAUGCAUUAUUUCUUACCAAGUGAGCGAAACUUACAAAGACCUAUAUGAGUAAUUUAAAAUCCGACUAAAAUGAAAAUUGUCCCCAAGAAGGGGGAAUAAAUAGCGAGUUUUAUAAUUCCGCAUAUUUGCAAGUGGUUGCAUAUAAUAGAGCAACAGUACUAUCUUCCCAUAAUGUAUCAUUUAACUAGUAUAAUCUUGUCCAUAGGCCAUAGUUUAGCACUAAUCUAUAUUUGCGGCUUCCUUCUCCCACUUCAGGUGCUUCCCGUUGGUUCGCUUUUGCUAUAUUUUAUAUAUAUUCUUUAAUAAAUAAUCAUCGUUUGAUUCUCCAUUUUUAAAUCUCUCUUUUGCUAAACCUCUCAAUUUUACAUAAUAAAUUAUUAUGACCAUUAUUUGUAUCACUUUUCCUCUUUAUUUGGGGGUAUCUGAGGCAGCUUACACAUUAGGUAGCAUGUUCCACUUUCCCCUCACAAACAAAACCAUGUUAAUCUUUCUAGCGGCGGCACUUCAUUUUUUAUGCACAAAACGAAAGCAAUCCUGCAGCAUUUUUUACUCUAUAACUUGUAAGACAAGUUUAUAACUUACCGCGGAUACUUUAUAUUAUAAAUUUAUAAGUUCAUACGACUAAGCGUUUAUGUAUAUAUAUAAGCUAAAUUGUUUUUGUACAUGCUCUAAAUUGUUUUUAUAAGUUAUAUUAAAGAAUUUAAGAAAAUAAGCUGAUAUUUUAAUUAUCAUAAAUUUUUUUCCGAAGUUCUUUCAAACAUGCUCGCAAAAUUUAUAUCCGUAGAUAAACUCAAAUUAAUCAAUCCAAAUAGACCCUGAAAAAUACAUUUGUUUGAUAACAAUUUCUCAUACAAACUCAUAGUUUUUUUUUUUCUUUCUAAAAAAGACUCAUCUAAUUUCAUGAUCAAUAAUGUUAGCAAUACAAUGGAGAAUAUGAUCAAAAUGAUGGGAUUAGUCAUAAACAUGGUACUUUUGCAAUGUUAUGAGUUGUUAUAUUAGUUUGUCUUCGAAUAAAAAUAACCUCUUAGUUUUUAUUGGUAGCUAAAUUGAUCUACAUUUAGAAAUAAUGACUCCAAACACAUAUGGAAAGGUCUUCUUUAUUAGAUUUGAUACUAUGAGCCAUAACCUGUGUAUCAACUUCAAACAUAAUCAAUCCGAUCGAGAUUAAAACUCUUGGGCCAUUGAAGAGUCGUGAGCAGCCCCAUGGCACCUGCCCAAACCUCGAACCUCCAUGGCUUCCAGCACAUCUUUGCAGCCUUAAACUCUCUAUUAUCACCUCUAAAUUUAAUAGAAGCCCCAACUAUCAUUGUUUAGAAAAGACGCAUCUAUGUUAAUUUUAUUAGUGCUUGUUGGUAGUUUCUUCCGAGAAGAUUCAACAACAGCUUGCACUAGGUGAGAAUUUGCGACUAUCUGAAAUAUAUUCUCAAGAAUAAAUAUAAAAACUUGAAACAAAUUAUAUUUGUAUUACGUACACUCAUUUAUAUAUAUGUAUGUUAUUCACAACUAUAUGUGGUCUCUUCAAUAUCAAUGGUUAACUCACAACAACGAUAUUUGUAUUUCAUAUCGUACAAAGUGGAUCACUAAUACAUACUCAUAAUACGGACUUUUAUACUAUCUAUUGUAAGUGUACAUUUAAUAAUUUUGUCUCGAUCUCUUUUUUUAUCACAUGUAUCACAUCAAUUUUUUUUUAUCUUUUAUCUCUCAAGAUUUAUACAUGUUGUUUAUCAAACCUUUUAUUUAAAAAGUGAUAUGCAAAGAAGGUGGCAUUUCACAUGGGAAAGGUUAAUCCUUUCCCACCAUGAAACAAUUAAUUUUUAUGGUGAGAUUAAAGAGGAACACUGAUCUUACUAUAGUCUAACCACACUAUAUUAUUUUAUUUGUCUUCAACCUCUCAUCCAUGAUAACAACCCAAAGAAUUCUUUCAACUUCACUCAAAAUUCUUCCAAGUCACUGAACUUUUGGUGCAACCCAGAAAAAAAAAAUCUCAAUAUGAGGAAUUUGGGUGCAAACUAAUUUGAAACAUCAUGAGAAGGUGAAGGGAGUUUUGGUUUCUCAGUGUAAUGGUGCUGAUUUUUUUUUUUUUUUUUAUGGGUUAUUUUCAUGGUAUUUUGUUGCUAGAAAUCACUAAGCUUGAAGAAGAAUUGCAUGUCGAAAGUUCUAUCUUUGUCUUUGCAACUUUAGUUAGUUGCAAAAUUAAAACCCAAUAGAUUCCAUCAUUAUAAUCUCGCAUAAAAUUCAAAUGGGUUCAUUGUUUUGGUCGAUGAAAUUGGAAAAGAAGGAAUUUUUAAAAAAAGUGAUAGGGUGAAAGAAUUAAUAUACCUAGGAGGAUAGUUGCAGGGUGAAAGAAUUUUGAUUGGUGAGUUUGGAAGAAUUGUUAUCAUGGAUGAGAUGUUUUUUUGAAAGAAUCAUGGAUGAGAGGUUGAAGACAACUAAAAUAAUAUAGUGUAGUUAAACUAUAGUAAAAUCAGUGUUCCUCUUUAAUCUCACCAUAAAAAUUAAUUGUCCUAUGGUGGGAAAGGAUUAACCUUUCCCAUGUGAACACACACCAUGCAAAUAUUUUCGAAACUAUACUGUAAUCUUUUAAUUGCUACACAAAACUUUCAAGAUAUUCCUCUAGAAAAAAAAAAAAAAAAAACUUAUGAGAUAUUUUCCACCUUAAUGGGUAUGCGACCACCGUGGGAAAGAAAAACAAGUACAAUUAUACAAAGUCAACUAAUAUGAACAAGAGGUUAUCAAUUAGUACUACGAACUAGAUGAGGUGAAGAUUAAUCAACACUGAAUAUUGUUGAAACUUGAAAAGCAAAAUGAAGAGAUAGGAGACACGAAUUACAAGGUGUGAAAACGACCAUGGCUAUAAUAGAAAAGGAAGAAUGAGAGAGACCUCACAGUUAAUGACAAAAAAACUGGGGACUACUAAUUUUGGGAUUGUGAUUGUCCCACUCUUUUUAUAUACUUUCUCCGAUCCUUUUUAUUAUAAACAAAAGUGAGAAUUUUUUUGAUCCUUUUUAUUAGAAGAUUGAUCAAGUUUCAAAUAUAUUUGAAGUUAAAUUUCGUUUGUGCCCUUAUUGAUUAUGAGAGAGAAUAUUAAAAAUAAGUAAGUUGAUGGAAUAAAGAGUAAUUAAUUUAAAUGUAUUCAUAUAAUUUUUUUUAAAUGUAGAAAUGUAUUAAAUGAAGAUGACUAUUUUUAAUGUAUUUUCUUGAUGUUGAUGUUUUAUGUCUUUUGUUUCUUGUAUAAAGGAUAGAAGGGAGUACCACUUUGGCCAUUCACAUUUUCUUCACGUUUAAGGGGACUUCAUUUUGAUUGUGGACCACUACUCCAACACUUUUGGUGAUAAGUAACGAUUAGCUUAAAGUUAGUAGUAGUAUCACAAAUCACAGUGAUCAUUUUCUUGUGAUAACUUGGAUGGAUGUAGUAGUAGUUUUUUGGAUGACAAAAUAGGACUCAUAUCGAUUAAAUAUUUGCAAUAAAUACUCACAACAGAUAGUGUUAAAAUGUGUAUUAUGAGUAUGAAUGAUAGAGAGCACAAGACUCUUGAAGUAAACCAUUUAAUAAGAAGUUAAAUUAGCUCACAUAAAUUGAUAUUAGAGGAAGUUGAAUUUAAGAUUUUGAGAAGUAGUAUACUCUCAUAUCUCAAACCAGUACCAGAUCAACUUAAGUGAAUUUUUUUUAUCCUAUCUAGUUACUACUAUUACCUUAUAAGAGAACAAUUAUCAUGUUGGUAACACGAGAGAUACAGAGAAAAAAAAUAUUUGAUCUAAAUAAUUUUGUUUCACUUUUUUUAUCUAGCUUAAUACGAGAAAAUCCGAGAUAAGUAAAUGUAAAUUUAUUUGUAUGUGUUUUUUGUGUUUUAAAGUUUUUUCUAAUAUUGUAUUGAGACAGCAUCCUCUAACACUAAAUUUAUUUUAUUUUAAAUAAGGAAAAUUAGAUUAUUUCCCCUCCAUUUUUUAGGGGGUAUUUCCCCUCAAUUUAUGAAUAAAUGUUUUAAGGCUAAUAAUUAAUCUUCCACUUCAGUUUAUUAAUUUAUUUAUAGCUAAUUUUUGAACUGUUCUAGACUUAUGCCAUUGUGCCAUCACUGUUUCAAUGUAGAAAUAUUUCCUUUGUUUUGAUUUUCAAUAUUUUAAGGCAAUUUGUAAAAGUUAUCUUGAUAUUUCUAUUUCCGUUUUUAAAAAUAAAGAAAGUGACAGUGACACCCAUUUCAAACCUUUUUGAAAAAUUGGAGUUUAGUACAUGUCUUGCAUCGUCAGUGGGGACCUGCAGUUGAAAAAAUCAAUGCCCAAAUGUUAUAUUAUAGUAAAUUCUAUAUUUUAUUGUGUAUACUGUAUAUUGAUAUUUAUUUAUGAAAUUAUAAGAAAUUUGUUAGUAUUAAAUCUCACUUACGUCCACAUCCAACCAUCCAUUCCUAAUCCAAGUUUCAUUGCUUCUGCGUGAUGCUGAAAUACCAUCCAAGCUGAGCUAGGGGAUGCUUAUAUGGCUCGGCUAGUUAAUUGAGCUUCAAGUCUAAUAAGGUGAUUUUUUUUUCUUUUAAUAGAUUGUUUUCUAAAGUUGUUUGUUUUGACUUUAGUCUACAUUAUCCAUAUCUCUCUUAAUCGAAUCCUCUUCUAUCUAAAUAAUUUAUUUUAAUUUUUUUUGUGAAGUAAUCUAGUGGUUAGAGUUCACACAAUUAAAUUGUGGAGAAAUGGAGUGUCCGGGGUUCGAACCCUGACUUCUGCAUAUAAUAUGCAAUAUCCCUACCAAUUGAGCUAAACUCACAGAGAUAAUUUAUUUUAAUUAUUCAUUCAUAAUUUUUACUUAUCUAAAAUACACUAAUGUUACUAAAUACAAUAUCACUUAAGUGAAACAUGUUAGUUUUGAGAAUAAUACCGAAGGGUAAAACUAACUUCAAAAAAGCGGGAGUAAUAUAAGAACAAAUUCUUUUCAUUUGUAAGUUAUGAUUGAAAGCACAAUAAAGUAAAAGAGUUUUUUUUUUACUUGGUCUACGCUGAUGUGAUACCCUAAGUAAGGUGCCACUUGUUAUUUUUUUAAUAAAAAAAUUGGUUUUGGAGGACCAAAAUUGCUACAGUUGCAAAAUUUAGGGGACAAUUUAAUAGUUUUUUCUUAAGAGGUCAAAAUCACAACUUCGUAAAAAUUAAGGGCGAAAUCUACUAUUAAAUCUUAAUUUUACUUGCUGAUAGGAAGAUAUAAGACUCUUAAAGUGAACAAUUAUACCAAUACAUAUUUUUUUUGAAAAUAUUGUUACCUUUGUUAAUCGCAUUUCCAUUUAAAAGAAAAGGCUAAAAUAUGGUUUUGGUCCCUGCAAAUAUGCCUCGUUUUGGUUUUAGUCCCUGCAAAAAUAUUUUGUUGUUUUUGGUCCCUGCAAAAUAUUUUGUUUUUGGAAAUAGUCCCUGCAGGGACUAUUUCCAAAAACAAAAUAUUUUGCAGGGACUAUUUCUCUAAUAAAUGGUUAAGUCAUCAUGUGACACGUGUGCAAAUUAUCACAAAAGUGGAGCCAGGGACCAAAACCAAAAUGAGACAUAUUUGCAGGGACCAAAAACAACAAAUUUUUUUUGCAGGGACUAAAACCAAAACGAAGCAUAUUUGCAGGGACCAAAACCAUAUUUUAGCCAAAAGAAAAUAAAAAAAAACAUACCAGAACAAUUGACGCAGAAGAUGCAAACAAAAUUGCCUUCGUAUUUGUUCCAUGCACAUUGCAAGAAAAAUGUCAUUUCAAUUGGUUUAUUGUUUUAUGGAGUUUAGAUGCUGGGAUGGAGCUCGAAGGGAGAUCAGUAGAGGCGGAGUCCUUCCAAGUCCAGUAGUAUGUUAUAUUAUUUUAGUCUUUAUAUUUAUGUUUUUGUGUACUUUAUAAGAUAUCGUCGUAUACUCUCUAUUUUUGCUCGAUAAAUUGAGUCAUUUUUUUGACCAAACAAUCUAUUGAGUUAUACACUUAAUUUAUUUAUUUUAUUUUUUUGUUGAAUAAAAUAAGCUAAAUGUUCAAAGAAAAUUAAAAACCCUUACGAAAAGAGUACAAGUUUAAUCCCCAAAUAUGAGCAAAGAUAGGAUAUUCAUAACUAAAUAAAACAUAAUUAAAGGAAAAGAUUGACUAAGACCAUAUUUGACAGGGCCAACCACUUAAUUAAAUUAACAAGAAAUAUGUUCACAACGAAAACCAUACGACAAAGAAUAUCACAUUAAUAUGAGACAAUAAAUGAUGAAAACACGUAAAACACUCUCAUCAUCAUCUCAUCAAUCAUUUUAAUGGACAAGAGAGAAUCACUUUGUACAGUGACUGAAUGUUGAAAUUGGGGCCUAACUCAACCCCAUAAAACCAGUUUGUAAGGUGGGGAUUGUCUCCUCUUUACAUACUCUUCUCAAAAGUCUUAUCUAUUCGAUGUGGGACUUGAGUUUUUCCCAAUUCACCCCCUCACGCCUAGCACUCUUUUGUAACGAUGAGUUAGGCCGCUAAUUUUAACAUGGUAUCAGUGCUUGUCAAAUUUAAGGGUCACCUAAACCUAUUCACGCACCAAGCUCAAAAGAGUUAGUUCAAAGACAAACGAUAUCAUUGAUAAUGAAUUGACACACGUGUGGAUAUUUAGAUUGUUUAAGUAAAUGGUUGUUCAAUCUUCGACUUUUAAAAAAAUUAAUUUGAAGGAGAAAAUUCAUCUUAUGUGUCCAACAAAUUCUAUAUUCACAUCUAAAUAGGGUAAAAGUAAGGAUAAAAAACACUUUGAUUUUGCACAUGUACAAAUCCUCUUGUCUUAUAUUCUCUUCAGCGUUUUCAACCAAACAUGUGCACUUUUGCUCAUGUGUCGGCAAUUUUAUUUAAUUUUGUUGUGAUCAAAAUCUUGUUCUCUCUGAAAUUAAUCUGUUCAAACCUCUUGUCUCUUCUUUAUUCCAGACUAGAUGGUGACGGGCAACUACUGGUAUGAAUUAUUAAUGUAAUAAACUAUGGAAGAAAAUCUGUUCAGAAAGCAUAAAAUCUUGUAUUCUAUUCUCGUUGCAAUAUAAAAUUACUGUCAAAAUUCAAAUAUUGUACUCUAGGUUUCAUUCCUAUUUAUAUUCAGACAUACAUUAAAUUGAUCGCAACCAAUAUGAAGUUGCCAUUUGAAAAACAGAAAUGCUAUUUGGACUUCAACACUAUAUUUCAUUCCUAUUUAUUUUCAGACAUAUAUUAAAUUGAUCGCAACCAAUAUGAAGUUGACAUUUAAGAAGCAGAAACGCUAUUUGGAUUUUUCUUUUUAUUUAGUUUAAGUGGCAUGUAAAUAAAUUAUAUUUCCACUUAUCUCGUAAGCUUAAAUCAGUGGUAGAGAUAUUGCAUAAUAUAUGCAAUGGUUGAGGUUCGAACCUCGAACGUCUUAUUUAUUUAUUGAGAAUUUCUAACCAUUAGACUACAUGAUAAAAAAAUUAUAAUACAACUUGUGUUCGUAUUAGUAAAGUUGAUGAAUUGUUCACAUGUUUAUAAUAAUCUUGUGCGACUAUUCAUCAGUUUAGCGCAAAGCUAGCACCUCGAGUAUUGUACUUGAAGUGAGUGCAAUAUUAAAACUAGAGUUUAAUAUCUAAUUAGGUCAUGCCUUGGAAAUGAUUCAAAGGUGGUGUUUAUAGCUUUUUUGGCCUCUUAUUCCGCGACUUACUCCCUAAGUCACUUAAGAUAGGGAAAACACACAUAUCUCCCUAUACCCGAAUAUUUCGGCCGAAUGUUUAGCCUUAAUGUUUGAGUUUUGCGGUUUCAGAGGAUAUAUAAGGAAAGAGGGGCGCCUUAAUGCAUGUAGGUGGCGCUCUUGCUAAGGGCUAGCAUGACCUUAUGUGAAUAUUGGCAUUCCACAGCCCCCAAGCAUGAGUACUGGUCAAGGGCGAAGUAGUUUGUAUUAAUUUUGACGGUCCACAGUCUAUCAAGCACAAGUCCUAGUUAAGGGCGAAAUGGUUUAUAUUAAUACUGACAAUCCACAACCUUCCAAGUACAAGUCCUAAUUAAGGGCGAAGUGGUUUGAAUUAAUAUUGGCAGUCCAAGUACUAUUUAGAAUUCAACACCACAUUUAGUUUGGAAAAAAGAAUUUGAAAUCAUAAUGAAAAUUAGAAACAAAAAAAAAAAAAAAAAAAGGUAAAAUUGGUCGCUCUUAAAAUUAAAUUUGGUAGUAUUAGUGGUUUGGUUGUUAAGACAUUUUAUAUAGUUUUGGAGUUUAAAUUGAGAUCUCUACACUUUCCUCUCCGGUGAAAAUUAAGAAAAAUGAUAUUUAUAUAAUUAUUGUGACAAAAUUUAGACCACUCUCUCUUUCAUACUCUCAUUUAAUUGUUGGUGAUUUGAUCACAUAAUUUCUUUAAUGAAUGACCGAAACAAUAUAACUUAGUUGAAUCUUGGAAUCUUAGCGGGUUUGAUCCUUGUCUAGCCUACUACAUAUAUAAAUAUCCUGAUUUUACUUCCUAAAAAAUUGUGAUUCUAGAAUUUAUUUAUUUAAUACUAUUUUACGUUUAUGUGGAUUACAUAGUUUUUACUUCAUUUGAAAGUAUGGAAAUUACAUAACGAAGUUUAGGAAUAUUUAUUUAAGACAACAAUCUACAUUUUUUUUUUGUCAGGUAGCCUAGUAGUUAGAGCUCACACAUUUAAAUUUGGAGAAAUGGGAUGUCCGAGGUUCGAAUCUCAGCUCCCACAUAUAACAUGCAAUAUUCUUACCAACCUACAUUUUGUUUUAAAUCGAAUAAUAUAUUGAAAGGAUCUAGUCCCUCGUUUUUUUUUAUAUAAUUACUACCUUUAUAAUUUUUUAUUAAAUUUUCUUUUAAUUAAGAUUAUCAAAUUCUCAUAAUUAAUCUACUUAAUAUAUCAAUACUAGAUUAUAACAAGUAAAUUUGGACUCGGGUCUAUUAAGCAAAGUUUUGGUUUGGGUCUUGUAAAUGAUUUAGAUUUUUUUUAAUCGAGUUGAUGAUGGCAAGACCCAUGGUAUUUAAGUAAUGUUCGUCCGGAAAUUUUACCCCAUACCCCUACAAUUAUACUCUCACCCCUACAUUUUAUCUGAACUAUCUAUUUUACCCUUUUAUAAAAUUUAAAAAUUUCAGUUUUUUUUGUCACGAUUUCUCAGCAUUUUAUUUUGUGUGAUCGUUCGAAAAAGAGAUUACAGGGUUUUCCGUUUUCUUGGAUUUUCAUCACGUUUCAUCAUCAUCAUCUCAAGAUAGUGAUUUAAUCAUGAAUUUGUUAGUUCUAUUUGUUAAUAAUAAAUUUGUUUUGCUGCUCUAAUCAUGAGUAUUCAUUUGUUCUCUUUCAUGCCCAAAAUCAAUUAAAAGAAGGCAUCGACUCCAUAACUGAUUACAAUCUUACAGAUGUAGAAUUAAGCAUUAAACCAUGGGUUCGAUGGUAUCGAUGAUUUAAACGAUAAUAAAAUGAAUUACAUAAUAGUUUUCACUGCUUUUGGGACAAAAAUUAUAACCGGAAAUGUUGAAAAAACGUUUCCAGAAAAUACAUACAUGUGGUGUGGGGGUGAACUCAUGGAUUUGAAAAUGUUGUAAGUGAGGGUGAAAAAUAAUUGUGCAAAAAGUUAUAUGACAAAAGGGCAAUAAUGGAUUUUUUUAUAAUUAGUAAGGGUGAAGGUAAAGAUGUAGGGGCAUGAGGUAAAAUUUCCUGUUCGUCCCUAUCGUUGUGAAGUUUGUUCUAUUUAAGCGAGGCUCAUAAAGAAAGCAAUUCUUAGUCGGGACGAGUAGGACAACGUCAUAUUAAAAUUGAGAUUGUUCUUUAAACAUUUAACAAUUGCUCACAUAUAUUUCAAACUAUUGAAAAUACUUCCACCGAGUGUUAACUGCCGUAGCAUAACAUUUUAAGUCGGUUGAACUGGUUCUGAUGUUUUUUUUGGUGUAUGUUUAAAUAGCAACCCCUAAUAAACAAGGCAAGGCUGGCCUGCUGGGGUCCAUUGAAAUGAAAUGCACAUCUUCUAUCUGCGUUUAACUUUCAGUUAUGGCACGAAUUUGAAUAGAACAGAAAAACUACUCUUUUUAUUGGUGUGUGUUCAGAGUUGGAAACUUGGGAUUUGAAAAACGUAACCAAACAUAGCACGCAUGGGUCAUAUGUAUGUAGGGGCGAAGGAUGGAACUAUAGUAAUUAAAAUUCGUCUAAAAAUGUAGGUUCAAAAACAAGUACUUUUUAAGUGAUUAUAAAAUUACAUGAACUGAUGAAAGUCAAAUAAAUUGCAAAGGGGAGAAUAAAAGAGACCGUCAAUUUAUAAAAUUUAAUGUGAGAAUAUAUAUUCUCAAAUCACGUGAAUGUUUGGCAUAUGUAGUCUUAGUUCCUUGUAUAUCACAUUCGUAUUUUCAAGUUUGUUACAUAUAUAUGGAGAGGUCAUAAAAAGAAUAUAUGCAUGGAUCGAUGAAUGUACCUAGGAAUUCAAAGGUGCAUGUGUUAUAAUUUAUAACCGACCCCAGCUAUAGCUAAAUUGAUCUAAGCAAUGUGUUAUAUUGUGCAACACAAGGGUUGGAUGAGCUUCUUUCCACAUGGACUAAGACAUGGUUGGUGGCAAAUAUCAAGUAGACCCAGAACUACUGGCAAAGCCACUUACUUAUGUCACAUCGAAACGUUGCAUGAUUUGCAGGAGAAAGAAGGUGAAAGUGAAAUAGUACAAACAAAACAAAAACAAAAUACGACAAACCAAGAAUAAUGGCUUUUCAUUUAGAUCUAUACCCCAAUACUUUCUAGAUCUCAUGGUAGCUACUAGGUAGGGACUAGUAAAUUAAUUUGUUACUUUGUGAAGGAUUGUUUUCUUUAUCAUAAAUAUUUUUCACAACAUCAAUAGUAUGUUAUAGUGUUUUCAAUUUGUAUAUAUUAUUUUUUCUCUCAUCUCGGUUCCACCAAAGGAAAAAAGAUCAAGAGAGAUAGACACAUAUUUUAGAAGAAGUGAGAAUGAGAGAGUGAUUGAGAGAAGAUGAUCUAAAUUCAAACAAUACAGAUUCUUUAUAAGUUACAUAAAUAAUUGCGUAAUGAAACUAAUUUAAGAAAUUAUAUAUAAUAUUAGACCUUUUUAUUUUUCAUACCUUGCAAUCCGUUUUUUUUUUCUUUUUAAUUUCUUUUAAGUGAGUAGGAUUUCAAUAACUCACCGGAACUAGGACAAGAGAUAUGUCGUCUCAAGACUCGUGUUAAUAGUGAAAGUUGAAUCCAACAUUCUCACGAAAUAUGAUACAACUUCUUAUCAACGGAAUCAUUUUUGGUUUUAAAGUAGUUUAGUGAUUGGCUGAGCCUUGGCACAACGAAAUUGUUGUCGCAUGACUAAAAUGUCACAAGUUCAAGUUUUGAAAACAACUUCUUCUGCAAAAAGCAGGGUUAAGCUACGUACAAUAUAUCAAUUUGUAAUUUUGUAGGACCCAUUCCCAAACUUUGCAUAUAUGUUAGACCUUCAAGGUACUGAGUUGUCCAAGUGGUUUAGACGUUUAGUGACUAGAAUUUCACUUUUAUAAACUUAAGGUUUAAUGAUGUGUUUCGUCUUUGCAAUUAGGCGUCAUUUAAAAAUUAGUCCCUUUAAUCGCUAAUCCUGGCAAUUUACCCUUGCAUUGUUUAAUCAUUUAAAAUUUCGUUCUUUGACCAACUUAAUCACCGCCAAGUCAUCAAAUUAACAAAAUGGCAUGGGAAUGAACAAAAAUACCCUCGUCUUUAUUAUGAGAAGAAGAUGAACACAGGGGUAAAAAAUGUCAUUUCACGAAUGGAUGACGAGGGUAUUUUUGUCCAUUCUAAUGUCAUUUUGCUAAUUCAAUGACGUUGGAGUGAUUAAGUUGGUCAAAGGACGAAAUUUUAAAUGAUUAAACAAUGCAAGGGUAAAUUAUCAGAAUUAACGAUAACAGGAACCAAUUUUUAAAUGACGCCUAAUUGUAAGGAUGAAACACAUUAUUAAACUUAAACUAAACUAAAUAAUAUCGAUAACAAGUGAGUUAUAUUCUCGGAUUCUUCUUGUGGUAACCCGUGGUCCCGUUGCAGUUUAUGGUUUUCAUUUUCUGGCCAUUUAUGAAUUGUGGAUCAAAGCUAACUUAUCGGGCACGCACGGUCACUGAAAAGAUUCUAAUGUCAGCCCAUCAUUUUCUUUUCUUUUCUUUCCUUUUCAUUUCCCUGCCUCCUUUCAGUUUCACCUCUCUCUAUUGUCCACCUCAUGAAUCACAGUUUCACCACACAUUCUUGAGCUUAUGAUCACUCACAUAAAAUAAUAGCUUUAUUUAAACCUAGAUUUCCGUGUAUACUUUUUCUUUUUUUUGAGAGAAGCGUAUACUUUGUUCUCAUUCUCAUAUUUUAACAUUGAAUAUAUAUCCAAUGAACAGAAUAAUACUAUUCUGGUAAAAGUUUUUCUCUAAUAUUAUGGCUAUAUGUUUGAAGUUUGUACUGAAGUUAAUGGAAACUAAUUAGAAAUGAUGAUAGAUUAAAAAAUCAAAAAGAAGGUUAAACAGUGUCCCAAUAACAUUAGUUAAGUAGUUAAAAAAAAGUAUUUUUUUUAUUAAAAAUUUGUGUAAUUAUUACUUAAUAAAAAAUAAUAUCUUAUAUUUAUAAGAUAUAGUAUUUAUAUCGGAACAUGUUAUAGGUUUGACUCUUAUUUAAUGCGUUAAUGUUUUGACAUCAAGUCCACUACAUUGGUUUUUUAAGGCAUUGUCCGCUUUUGAUCUUGUGCGAGCUCUUUAAAUUUUGUCGUUUACAAAAGACAACUUGUUGGAUAUUAUUGAUAAUCUUCGUUUGUUUCUAAACUUUUCUUAACUAAGAUUCUUAAGCAAUGUGAGCCUUUUUUGGUGUAGCUAAACAAAUAUAUGCCCAAAAAUCUAAAUAUCAAUUAAAUGUAAUAAAAAAGUGGUAUAAAAAAAUAGCUUUUUCUGUUGAUUAAUUAAAGGGAGUCUGUACGAUAUUAGUGUAUAAGCCAUGACAAAAAAUUGUACUGUAAAAUUGUGAAGCUGGUGAUGAUAUUAUAAAUGUCAUCCCAAAGAGUUUGGACCAUCCUCAUUUUCACGAAUAAUAAAACUACAGGAUAGAGUAGCUCAAUUGUACAAUUAGUAAUAAACAUUGAAGAAGUAGUCACUUUAGUCUCUGAAUGGAAAAUGAGUAGUCACUUUAGUCAGUGAAAUUGCAAAAUAGUUCAUGAAUGUAAACUUUAUUGGUCAAUUUCAUGGACUAAAGUGAUUAACGGAGUCUAUAUUCAGGGACUAAAUUAACUAACGGAAUCUGCAUUCAGGGAUUAAAUUGACUAACAAAGUCUACAAUCAAUGACUAUUUUGCAAUUUAUCUACAUUCAGGGACUAAAAUGGCGACUUCUUUCAUAUUCAGGGACUAAAGUGACUAAUUUUUCAAUAAAGAUUGCUUUAAAAAUGUGUCAGCGAGAGAUUCAAGACUAUUGACCAAUGUACCAAACAUAAGCUUUCUGGUAUCUUCAUCACUCUUACAUUAAAAUUAUUCGUGUCACUUUGACCAGAACAUUAUCCUAUUAAGAUGAGGAUUGAGGAAAAUAUAACAGUGGCACAACAUAACUAAAUAGAUAUAUACACGAUACAUAAAAAUAACUGUAGUUUACUAUUGUGUUGGGUCAUGAGGGGAGCUCGGGGACCAUCCACAUCCUCAAGUCGAUUGCACCGUCGUUGCCGCAAACGGAACGACACCGAUUGCACCGUCGUUGCUGCUUUAUGCACAAACGAACCGGCUGUCUCGAUCGCAUCCUUCGACGAAGGGGGCUCUGAUAUCAGAGUUGGGUCAUGAGGGGAACUCGGGGAUCGUCCACAUCGAGGCUAGAACAACCGCACAAGUAAGAAAGACACCACACUCUUACCCAAAACCUUAAAGUAAUGGAUUUAUGGGUCCUCUUUCUUAUAAUGUGUUCAACCUUUACUAUUUUAUCCGAUGUGCGACUUAUAACUCACACUUGUGCACAACAACAUAUUGAAGUUGCCUGAGUUUGAGGCAACAUUCAAGCAAAUGUAGUGUUGGUACAGAUUUGCAUAAUUCACAAAGUGGUAACAUGGUAGUCAAAUUUAAAUUUCAAUGAUAGCUUAUAAAGAAAGACAUCUCUCAUCUUAUAAGCUUAUUUUUUUUAAAAACAAAUUAAAAUCAAUAAAAAAAAAAAUAUAACAUGGUAUCAAAAUCUGUCGAUUUAAGUUUUCCACCAUUUAUAUUCAUGCACCAAACAUAGUGAAACUGGAUAAAAACAGUUUUAUUUACAACUAAUUACUAUAGUUAGAUAAAUUGAAAUAAAUAAGUGGGGUUUUAUUUGUUAUCUCGAAAGACCAUAACAACAUGAUUUUCCAUUAUAAGAUGGACCAGCCGAUGACUAUAGCUGAAAAGGUUAAAACCAAAAAUUCAUGAAGGUCCAAAAUUAAAAAAAUCUCGGUUUAUCCUUGCAAUAUUCUUCGAUUUUGUACAGUCAAAAUUCAUGAAGGUCCAAAACCAAAAAUCUUCAAAUUACAAUGACGAAAUUCAACUUUUUUACAUGAAUAAAAUUGAAAAUAACCUAUAUUACAAGUGGAUAAAACACUAUUAACCCUAUUUUGGAGGUUACAACCUUUAUGUUACUUACAAAUUGUUGUGUAAUGUUCCUCUUCUUUUUUUCUUUUUUAUUUUUUUAUUUUUUAUAUAUAUUAUCACUGGAUUGUUUGUAGCCUAAUUGUUGUGUAAUUAUAACUUCUCAGUUUCUUCCAGCACGUCGACGUGCUACGUCGACGUGCUUAAAGAACUGUGUUGUUUUUCUUUAAUAUAAUUUUGCUUAAUUUCUUAAAAGAAAAUGCUGCACUGAAUUUUAAAAGUACAAAUAAUUGAAGAUAUUGGUUUAGCAAACUUAUAGAUUUAAAAAAAAAAAAAAAUUGCAUUGCAAAACUCAAUGUUUUAACUUUUCAAACAUUGAAUAUACAACUUUAAAUAAUAUUGUGUUCGCUAACAUGUUAGCACUUUUAAGGACCUUUAACGAUCAUAUAUUAUGAAAAUUGUGUGUUAAAUACACUACAAAUUGAAGUAUUUAACGAUGAUGUAUCUAGUCUAUAUUAGAAACUAGAUAUAUUAUUUAUUAAAUGAAUCUGAAAAAUUAUCUUUCUCUUAUAAAUGAGACCGAAUGAAGUACCCCGAAACAUUUAUUAAAAAGUUUGGUUUUUUUUAUAAAUUAGCAUUUUUUUCGUUGGUAAAUGUUUUUUCAUCGCCCACUCACCGACUUCAUAACGUGGUUCAUUAUAAAAAUUGCUCUUUAUACAUUUAUAGUUUGCUCUCACACAUCACGAAUUGACCAUUUUACUCAUAACGAGGGUUAAUUAUCGUUCGUUGAUCAACGUUGUCAUUUGCUUCCUACAUUCGUUUAACUGUCGUCGUUCAAUUGAUAUGAGUUUUUCACAACACAGCAUAUAGUUUACCACUUUCCAUUCUUGAGACGCAUACAAUUAAUAUUACAAUUUACAAAACUACAAAAGCCAAAGUGUUAUUUUUUGAGGAAUAUAGAACUAGCAACUAGCAAAUUAAAAAAUCCUCUCUUAUUUAUGACCUCAAAUUUUCUAUUGGAAAAUUAAAGAUGUUUGGUUUUGCUGACUUUUUUUUUUUCAAGUAGAUCAGCGGCGGGAGUUCACACAUUUUUUUAAUAUAGUGAAGUGGGGUGUCCAAAAUUCGAACUUCAACCUCUACAUAUAUUAUGCAUUGUCCACAUAAACUGGAUUAAGCUUACAGACACAUUUACAUCAGUGUUGUUAUUACAACAAGUGGAAUUUAAAAUGCCUUCAUAUAGAAAGAGGGCUCAAUCAGAAGACAGAAAUAGCAUAAAUUACACGUGAGUGGCAGUUAAAUGUCGUAGGUGAGUGACAGUAGACUAUGAAUGUAGUCAGUUCAGGGUGUCUGAAAGUAGACUAUGAAUGUCUAAAGAUCAAUUUUCGUUCAGUAUUUUCUCAUGAAUUACUCUAGGAGUCCAUUAAACUCACACUAAGUAUGAGACAAAAGAAAAGCCGAAGUAGUAUAAUGCCUCCGUUGCUAAUGCUUUUAUUGUAUUCUUGGGACGGAGGGAGUAACAUAUGUAUUUAAGGUGCCAAAGAUGAAAAAUACUAUGUAUUGGAGUAAUUACUAUUUAUAAAAUCCUUGUGUUCUAAAUAAAAACAUGUGAUUACCAAGAAAAUAUUUGAUCUGGUGAGUAUUAUGUGGGCAAACUUUGAUUUUGGUGUGGGUCAUCUCUUCUUUCUUUUGUCAUUUAUUUGCCUUUUUAUGUCGAUGCCUAAAAAUAAUUUUAUUUAUCACAUCCACACGUGUGCUGCCUUUGACUAGCAACAUGUUAUCCCCCCAAAGUCAAAGGACAAAUGUUGACUUGGCUGCUUUCGUAACUCGUAAGCUAGAAGAAAUAUUUCCCACGUAUUCUUCUUCUUGUCCACAUAUUCCACAUGUCAAUUCAUAACAAUAAAAUGCAUCAUUCAAUUUUAAUACGUUGAAAGUUAUUAGUCAAUCCGAAUUAGGGAGGAUUUCGGUAGGUUUGCAGAGUAUAUGUAUUUAUACCUGUAUAAAAAAUUAUUGAAUCCUACUUAAAUUUGUAUGAAUGACAAUUAUUGUAUAUAAAAUGGAUAUUGUAAAGGUUAAUUCCUCAAGUGGAAUUAAACAUCAUAAGCUAAAGCUUUUACUCAAUUAUAUCGCAUCAUCAUGGCUCAUUCAAAUUUGAGACUAUUGAUCUAGUUGAAAGAGACAUUUGAUCUCGUCCAAAUGAUACUAGAUGAGAUAUUUUACUGUUUUAGGCUUUAGCAUUGAUACAUAUCUUUGAUAAAUUAAAAACGGUAUUUUUCUUAAAUUGAAUUACGUCAGUUUCCUUGAAUAUAUAUUACGUUAAAAACGAUUAACGAAAAGCAUCGAGAAGCAAGAUAAGAUUAGAUUGGACGCAGUCAUAGAACUUCAUUUUUUUUUUUCAUCCCUAAAUAUGAUGACAAUAUUAUUUAUUUAUUUGACUGAAUGAUAAAAAUAUUGUUAAUUAAUUAGGUGAAAACAUGAAGUUUCGGAGAAACACACACUUUAUGCAUUUCCUAUGAAUUGCAUCAACGACAAAUGAAUCUAUAAAUACGGCAAAACGCACGUACAAAACAAAACACAUAUAUUAAUUAGUCAAUCAAUAUGAAGUUGUCAGAGUUAGAAGCAGCAGGAACAAAGUGCAAAGAGCACCAAAAUGACAAACAACUACCUGGUGUUUGCUAUUAUUGCUUAAGAGACAAACUCUCAAGGCUCAAUAACAGACAAAUUCAUCAUGUACCUCAAUCUCCUCAAUCCUUCUCUUCAACCUCGGCAAUUUAUAUGUCUCAUGGUCAUAGCCGCCGUCACCGCCGCCAAACUUCUAGUGUGACAGAUUCUUUUUCUUCAAAUUUGGUUAAUUUCAAUUAUGGUUUAAAGAAGAGCAGUUCGAUUGCCUUUGAUUCAAGAAGCCAAAUCAGAGAUAGGGAAAUCAAUGGAGAUAUUCAGGAAAAUAAUAAGAAAAGAAGCUUUUGGUCAAAGCUACUCAAAUUGACAAGAAAGGACUCCAAAGAAGCUUUCACGCGUUCAAGGACAGCGAGGGGGAGAAUGGGUUGACUUUUUAUUACAAGUUUAACUUAGAUCACUUUUCUUUAAUCACGUAGCUACACAUAAUUAAAUUGUAAUGAUUUCACAUUAAUUAUUACGCUUAUGUUUAUAAUAAUUAUCAUUGUAUAGUUUUCAACCGUUGCCUGAGGUAUUGCAUCAUUGUUUCCGGACUUUCAAUAGUCUGUUUAAUAACUUUCUGAAAAAAAAUUAUCAGGUAGUAAACUCAUGAGCAUAACAUGAGAUCCACAAUAAGAAUUCAAUUUCGGGUUCUUUUUGAGAGGUAUGUUAAACGCUAUGUGGACAAAAAUUACAAAACAAAACAGAUCAGAGAGCAACAUUGCUGUCUUGUAAAAUUUGAAUUUGGAAGUGCUCCAUUGUUUUAGGAUUUUUACAUUACUUACUUUACUCUAUAAUAAAGCGAAUUACUCAUUGUGGAGAAAUAAAAUCUGAAUAUACUGUGUUUAUGUGAUUCGCUUGGAACGUAUAUUAACUCCUGUAUAGCAGACUAUCUUUCCUUCUUUACAUUGCUCUGAGCAUUAAACUACCAAAGAAAAAAAAAAGUUAAAAAGGAAAAGAGAAGAAAGCAUGCCAGAUUUCUCCACCACUGUACACGAUAGUAUGGAUAUAGCAUCAACAAUUCUUGGAACACUUGCAACUUCUUGCCCAAACUAUGGCAUCAUCGAGAAGAACCAUCAUUGUAAAAGGCUUGGUCCAUUGAAGGCUGUUUCAGUCUUAGAAAUAUAUCAUCAAGGGAUUCAGAUGAGGAAACAUGAGAGAUCAUAUCUUGUUGUGUUUGCCGUGUGGGUAAAAACCCUUUGGCCCCACCGAUGUCGGCCUUGAAACUCGUAAACCCUUUCUUUAAUGUUUGCCAUGUUGAACCCAAACCAUAAGUUCCAGAAGUAUUUCCAUAAUGAGUAUUGCCUUUAUCAAGCAAGGAAACCUUAGCAGAGUCUAAGUUUCUCUCUUCUGCCUUCAAUUUAGAUGCUUGUCCACUCUGCUGUCUGACACCAGCAUACUUCCUGCUGAUCGCUUCACUGCUUGAACUGUAUCUUCUUGUCUCUUCCUUCAAAGUUUUUGACAGACGCCCAUUAAUUUCUGCAUUAAUUAAAGUGGAAGUUCCUUUCAUUUCAACAUCAUUCUGCUCCUGAACAAUAUAAGUCAUAACAUGAGUGGAACUGUUUGAAAGAGCAAAGUAACAAACAUUAUAUCUUGCAUCUGUCAAAGUCACCAUGAUGUUAAGCUACACAUAUUGCAAGAAAUAUGAAAAUAAUGAGAAAUAAUUGCUUCCAUUUUUUCGGGGGUGGCAUGUCGUCAUACCAUAAUAUUGUUGUUUGAUUCAACGUCAAUACUAUUAAAAUUCCUUGCAAGUGGAACAACUUGCUCGCCUACUUUACGUCCUUGUUCAAGCCAAUACCGUUCUACAAGUUAUAUGAAUUCAAUCAUCAGCAAUGCUACCACAAAUUCAAUAUCCCACAAUACAUAAAGGUUUCCUAGUGUAGACACGAUUUGUCAUUUAACUUGAACUAGAGCUUUAACAGCUAAGAAGUUUUGGUAUGCAUACCUUUCUGCAAGAUAAUCAACCCUGAUGGAUUGAAGCCAUCCAUAUCUUCAGCUUCAGUUUUGAAAAUAUAUCUCCUCCAACCCCCCAGAAAAUCAAAUACUUUGUCAAAGAAGUUGCUUGCAACCAAGAGGGUGUAUAUAACCAUUAUUAGUGGAAAGAUUUUGUUAAAUUUAUCUCCAAAGAAAGGGACAGCAUUAUCAAUGUUCCCCAUUCGCUGCAAGCAAUUGCAAAAUGCACCAAGUUAGAAGAAAACAUAUUUGAAAUAUGGGCCAAUAAACUUCAUGGAGACAUAGUAGUACAUUCCAUCUUUUUCUACUUACAAUAUGUUUCCUUUAUAUUAUAUAUAUAUAUAUAUAUAGAGAGAGAGGGCAUAUCAAAUGAGAGGAGUUGUUAUAGUGAGAGAUGAGAGGAGUAAUUAACAACCAUCCGAUUAAAUCCAACGGCUAAGAUGCUUUCAACUUUAAAAUAUACUAAAACCAUAUGAUUAAUUUCCCCUUCUUCUUAAGCGUGGCUUCUCUUUCUUGUCCAGUUGCAAAACAAAAACUGCAUCUUUCCUUCUCCCUUCUUCUCAAACGUGACUUCCCCUUGUACCAUUUAUGCAGCUAUAUGAAUCGUUGUUUUUUUAGAGGAAUAAGAAUCGUUGUUGUUGUUGUCAAUCUCUUCCCAAACAAAAAUCAAAUUAAAGACAUAAACUUUUUUUAAAAAAAAUCAACACAAAGCUUAGAUAUUCAACAAUGGAGGCUUGCUAUUCAUGUUUUAAUUUCAAUCGAACUGUUCUCUUAUUUGAAAUAAAAUUAAAUACUCUCCUUCCAUAAUUUUUUUUUCUUUGUAAUUUCAUAAAUUAAUUUAAUUCCUUAAAAAGUAGGUUGAAAAAUUAGAAUCCAAAGGUAGAAUCAAAAAGUUUCCAAUCUGUAAAUCUGAAGAAGAAGAGGAGGAGGAAAUUUGUGGACAUCCAAGUAAUGGGUUUGAAGAGGAAAUUCAUAGGAACCAGCAAAAGAAUUCCAAACAGUACGAAGAAGAAAAAUAAGGGAAUUAAUCACAUGGUUUUAUUAUAUUUUAAAGCUGAAAGCAUCUUAACCGUUGGAUUUAAUCGGAUGGUUAUUAAUUACUCCUCUCAUCUCUCACUAUAACAACUCCUCUCACUUGAUAUGUCCUCUAUAUGAGGGCAUUUCAAAUGAGAGGGCUUUUUAAAUGAGAGGAUGAGAGGAGUUAAUAAGAACCAUUAGAUUAAAUAAAUGGCUCUGAUUAAAUGAUUCAUUAAAAGUUUACUCUGACUGUUUGCCUGCCUCGCUUUCACGCUGACUACUCAGUCUCCUUCCCCAUACCGGCGGCGCUCCGACUCAGCCUGACUCUCUCUACGGCAUCUCUUUAAAAUGUCAUAGUUACAUGUUUGGAAUUUAUUUUUUAUAAUAGAAUAAUUCUGAUCUGUUCAUAAUUUAGAAUAAAAGAAAGAAUAGAGGUUUCAUAAAAAAAAUGAACUGCGGUUGUUGAUCUGAAACAAUAAGGAUGAAAAACUUCAUUGUUUUUGUUUCACACCGAGAGAUCUCCCUUGAAAGAUUCAUGUCAACAUUAAAUUUCAUCAAAUAGAUAUAAUCAAUUAGAACAGUGUCAUGGUUGGAAGAAAAUAGCUUGAAAUGAUAUCUUUUGUGGUGCUAAAGUGAGCAGGAAGAAGUCAAUAGAAUGGAUUACCAAACUGAUUGAAGUGAGAAAGAGCGACGAAGUGAGAAGGCGCAGAAAGAAAAAGAAAAUCGCAACAGUAACAUGGGAGAGAGAGAAGAGGCAUGGAUGAAGGUGCUGAGAAAUAAUUAGGCUGCAAUUACUAAAAUUAGAUCUCAUGGUAAGGAUUGAUCCAAAGGCUAUGAUUUAACCCUCUCAUCUCAUUUUAAAACUCCUCUCACUUGAUACACCCUAUAUAUAUAUAUAUAUAUAUAUUUGUGUGUGUGAGGGAGGGAGAGAUGUAGGUGCCUAUGAAUGACUAUGUUAUCACUAAUUGAAAUGUUUUUUCAAUAUUUUAAUUCCUUUGGAGUUUGAUUAUUAGAUUUAAGCCUUACAUUAAUAUCAUAUGCAAAAGAGUUAGCAGGGGAAUAUUUACCUAGAAAGCAAUGGAUAAAACUAUGACAAAAUAAUUACCUGUUCAAAUAUAGUUGUUUUAUGAGACCCUAGGCGAAUGAGAUUGAGAAAGUUGUAUGAAACAGGGGGAGCAUAGCGAGCAAUCAUACUGGGAACAAAAUAGAAAAUAAAUUAUAUUUGCUAGAUAGCACCAGAAAAUUGAGAAACAUAAAUAACUAGCAGUGACAGUACACAGUAGUGAAUAUUUCUUACGAGCAUAUCAUAAGCAGGUUAACUGGGCUAGUCUGUCUGGGUGUCAAUGAGUAAAACAUCAGCCUUCCAAUUUUGAACAAGGAGAAGUAUGUGCAAAUGCACAUGUACAUGAGUGGAACAAAAGCAAAAGCCUAAGCAAGAAAUUGAAGAUAUGUGAUUCAGAAAAUGGCUUGUCUUCAUUAGUAUAAUACAGUAAACAUUUCAUUAAGGCAAAGAGACAUCGUGUGGUAUUCAAUGAGUAAUUUAAUUUAAUUGUAAGCACUGAAAGUGCAAAAAUGUUUUACACUGAUGUCCAGUCAAGCUUUACCAUUUAGAUAUGUUAAUAUUAUUUUUCAAAAUACCUACACAAAUAUCUAAAUGGUGAAAUGUGAUUGAAUGUAUGAGUGAAAUUAUUUUACAUUGUUAAAUUUUAAAUUCUGAAUAAUUUGCAUGCAUCGAUUUCAUGCAUAACCCAAUUCCAAAAGUGAAUUUACGUUCAAUACUUGUCUUAUGCAAGACAUGGUGUUGGUAAUACAAGAAAUCAGGUAGUGAAUUACAGCCUUACACCAAAAGGAUGCAAGUUUAUUUUAGCUAAGAAAAGAUAAGCAGAGAACAAUUCAUAUUUAAAACAAAAAAUAAAAUAAAGCACAGGUGCAAUUGACCAAUAAUAUGCACCCCAAAAAAGGCCAAGAUUCUCAAUUAUGAGGAAGUUCAUAUGAGACAAUGUCCGUUCAAUUUUAAAUUAUUGUAAGAUUUUCCAUAUUGUAGAACAAAAAAUAUUCAUUAAAAUCUUUUUUCCACAAUGUGAGAUGUUGUGUAUGUAUGUAUAAGUAUAUAUAAAUUGGUCUACCUGCACAAGCAUCUCCUGUGUUCCAACAGAUUUUAUAAGAAUUGAGAAAAGAGAUAGAUCAACACUAGGUAGAAGUGUUGCCUCUGCUAAAAGAAUUGCAACAGACAUGAUACCAAGUACAACAGCCAGCCCUUUUUCAACUUGUUUUCUCAAAAUACACCGCCAGAAAAAUUCUGCAAAGAACCACCAUUUAUUCAGAAACCUAAAUAAAAAAAAAGUUCCACUAUGUAUGGACACAAACACACAUGUAAUAUUUGCAUUAUUUCAUCAGGACAUGUAUGUUGAGAGGUCCCUCCAGAAUUGAUAAGACACCAUGAUGAAUGAAUCUUGAUAAUUCAAAUGCAUGGGAACUAACAAUGAAACAAAUGCAUUAUUUCACCAUUUGAAUGAAUCUUGAUAUUGCAAAUGUUACAUGUGUGUUUGUGUCCAAUUCCAGUUCUCUGUUGGGAACAACUAACAGAAGCAUCUUUACUAAGGUUAAAUCUUGCAAUACAAUUCCAAUUGCAGGAAAAAUAUUACGUGGAUUUAGGAACAAGUAGAUUAACAGAGAUUCUUAAAAUUACCUAAAGUGUCAAAUAAAGACCCUAACUUGCCAGUCCGAGCAGGUCUGAUGCUUGACAUAUAUUUCCUGAAAUAAUAACAAAAAUUUCAUGAAGUUAGCUGGAAAAACCUUUAAAUUUUUUUGAAGCAUAUUGAAAUGGGGCAAAAAACCCACAAAAAAAAUUAGAAGCAAACCAUCCAGUUGUGCGGCGACGUUCAUAAUUCUUUGUAGCGUCUUCCACUUCAAGGGCUUCUAGUACAUAAGUCAUGUACUCACUGCAAAAGCAACAAUAUAAGGAAAUACCAUGUAAGGGUUUGAAAAAUGCAAGAGCUACAACCAAAUAACCAUGUUUCCAUAUAUAGCCAGUUAAUAGUAUGGAAGGGUGGAACAUUGCAAAUGAGCAAAAGAAUUAAUAACUUAAAAUGACAGUUAACUAUUUUCUUACCUUUUAUAUCUGUAGUACUCCUCAGUAGCCCCCCGGAGAUGACGUCUUAAUGUUGCCAUUGACUUCUCAUCAGUAUCGUAAUCCAUAUCACUUCCCCCCAAUCGGCCACCUUGUGGUGUGAACGACGGAUCUUCCCUAAACUGGAAAGUAGAAUAUUAUCCUAACAAAGAACCAUGUUCUGCAAUCAGAAUCUUUAAGCAAAGAACGUGAGAUUUAUACCAUUUGAGUUAGCACGUCAUCAAUAACAUCCAUGUAAGGUCUCAGAGGAUCACGCCUAGACAUCUGAUUCGAAGUGGCUUGAGCAACCUACAAAAAUAAAUCACCACAGAACUUCAAGUUUUUGCCUUUUGUCGUGAGGGGGUAGGUUUAAGAAAGAAAAGAAAGCAGGGUUAGUCUAAAGUUCAACUAAACUGUAUUGAUCCAUUCCUAUCUUGCAUCAUCCCCCUACCCACAUUGUUAAUAGUAGUGUAUUAAGCAUGUACUAGUAUUUAGUGUGUCUUAGAAUUUGGACUUAGGAUCUAACUCGAUCCAACAAAACUAGGUAGUAAGAGAGGAAUGUCAUAGCUUCUAAGCACUAUAUAGGCCAUCUCUCUAGUUAAUAUGUAACUAUCAGCACACACCCAAUGCGCUCAGGGCUAGAAAUUUUAAGUUUGGACUAAAGUGUGUGGGAUAAUAGGGAUAUCAAUAGUGUGCAUGUCCUUUUCCCGACCACGUACUCCACUAAAAAUAUUGUAUAAAAACAGAUGUCCUGCAUCCUUAUUGGAUUAGUUUUCUUGAUUUUUUCCACAUUAGAACACUAGUUCUCUCUUUAUUCUUUUUCCACUUUACUUCUCUUGCAAAAAAUUUCUCUUUUCCAAACAAAAAAAGGAACGUACAGCAGCAGCAGCAUCUUGACCUUGGUCAUGAACCAAGUUAAGUCAGUGCUGCUGUGUCAGCCAAUUGAUUGCUCAGGAGACUGGCAUAGUCAUUGGUGAUAGUCUAGCAUCGAGACAGACUGGUGGGAUCUUAAAUUUGACAUAAAGAAGGCUAGGCUAAACAAAACAAACUACAUGUUAAGAAAACUAAAAUCACUACUACUCAAGAGCAUAGGACAUAAGAGUUCCCUAGGCAAGAUUUAGUUGACCUCCGAUGAACUGAGUAUAAGUUAGCUUGCAUGAGAUUGAAAAAAAAAAAAUCCUGUUUGCCUAUGCAGAUUGGGAAAACAUACAACAUAAAUUUUAUGGACAAAAUGUACGAACCACUUACAACAAUAGCAUUUGACAGUUCUUGAUGAGCAUCAUCAAGUUCAACAGCCAUUUUAGCAAUUUUGUGGGAAAGAACUUUUUGGCGGGUGGUCCAGUCAGCAUUUCUCCAAACAUUUUUGGGAAUUUCACUUAAACCAAAGCCAAGAAGAAAUGCGCCAGUAACUAGUCCGAAAGUAUUUGAGCAAGCCAUGGCUAAUCCCAAAAUACUUCCACUCCUGCUUAUAAAAGAAUCAGCUAACUGAAGUUAAAUUUAAAAAAAAAAAAAAAAAAAAAAAAAAAAAAAGAGGGGCAGGGGCUUCACUUGAAACCAAAACGCAUAUAUGCACACGUAGAAAUGCAAAAAGGGUUAUGCAAACUGCUGAUUUGUGAGUUAUAUGCAUUAUAUAGCUUUCCAAAAUGUGCUGAAAGCUGAAUCACUAUAUAUCUUAUUAUAAACGCAGUCUUGGAAAGACUCACAGAGACAAUGCAAUGAUAGCAUCUUGGAGUAAAUGCAAAUAUGUCAAAAACAAAAAAAAACUAUAAAUGUUGGAUAAAAUUAUGGCUUGCAAAUGUACGGCUUUCACAGAUAAAUUGUUAUUGCCCAUAAAAACUGGUUCACUCAAAUCCUCCUUACUCACAAAAAUUUUAAAAAAAUAGAAAGAUGUUUUUUGGGCACAAAUUUCUGGAAUACAUCAUUCAUGUCGAAGUCCAAACAUCGUUAAAAAAAGCAUCUAUCCUUAUGACUUAUAAAUAUUCAAGAAAAAAUUAGAUUAGUUGCUAUGUGUGGAGCAUUGAGGAAACAAUGAAACUCUUCGAGUGAAAAUAAGAAUAUUCAUUCAAAGAAAACUAAUUAGAAAACUCUAAGCAAAAAUACCAAAGGGACAAUUUCUUGCAAUAAAAAUCUGUAAUAUAGUUCAUAACAACAAAGGUUAGGAAGACGAGAACCAACCAGUGCCUGUGCAUCAUAAUGAGAAGAAUAAGUCCAAAAAAGCCAAUGGAUCCGACAAUUAGAUAGAAGACCAAGUUAACGUGUAUACUAGUCUUCAAUCUUUCCGAUACAGUAAAGUCACCAGCAUCUUCAAAACCCUGAAUAAGGGGCACGACAGCCCUGCUUAGGAUAACAUAAUUUAAUAAAUGAGCAAAUUUCCAUUUCUGAUGAGUAAAUUCCAUUUAUAUAUUUCCUUGAAACAUUUAGUUAGUACUAUUUUACACAAGAAUAUGAGAAGGCAAGCAACAUUAAAACAAAUUAGCAAAUAGCAUAAUAGCUCAUGCACAAAAUCAUCUAAGAUGUACAGCUAUGCAUAAUAAAUUGUGUUUUGUCAUUGAUUAUUAUUUACAGCAUGGCUUAAGCCUCGUAAACUUAUUGUCGAUUAUAUAUUAUCGAGAAGUUGAAUAUGAAAGAUAUCAACCGAAAGAAUAAAGGAAAACAAGCACAAUGAGUUAUGAGGUUAAAGUUGUUCGGAGCAAUGGCUUAGCUUAAUUACUAGGAGAAAGGGUGGAUGAGGAUUAAUUUAGAGUUGUUAGUGGUGGGAAAAUGAGCAGCAGCUAAAUUGUGAAAAGGGGGAACCCUGUAUUGAAGGGAUUGGAAGAAAAUUAUCUCGUUUUUCUGUUUGUCAUUCAUCCUACAAUCAAAUAAGUAUUCUAUCAUUUUCUCUUUUAUUUAUCUCUCAUAUCUCUUUCCCUUUGGGUCUGUAAUACAACCAAAAGAAAAUAAUCUGAAUUUCAUAAGAUGUGUAUUGAUAAAAAAUUAUAUAUAUUCUCAUUAAAUAGUUAUUUUAGCUUAAUCCAUUUAUGCAUCAUAUCCUGUACAUGAAUCAACCAAAGUAGAUAUUCCAUUUACUCGAACAACUAAUAUUUCCUUGCCAUGUUAAGAAAGAGCAAAGUACUACUGAAUUGAUAAACAGAAAGACCUCAAAAAAGCAUUGGUCAAUUAUCCAAUAUGUGGGGAUAAAUAUUGGCCUUUCUGAGUCACAAUUAUACAACUUAUUUGAACUAACACAAGAGAUUGUAUUGUAAAAGUGUUGCAGGCAUAAACAUAGAAAGUUUUAAAUGAAGCGUACCAAGUAAGCAAAAAUGUACUCCAAUAUGACCAGCUCCAGAAGAAAGAAAUUCCUCCAUUGUCCAGUUGGGAAGAUAUUGUCUGCAUGAGUUAAAGAAAGAAUAGCAUUAUAUGAAUGAAAUCGUUGCACGUAUAAUUCUUCAAUGAUCCAAAAUUCUCUACAUUGUUCCACUUUUUAAAGGAGGGGGGAUACCUAUGGAAGUGCCAAAUUGAAGGAAAUGGCAGGCUUAAAUACAAAGUCAAUCUUUGCGGUGCUAAAUUAAGUAAUUAUUCUUUCAAGUUUAAGGCAUGACAUCUAACUGUUCAUAAUUUUCUUUGUAUCGAAGACCUUUUGGAAGGUUAACAGGUUAAUACUCCCUCGUGAGGCUGCUUUUGGAGUUUGAGUUGAGACAAAUAACCAUCCCUUAUUAAUGAAUUGAGCAUUGAUUUGGAAGCUAUGGAAUCAACCUUUUGGUAUUUUUUAGGUGUAAAUAAUCUUAGAAUUGGAUCAUGCUCUCGUUCAUACAGAUAAAAAUAUUUAGAGAUUUUAAUCAAAUUAUUCCCGUUCAUCUUGUGUUUCUUACAAUUGAUAAGGACUUAUGUAUAAUCAACACUUCAAAUUGAAGGUGUGUCUGAUCCAACACUUGCUCUUACAUUCACUUACAUUUUCUUAAAUUAUAACUAAAUUAGUAUAAAUAUGUCCAUACGUUUUGUGAAAAGCAGCAUAUAAUGAAUUAUUUGAAUUUAUCUACUUAUGCAAAUAGUUAACAAUUUGAUUUGAUUUUAGUAUUGUUAUAAAAGUAACUUAAACAUAAUCUAUAAUUAAGUUAUUUAUACAAACACAGUUUUCAUAUUGAGGAUGAUUGCAAGGUAUACUAAAAUGGUGAAUUAAGUUGAAUUGAAGGGAAUGAGAGAUAGAAAAAGGAAUAGUACCACCCAGAUAUCAGCGGGGACGAGGAUGAUGAUGGAGAGGGAAACGAACCAAGUGUAUCCAACGGUGAAGAGAACGUAGAGUGGUACGGAAGGUCCAGCGAAGUACCGAAGCGUUAACAGAACCAUUCCCAUUGUGAGGGGAAGAGAUAUCAUGUAGAACACCCACAUCUUCGCUCUUCUCUCGAUUGAUCGAAUCACACAAGUCAGUCACACAAGUUCGUUCCAGCUGCACCGCCACGGCAUCGCCCCCAACCCCUCCUCUUCCCUAUGGGCUUCAUGCACAAAUUCUACGGCCCACUUUUCUUCUUUGUAUUCUUUUUUCAUAGCUUCUUUUCCCACCUCCCACUUUUCUUAAAAAUCACAUAAACCCAAUUUAUUUUUUUGAAGAGGUUUCUAAAAUAUGUAUUCAUUCUAAUUAUCUAAUAAUAUCCAAGACUCUUUAAGUGAAUCAUUCAAAUGAAGUGUAAAGAUAAAAUGCUAGUUAGAUGAUGUAUUCAGUCUUUUAUAUGUCUAGUUUUGGAAGUGAGGUGGCGUGUUGAGAAUUUUAUAUCAGAUGAAAUAAGAUCUCAAUAUAUUUAAGUAUAAGUUGGGGCAAUUUUGAUCUUACAAUUUGAUUUUAUAAGGUUGAGUUAAAGAGACUUAAAAUCUAAUAUAACAUGAAGAAAAAAAAAAUCAAUCGCAACAUUUCAAUAAAAAAAACUCAUGAUCAACACAACACUAUCACUCUUGCUCUCAACUUGACGUUGCACAAAAAUCACUACAUCGUUAUUAUUUACAUAUAGCACCAGCAUCUUCCUUAUUGCAAAUAAGCAGCAAUAGAUUCGGUGACUGCUCAAUAGAUUUAAGUAUUUCUAAAACAUCAGAAAUCAUCAAUCUAUUAAUCUUAAAAAUGUUUUACACCUUUAGCAAAUCAAUCAUAUGUAUGAUCUUAGAAGUAGUUUAAUUAAAGUCACAAAUUUUAAUAGUAUAACAAUUAUUAUUAUUUUUUACAAAGUAUAACAACAAUUAUUUAUUGAUUGACGAAAUAAAAUUAAAUACAACUCAUACAAAUCUUUCCCCUCCUCCCACGUGAACCAAAUGGACCCUUAGUUGGCGAGUAGAUUAUGGGAGUUUGAAGAUCAAACAUGCAAAGCACGCAUUUAUUCUGUGCAUUUCUAGAUUUAAGUAUACUCUUCUCCUUCAAUUCUCAUUAACAAUUUUGCUUUAAGCAUUUUCUACAAUUGUCACCUAAAUGAAUUAGGAAAAUAUUAACGAAUGUUCUUGAACAUUUUUUAAGACCUUUAAAUAGUACUUCAUUCGCUUUAAAAUAAGUAUCGUUUUAGAUGUUUACACACAUAUUAAGAAAUGCAAUGAUUAAAAUAAAGAGAAUGAUUAUUUUACAUAAUUAUUCUUAUUAACUAUUGGUUAGUUUUAAAAGUAAUACUUUGAAAAUAGUGUGCAGAGUAUUAAUUGGAGGGUACAAUUGAAAAGAAAAAGUUAUUAUUGUAUUGGAAACUGAAAGUGACAUUGAUUUUAAAACAAUUUUUUUUUGCUAAAGCGACACUCAUUUUGAAACGGAUGGAGUAAUUUUUUUGAAAUUUUUUAUAUUCAAUGCAUAAAAAAUUGAAAUAUUUAAUUUUUUUUAUAAAAUAAUAUAUUUUUUUUAAAAUCUUUAAAGAGUGUCUCAUAACACUCCUUAACGAGAGCUAUUGUAAGGCUCUGUUUGGUAAAAAUAGUUGAUAGCUUAUAAGCUAACUGAUAGCUUUUAGCUGAUAGUUGAUAGCUGAUAAGCUAACUGAAGUGUUUGAUAAAAUUAGCGGUUCAACUAGCUUAUAAACGUAAAAUGACAUAAAAGGGUAUUUUUAAUUCAUUAUAAAAUUUGUAUCAAUUGAUAUUUAAAAUUUCAUAGUUUAAAUAUAUUAAUCUAAUAUGUCUUUUAUAUGUUAUUUUUAAAUUCAUAAAUUAGCUAAUGUUUUAUUUAAAAUUGAUUUUAUUUCAGUUUUUAGACUUUAUAAAAAAAUUAAACAAAACCUUUAAAAAAAAAUUAAUUGUUACCCACUAAAACAAAAUGAAACGUAUUGACCCAAAAUCAAACAAAAUUUUGUUUUUAGACUUAAAAACAAAAUUAAACAUAACGUAAUAUGAUUUAUUUAGGCAAACGUAACAUAUAUUUUUUUAAGAAAAAAUGUAGUUUUUAUUUUUGUAAACAUGAGCAAAUAUUUUGUAAAAAUAAAUAAAAGCGUGAGCAUAUAUAUUUAGUUAAAGUGAAAUUUGGGAUUAAAAGUGCUAUAUUUUUCUUCAACGUAGUUAUUUAUUACAAAGGGUAGUUAUGAAUUUUUGUUAAAUUGAUAAGGGUAAAAAUGAGACAAAAAAAGAGAAGCUAUAAGCUAUAAGCUCAAACGCUACUUGGAAUAGCUUCUGAAAAAUAGCUUAUAAGCUCGUGAAAUAAGCUAUAAGUUCAUGAUCAAAAAGUGUUACCAAACAGAACUUUUUUUGUGAAACGAGCUUAUAAGCUAUAAGUUAAGAGCUAAAAGCUCUUUUUUUGAGUUUACCAAACAGACCCUAAGUCAAAUACAUGCUUUGGCUUGUAGCAUGAGAGAUUGAGACGACAUGUCCAUUGAAAACACACGACAUAUACUACUUUAUUAGUGAGUAGGGAAAACUUAUUCUACCUAAUAAAGCAAAAGAAAAUGACUUUCGUUGAAACUUCAAAACCCACGAUGGAAGAGACAGACCCAAUUGGACUUUUCAUUUUCAUCUCAUUCAAUCAAAAGAAAACUUAUUCAGUACAAAAAAAAACGAUUUAAUUUUUAUAUUUUACAUUUUUAAUAAUAAUGAUAAAAUGAUUCGUCAUGCAUGGACCCAGCGGCCAAGUUCAGACAAUAAACAUUCAUGAUUCAACCACUACAGAUUUCUUUGUAUGUAUAGCAACAACUUUGGUAGGUUACUGUUUAAUGGAAAUAACAGCUAAUUAUGUCUAACCAUAGUCCAUAAACCAUAAAUAAAACAAUAAAAAACAAGUUGUACAUGUGGACGAAACAGGUCUCAUUUUUUAUUUACCAGACAAGCCUGGAUUUGGCUAUCCCUUCAAAGUAAAGGCUACAUUUUUGGAGUUUCUAAAGAGUUAAAUAAUAAUAAUGUAGUAUCACUAUUUAUUAAAAUUUUAAUAUUAAAGUUAUUACACAGAUAUAAUAUAAAGUUAAAUUAUUCUUUGACCAGAAAUAAGUAAAAUAUUCUCAGUUUAACUUUUUCAACUAUCAAUUAUAACAGCAUACUUUUCCUUAAAAAAAAAUUAUAACAGCACACAUUAAAUACUUUAAGGGUCUUACUAAUAAGUGUCCUCAAAGUAUUGGUUAAAGAAUUUAUAAAUAGAAAUUUUAUUUUGAAAAUAUAAGAUUUUACUUUUGAUCAAGUAAUAAUCACACAAUUUUUUUAAUAAAAUGUUAGUAUUAAUUUUAGAUGUUUAAUCAAUGUCUUAGGGCACUGAUUAGUAUUCUCCAUACUUUACAUACUUAUAUUGUAACAAAUACAUUGAGGAUAUGUUUGGUUGCUAGAACAAAGUUUAAUUGAACAGAGAAAGAAGUGAGAGAAGAGAAAAAUAGAUAAAAUAAAAAAUAUUUGGUAGAUUUUUAUGUAGAAAAAAAAAGUGAAGUGAUAAAUGUCCGUUUAAUUUUUAAAAUGACGAAAAAACGUGUGUUUGAUCUAUUAAAAAACGAAGGUUUGGACAAAACAAAUCUUGCUUUACUGUAUUUCAUUUGUAAAAUUGUUUCAGAGACAAAACAAACUAGAAGUAAAUAAGAGAAAAAAACUGAAAGCCUUGUUCCUCACAACCAUUUUGUCAAAUAUUUAACCUUAUUCAUUGUUGUGUCACCGUUAAUGAAUAGGUAGUGAUAUUUGUACAUCCAAUUGAUGACAACUUUGAUGACAACCUUGUUUUUCUCUCUUCUUAUUGGUCAAAAACAAUGGAGAAAGAAAAAGGAAGAGAGAGAAUAAGAAUAUCAUGCGAGUAUGAGAGAGAAAGUUGUCUAAAAGUUGUCACAUAAUAGUUGUACAAAUAUCAUUUCUCUAGUGAAUAAUGUUAAAUAUCUUGUCAGCGCUAUUUUCAAAGUUUUUAGUAGAGUAUUUACAUUGAAGAUGGGGAUGUCAACGGUGGGGUUUAGCAUGGGAAAGGAGAAUUGUUUCCCACCAUAGGAAAGUCAAUUUUAACCAUUAGAUCUACAAUCUUAUCAUACACUCUCAACACUAUAUUUUUGUCACUAUCUUCCACUACCAUCUCUCUCCUUCAUCCCCACCAACCCACCACCAGCAACACCAUGAGAACUAUAGUUUUUACCAAUCAGAUUCAAAAUUUUAACAAUCAAUAUUCCAUGAACUUACUUUUUGCAAUUCAAAGUAAUCAAUCCUUGCAGGACACUAUAUAGGAACAAAUUGUUUGAUUUGAGCAAAAUAUAUUCUCAACCUCUGGCUGACGGAAGAGUUGGGUCUUGAAUAAUAGAAGGAACAUAUAAAAAUUCACACAGGUUAGCAUACAAAUUCACAGAGUGUUGUGACUAAUUUCUUUUGGAAGAAAAAAUGGAAAAAAAAUAUGUAUUCGUGCAGUCAGGUUAAGUUAGCUGCCUCAGCACUCAACAAAUACAAAUGGAGAGGUUAGAUUUGUGGUCUAAUAAUGGAAGGGAAGCUUAGAUUGCUCCAAAUCUGAUAUCCACUUCAUAUAUAAUAAUGAACAAUCAAAAUCAUGAGCAAUAUUUUGGAUUGGGAUUAAUACAUUGCAGCAAAGAAAAUAAAAUAAGGUUUGAUGAGUCGCUGGUUAGGGGUUUGUGGA
Molecule: long non-coding RNA, 94898 nt
Filed under: Medicago truncatula (barrel medic)
Lineage: Eukaryota; Viridiplantae; Streptophyta; Magnoliopsida; Fabales; Fabaceae
Description: long non-coding RNA (MTRU_LNC006578)
Source: RNAcentral